GAUCCAGGAGAGGAGUGUGCCUUUUACAGCUGCAGGUACUGCAAUCAUCAUAAUAUUAUAGUAAACCACAUACAAAGACCUGCGAAAAAACCACCAACGCCACUCACAUUAAUUUAAACUUUUGACUUUAUUUUAUCGCAGUUUUCUUUCUUGAGUCGGAAUCGAUUUAAUCUAUUGAAUGUAUGUUGUAUAGCUGUAUAAAUAUAGGUUACAUGUGGCGUUCUUUUAACUCUUCUGCAAACUUAUACUAAAUUAAAAAAAAAAAAAGAGUUCGUACCGUUGAUAGGCCACCGCAGUAGGUGGGAAGUUAAAAAAAUAUAGUAAAUAAGGUAAUUUAAUUUAUAUACUAAAAGUAAAGAUAAAUCAUUGUAAUCAAAAAAAUAAUUCUGAUUAAAGCUUGGUAAACUAUUGAGAUUUAGUUUUAAUCGAGUUUUGUUUCGAUUAUAGCUAAGAUGACCCAAAACUUACUAAAAAUAAAUGCUUAUGUACCAAAAUUAUCUGCUAGUUUUUUACAUUUCAUAGAAAAACAAUUUGAAAUCCAGACAUGUUUUUAAAAGUAAUGUAAGGAAUUUCUUCAUUUUUUCAGACAUAUCAAAAAAGUUGUAGUAUCUUAACUAAUCGAAAACAGUAUUUUUUAAAAAGAAAAAAAUAUAUAUUCGUAUAUAGUAAAACCAGUGAUCGAUCCAGGGAGGAAAUAAAUUAAUUUGCCCCCCCACCUUUUAUAUCAUAAUAUAUUCAUAGAUAAUAAAGACGUGAAUAUCUAUAAUAACCUUCUCAGGAGGGCUACAAUGCAUUUAUAAAGCCCAGAGCCUUAUGUAAUGGGUGGUUCAAGAGAGUUAUACUCCCCCGGUAUAUAUUAGGAGGUGCUAAAUUUUCACGGUGACUAAAAACAAGUUAUCGGAAAAAUUAGAAAUUAUAUGAACAAUUCAUACAUUUUAUAAACGGGGUGAUCAAUCUAUCAUAAAACACUCAUUAUGUCAGAAAGUAUUAACUUUUUUCAGAAUUUGUUUUCUAGAAUAUUUAAGAAAUAAGCUACUAUAAAAUUUUAUAUAUAUAUAUAUAUGUUAUUUUUUGUCAUCAUAACUUUUUGGGGUAAACAACUAUCUCCUUUUGAUUUUCAAAUGAUUAUCUUUUAAAAUCCCAUAAAUAGAUGGAGUUUAGUUCAAAUAAAUUUUGGUGUUUAAGUUUUUGAUUUCCGUCAAUUCGUUGACGAGAUAUUCUACAUUUAAGUUUGAUUUGGAAGAGAGUAGUGGAGUAUCAUUUGUGUGGCAGUACGGCGGGUGGCGUAUUAAUAAUGCAUCACUACACUCCUCCAAUCCAAACUUCUAAAAGGAAAUCUGACUGAGAAGGUACUUUAGAGAGGUUAUUUUUCGACUUUCCCAGGAGUUUUUUUCAACAAAUGUGAAAAAUCGGGGGAAAAACUUGGGAAAACCAAAAAAAACGUAGAAAAAACGAGAAUAUCGGUACAAUAUUAAACAAAUACUAUUAAAGAAAAUGUAUUAUAAUACCUAUUUAUUUUACCAUAACAUGACAUAUAUAUUUUUGACAAAGCACCAAUAUCACUAUUAACUGAAUUUCGCUCAGUAUCAUUUUUAUUAAGCAAUGGUUUAUUGUUGCUUACAGACACAAAUUAAUUUUUUCACUAUAUUCUACAUUUCCAACUUCUCACCAACAACAAUAGCUGCAACCCAUCGUAUAAAGUAUGUCCGUCUUUUUUCCAUAUGCUGAUGUAGCUUUUAUAGCAUUGUAAAGUUUAGGAGCAUCCGAGCAUUAUCCAAAUUACACAUAGUUCCUGUGUAAGGUUAGGUGUAUGGUCUUUUUCUACACUUCACCGGAUAAAAAAUUAUUUAAGAUCAUUUAUGUCUUCAGAAAAUCUUAAUAAGCAGUUCAAAACAUAGAAGCUAUUCUCACUUAGGCUAACUUAUACAGAUAUGAUAAAAAAAUUGUCAGCAAAACAAGUAAGAAAUAAUUUGAAAUAAAAGUUAAACAUAAUAUAACUAUUUGUAUCUUAAUAUAUUAUAAUAGACUGUUCUUUGUUAUUAUAAUAUUAGUUACCCUUCACUGCAUUUGCCUAUUUUUUUAGCUUCUGAAUGGAGCAAAUAAUGUAUUGGUUUUACAAAAAUGUUUUUUUUUUUUUUUAUGUGAACACUUUUUCUACCAUUAAGCUUACUUUGGUGUGUAUGAUAUAGCACUUUUUCUGAAAAGAAAUUUUCUUGGGAUGAUACUUUAAGAAGGUCAUUUUUUGAUUUUUCCGUUAGUUAUCUCAAUAAAAAAGUAAAAAAACAGAGGAAAAAUGGGAGUAUUUACUAAAUAUAUUAGUAAAACCGGAAAAACGGGAAAAUCAAUGCAAUAUUCAACAAAGAUUAUUUAAGAAAACACAUAAUGCUUAUUUAAUUAUUUUAUCAUAAUAUUACAUACCUAUAUAUUGUUGUUAUAUGUUGUUGUAGCAACACUAUCAACUAAACCCUGCUCAAAAACGUUUUUUCGUUAACAAUGAUUUAUCGAUGCUUACAAAUAUACAUUAAAUUUACGUCUAUAUCUUACAUUCCCACCCUCCCACCUACAACAGUGGCUGGACCCACGUGCGAAGUAUGUCCGACUUUUUUUAAAUUUUUUAAAUGAUUUUUUUUUAUCUAAACAUUAAAUUACAUAACACAAAUCCCUAUAAUUAGUAUAACUACUUAAAGUAGUUUUAAAAUUAAUCAUAAGCAAAGUUAGAAGUGCCAAAAUGUUGUUGCCCAUUGGGGCCAAAAUCAUAAAUACGAUCCUGAGAAGGCCUAUACAGCCAUUAGUAAACAAAAACAAAACCGUUAGAGUGGUAUAAAAGUCCUAUUCUCUCAACUAAAACUUAUACAAUUGCAUUUUUUAACAUAAAUAUGAUUAACACAAAAUAAUAAUUUUUAUACGAUUUUGAAUUACUUUGUGUAAAUCAUUUGUGUAGUGUUAGAAAAUUUUAUUAAAUUAGUUAGAACACUUUGAGGGGGACUUAACACCUCUUUAUCGUUUUUGAUUUUUAUAAAUAUUUUUGAAGUUUUAAGAGCUUUUUCAUGGAUUUUAAAUGUAAAAGUCCCCAGCUUUGUUUGUGUUCUCACUUUUUUAGGUUAAUUCAUAAAGUGAGUAUUUCUCCUUUUUUAUUCUAGACUGUGGACACGUUUUUUACUAGUAAACUUUCUCCGAUGUAUAAGUGUAGCACUUUUUCUGAAAGCUCAAGUUGUCUAGAUGGUACUUUAAAAAAAUCAUUUUUUGAUUUUCCAUGCCAUUUAUUAAAUAAAUGAUUUGAUUGAAAAAUCACAAAACACCUUUUUUGUGAUGAACAGCUUUUACAGAAUUUAAAUUUUUAGAAGUUUUUUGGCUGUAUUUUGGUUAUGAAUUCACGUAGAGACUUGAAACUUGGUAAGAAUACUUGUAUUGGACUUACCUAGACGUGGUAAAAUUUCCAAAACCAUCGGACGAAUUUUAUUCCUUUUUUAAAUUUGUUUGCAAUGGUACUUUAUUAUUUUUUUUUUUUUUCUGUAGACCAUUUUUAUCCUAGAAAACUUACUCCGAUGUAUAAAUGUAGCACCUUUUCUGAAAAUCAAUUUUAUCUAAUUGGUGAAUAUAUAGGUCAUUUUUUGAUUUUUGAAACAAUUUUUUAAAAGAAAAACGAUUAACCGGGAAAAAAAUACGAUUUUUUCAUGAUUUCGUUAUUUUAAAUAAGUACCACAACUUUUUCUAGCGGCUCCGAUUGAAAAAUGACAAGGGAUCUUUCUUGUUGAUUUAUUAAUCUUGUUUUUAAUAAUGCAGUUCGUUUUUUUUGAUUUUCGAAUUAGUUUUCAUAAUAAUCAGGAAAAAACGUAGGAAGGUUAGGUUAAAAAAAAAUACGGCACUUCAAAUUAUAUAAUACUGAACUACGCUCGGAAUCGUCUUUCAUCAACAAUGGUUUAUCGUUACUUACAGAUAUUAAUGAGAUAACCUUAUGUAUCCUAUCUUUCCAACUUCUCAUCUACAACAGUGGCCGUACCCAUCCCCAGUAUCAGCUCUUUUUUUUUUUUAUCUAUGGUUGUAAUGUAAACAAAUGGCAGUUUUCACAUACAAUAGAAAUUGUAGUGGCUUAUCUUUUUCUUUACUAUCUAUGAAUAUUGUAUGGUUUUUUUCUUGUAUUGUGUUAAGAUAUAUGCUAUGCUUCAUAGUUCAUUGUAGAUUAUUCGCUUCACUUAGAAUAUAAAUUAUAAUAUUUGAAUGGCCCUAGAUUUAUACGAUUAAUAUGGUUUUAUUCGAAUGAUGAAUAUUACCGCAAAAAUAUUUUAUGGUCAUCUAAUUUAAUAUUCGAAAUAGUUUUGACGGAUCUUUAAUAUUAGGUACCUCUAUAUACACGCGCGGUGGGAGGUGUAGUAAUAAUAUUAGGAAAUUACAAUAUCCGUCUCGUUCGGUUAAUACGAUUAAAUUAUAUACAUAUUGUUUAAGUAUAUAGGUAUAUAAUAUGUUUAUCCGUUACGGUAUUAUAUUAUAAUCUAAUAAGAUUAUAUUAUUAUUGUAUUCUAUACGCCCGCUGAAAACGUGUGAAUAAGUACAUAUUAUAAUAUCGUACACUGACACUAAGUAUUAUAUUGUGUACGACAGGUGUCUCGUUGGGUUCACCGCGAUAUUGUUUUCGUUCCAUUAUCUGAAGCAACUCGUUCCUACCUGUAUUAUUGUCGACCAUAAAACGUCGCAGUUCCGCCAACCGUGGUACAUAAUAAACUUUCAUCCGUGACGACAGCACGCCCGACCGCCGGCCAAUCAUGAAGGGGUGUUAAGGGGUGGGUAAGUUCUGAACUGUGCAGACAUAAAAUUAUUGUUUAGUAAUUCAACAAGUUAAAUCUUAAUCUCACAAAAUAUUAAUGUAUCUUCUGGAGUGCCAUAAUGCGGUUAUCUUAUGUCCUUGCUAUUUAUAAUUUUUGUCAAUUAUAUAUAAUAGGUCGAUUUUGUAAAUCCGUUUUGUUUACGGACGGUUUAAAGCUAUUUAUGUGGAUUUCUUCAAUAGAUGAUUGUAAGCUACAAUAUGACCUCAAUCAAUUCUGUUUAUAGUGCAAACAACGGUCUAAACUUAAAUACGAACGAAUAUGCAUUCGCAAAUCUCAUUCACUAGAAAUCAGCAAAAUUAUAUAUUUAACUGCCAUAAAAAUAAUAAAAAACUCAGUAUCGCAUUUUAAGUUAAAGACUUAGGAAGGUAUUAUUUUGUCUUGCGAUCUUACAUAUACUGAACAUAUAUUAAUGAAACACAUAAUAAAGCUAUACGUGUAUUUGGGUUUUUAAAUACAAUUGCUGGAAGUUUCAUGAUCCAAAUUUGUUGAGUGUUUUUAUACUUCUCUUUUACGAUCAAUUAACACGUUUUAACACAUUGUCCAAUGUAACUGUAAAUGACGUAUUGUGUGGAUCCUAUAGAUGAAAAAAAUUGUUAGUUCUAUUCUAUAAUAUAGGUUAGGUUUUAUCGUUUAUUAUAGGAUAGAACUAAACAUUUUUAUAAUUUAUAUUUAAUUAUAUUUAACAUAAUAUUGGGCACAACAAAUUGUGUUUAUACGAAAUUGCAUUUAAUUUUUAACUGUCAAAAUCAUAUUUUGAAUAAGAGAAAUAACAACGAUUAUAUAAAAAAAUAAUAAUAAUAAAAAAUAUAGGCCAGCAUAUUAUUAUAUUUUAAAAGAACAAAGUUUGGUUUAUGUGACGGUUCUGUAUUUUUUUUUUUAAAAAAAACAACGAUUUCUCUAAAAAGCACCACCUGUAGUUUUCAAUUUCCAAUCUAUAUUGUUUGGACUACGGAAAACUAUUUUCUCUUUUUUCAAACACUUUACUGCCUUAAAAAAGUUGUAUUUAUUUUUGAAAGAACGUAGGCGGAAAAUACAAUUAUCGGAAAACACCGGUAGAAAACCAUCAAGUAUAGCUCUCUAAAAUAGCUUAAAAUAAUAAUAAAACAAAUUAUAACAUUGCCAUCUUAGGUUAUGUAGGUUUUUUACUUCACUAUUUCAUAGAAAUUGUAUUCGAAAGUUUUGUGUUUGCUAUUUGAUGACAUUUACAUUCGUCUAAUAAGUAUAACAACUAAAUUAAUGUUCUUAACCUUAGGAAUUUCCAAAUCUCUGUGUCCUGAGGCUAUUAAUCCAGUUAAGUUGGUACCAGUACCUAAAUUAUCACGUACUUGUCAUAAUAUAAUAUAAUAUUCAUUAAAUAUUGUAAUAACGUCGUAGGCGUAGGGUUAGGUUAGGUUAUUAGGCGUAUAUAUCUAUAUUUAGACGUAUUUACUUAAACAUAGAUUGAUUAUUCGAAGCGGAAAAUGUGUAGGGCCUCGUUAGUUAAUUCAUUUCUAAUUAUAAGUAUGUUUCGUGAAAUCUGAUUAUCCGGGUAAUAACAAAUUAUAAUAAAACCAAAGCCGAAUUAAGCGAAGUUACUCUAAAGAAACUUUUGACGUAUAUCAGUCCACUUUGAGUCACUCCCUAGUUCUAGAAAAGAGCUCUACUGACGGGGCUACUGGCUACUAUCCGAUUAGUAACGCGUGUUAGUGAUAAGUUUCAAGUUACACAACUUUCAAAUAACUUCGAAUUGCGUUAACAAUAACUCAGUUGUUUGCUUUCGUAACUUUCCGCCCGUUUAUGCAUAAACAAAAUAUUUUGGGGCUCAAUAUUUCCGAAAAAACAUUUUUCGUAAAAUUGAGAAAAAUCGGAUAUAUUUUAAAUUAUUUAAUAAAAUUGUUUUUUUUUUUUUGAAAAAAACUGGUGUUUCCUGGAAAAGUUAUAAAAUUUGUUGAAAAAAUGAUUGUUUUUUGUUGUGAUUUAGUUAAAAAUAUUUGUAGAGACUUGACAUUUUGGCAGAAAAUUUAUAUUUGCCCUUUUAUAGAAAUGGUAACAUUUUCAAAACAUUUGGGCCAUUUUGAGCUAUUUAUAGUCAUUUAAAUUAUGUGAGUUUUUUUAUGUAAUUUUUAUUUGGUAAGUACUCUGUGGGUAAUAUUGAUAGUCUAAAUAAAAUGCUUGAAAAUUUGACAGGAGGUUCAUUAUAAUAGUAGUAGUAAGUCAAAAAAAAAAAAAAAAAUUGAGUGUAAUCUAGUAUUUUUUUUUUUUUUUAAAGAGUUUUAAAAUUCAAUCUUUACGAAAAUCGUAAAUAUUACGGCCUUUCAAAACAUUUAUAAUCGAAAUUCUCCGAAUCGUUUUUUUUUUUUUUUUUUUUUGUAAUGAUUUAUUGUUGUUUACGAGUAUAAAUCAAAUAACUAUGUAUAUUUCCCGACUACCCUCCUACAACAUUGACCGUCCCGAUUCUCAGUUUUUUUUUUUAUUUAAACCCACGGUAGCUUUUCGCCGAUUACAUCUCACGUAGCCGGGGUGACAUAUGGCACACUAACUUCCUUGCAGUAGUUUCGGAUUGGAAAUUUAGGUUAGGUAAAUGGCUAUUCCGGCUCCUCGCCCCCCCCCCCGUCGAGUUAGCGAGCGAUCGGUGUCCCGCGCCAGCAUUCUGAACCCUUUUUUAUCGGGCAUUCGAUCGUAGACGUUUACACGGACGAAGAGAUAAUUGUUAGUGAUAAUUAUAGGAUAACUCUAGGAGGCUUUCACCCGCGGGAACACGAUUCGAAAUCCCGUAUUCAGGAGUACUAAAUUGGAAUGAAUUUAAUAUUAUGAUCCUAUAUCAUUAUUAUUGACGCAUAAUAUAUAUAUAUAUAUAUAUACGUAUUAUUAUUUUAAUAUUACCGGUAUUAUCGCCUACGAGCCGCCGCGGGGUCGUAUAAUAAAUCAACGCGGCUAAAUUAACUUUUUAUCGUCCGACACCAUCUCGGAGGUUUUUACGCGCGCGCUCGCUCAACACGUAGUUCGGACGUUAUCCCUCCGUAUACCUGAAUAUUGUAAUAUAAUUAUUAUUUCGGUGAUAAUAUCCAUUCAUUGAAUUAAUAUUAAUAAUAAUAAUAAUAAUAAUAUAGACGGUCCGCGGGCUGAAUACGAUUACAACGUUGUACGGCGGGUGAAAUUUUCGUUUUCGUAAAGUUUACGCGUUGUUGCAAGAGGCGGGUGUACGCAUAUACCUACGUCGUAAUAAUAUAAUAAUAUAAUAUUAUACGAUAUUAUUAUCAAAAGUUUAUAAAUUCGACUUUCGGCGCGUUUCGGUACGGAUACAUAUAUAUAUAAAGGCGGGCACGGGUAGGUAGGUGUAUACAGUAUAAAUUAUAUAAUACAGUUAUCUCGACUACCUCUACCUAUAGCCGGUGCCUAAUAAUAUAUAAUAAUAAUAAUAAUAAUAAUAGUACAUAAUAAUAAUAUUAUUAUUAUAUACUCUCGGAAUAAUAAUAAUAAUAAUAUACAAAGGAACCCGCGCGCUGCAAAAACCGCAGGAAUCCGCAGCCGUAGCACGGAGAAUAUCUCGGUCGGGUACAUAAUAUAAUAUUACGCGCGGUACCCAAAGCCCGGUGCCGUUCUCUAUACCGUGGUCGCGGCAAAUGGCAAUUAUUAUUAUUUUCCGGAAUCCGAAACAAUCGCGCAAAGUUUACGUACCCGCGAUACGGGACGCGCACGCCCAUACGCGCGACACGCGGCCGCGUCGUUUGUCCCGUCGGCGACGGCUUAUGACCGGGGAACGUUCGUUUUGAUAUUUGUGCACGGGACUCCCCGGACUCGGCGUUUUUAUCGCGUCAGAUUAUCGAACGGCGGGGCCGAAAGUCGCCGCGCCGCGCACCCGGUAUACUGUAUUCAGUGCGUACACUGUGCGCACGCGGAUACCUGCUGCACACGUGUUUUUCGCGUUAUCGAGAACCGCGGCCGCGGUGCCGUCAAAACGACUGCACGCGAAUCGGGCGAUUCACUAUUCCGCCGCAACAAAUCUCCGAUUGUAUACUUCGGUAACCCCUUGACGCGAACAAAUAUUUUUGCUCUUGUACUCGCAUGUUCAACAGCAUUAAAUUCGUCGUUUACAUGGUGUAUUUACACUUAUUGUUUCUCCAUUGCUUGGCUGGAAUAUGUUUCGUGAUUGUGUUGUCGCGUAUUUCUGUUGUUUUUAGAAAUUGUAUAAUUUUCAUCUGUGCACACUUUUGCCGUACAGAUUUUAGUCGGGCACUGUCGAAACGUACAAGUCUUUUAUUACACGAACCAAUUUGAAACUUUUACAAUUUUUUAAAAUCAACUGUUAUCACGUUUACUUUCCAUAUAUUUUCCGUAUAUUUUCCAUUGUGACAAAUGUAUUUGUUUCUCGAAAGCUUCAAUAUAAGCUAAAAUGCAAAAUCCUACAAUCGAUAAAACAUAAAACCUCUACAACACUUUACCUAAUCUUAACAGCAUUGUCGAAUAUCACAUGAGCUCCGGACAUGAUCCGGACAGUGAAAACUUUUUCUAACGUAACUCUUUUUAACUAAAAACUCUAUGUAUCGUAAAAAUUACUUAAUAGUGGUCGGUGUGAUUUAUAACCCAUGCAUUAGUAUUCUACUCCUUCUACUCUAUUCAACGAAAGAAGUCUCUUGGUACCUUAAGAUUUGUUAUAAGGUGUUUUCACUGUAUAAUAUUUCGUAUUUUCCAAUCCAUAAUAUAAUAUUUCAAUCCUUACAUUAAGGGGUUACCAAAUUAUAAAAACUGAAAUUUGUUGUGGCGGAAAAUGGAAUUACAAAUUAAUAUACUGGCGGUAAAAGGACUUGGCGAUAAACAGAUAGGUCGAUUUUGGUGGAAACCGGUGACGCCCUGCGAAACGCGUCUCGCAUCAAUGGUCCUUUCCGAGUUACGUUUCGGUUAAUUUUUUUGGGUGAUAUAAGUUGCGUCCUGAAUUUUUUUCGUGUGCAUACUGUAGUUACGUACUACUAUUUUUUUUUUUUUUUUUUAUAAAUGAUAAUCCCCUUACCGUUUUUACACAGACUUAGGAUCUACUUAGGUUCAAAAUAUCAUUUUUCUGGUGACAUUUAUUAUUCCGCCGGUAUUUUAUAAUUUCGUAACUACCAUAUGUAACAAAAAAACAAAAAUGUUAAAUAAAAACAUAUUUUGGUAUCAGUAAAUAAUCGGCCGAGUCACCGUCAACACUGCGAUGUGACAUUAAUACGGUGUUUGUACACGUCAUAACGCUGCACACAAAAUAAUUAGAAAAGUUAAAACGUAAUUGUUUAUACUAAUCGAUAAUAAUUACCUACUCGAUAAAACCUACUCGAUAAGGCCGUAUUAAAAUAUUAUUAUAGACAUGUUCACUAUCUGAGACGGUUGGGACGCAAUUAUUAUAAUAUUAUCUUUUUAUUCGGGAUGCAACUAGUGAGUAACGGUCAAAUAAAUGACGAUAAAUACAAUAUCACAUAGCAAUAUUUUUACAUGUCAAUAUAUUAUUAACACGUAUACGUCUUUUGGAAACUACCGCCGCCGCCGCCGUUCGACCUUAACCCGCGCUCGUUAAAUUUAUAAUAUUAUUAAUAUUAUAUUUUCCGCCGAUCGUUAGGAUAGCGAAAACCCGGAAAUACUGAUAAUAAAAUAUUGCGCAAUGCGGAUACGUUGGGCCGUUCUCGCCAACGUAAAAAAAGGCGUUUAUCGGAUUCUUAAACUCAGUUUAAAAUUCAACGUUUACGUUGGUGAGUGUUGGAUUCUAAACGCAUGGGUUUUCACUAUUAUAGUAUAAUAAUAUGAGGUGUGCGAUUUUAUUUUCUGUCUACAGUAAUUUUUGCUGUAGUAAUUUGUGUCUGUUUUUUUGUAAUUUUUGUUUAAUAAUUGAGAAAAAUCGGUAAAAACCGUAUAAGAAAAACGGACAAAUUUACGGAAAUAACGACUUCGUUGUUUUUUUUUUUAUUAUUUUUAGUAAUAAGUGGCUGCAAAUAAUCUUAUAAACCGAAAACGUUCACAAAACCCUUCUAUUAUCCGUUUCUAAACGGGUUACAUUCAAGCAAUUUUCGAUAUAUUUAUAGGCGUUUGACAUUUUCGAGUUUUUAAUAUUUUACUGCGUGAGGACAAGGCUUUACCCGAAUUCGGUUUCUAUUUAGCCUCUUAUUAUCAACAUGAUAAACCGUGUACGGGUCGUAAAUCUCUGUACCGUAAUAAACUCGUAUUAUCUUUGUAGUAAAACGGGGUGAGGUUGGAUGCGCAAAACGUAUCAUUGUAUAAUGAUUUAAAUAUAAAAUUAGUUAAAUCUAAACGGGGUGUUUAUUUCCGUUUUAUUGUUGUUGUUGUUGAAUAACGUAAUGAAAUAACGUCGUUAAUUGCAAAAAAAUAAAAAUAAAAACCUAGUAUGAAUUUUUAUUAUGCACGGAUCGUUUUAAAAACGAUGAUCGUGUAUUAUACUAUAGAUAAGUACUUAUUAAUUUGUUAAUUAGCCAAGUAACUUUACGGUGAUCGAGUUUGCGCAUUAUACAUUUUAUAAAAAAUAAUUAUUAAAUACCCGAUGGUCGUGUGUAAUGGUUUAUUUGUCAUAUACAGUUCAUAUAUGACACUUGAGAGAUUUAAGUGUAUACAUUGGGUGUUCUUAGAGUUUAUUACGAUCCGACGGUUAUCUACGAAAAUGCUGAGUAAAAUGUUUAUUUUAUCAUGUUACUCUCAUUCUAUACAGUAUGCGCAAUAAACACAAAUAAACUUUUUAACUUCCAUAAAUGGCAAUCCCGGACUGUUUUCGAACCUGAAAAUUCGAAAAAUUAAUGUUUUUCUAAAUAAAAUUUGAUAUAAUGGACAUCGCAACACUAAUAAUACAAUAAUAAUUGAAUUUACCUUUUAUGAGUUAUACCCAUGGCAGUUAUAAUAUUUAAAAAUUAGCAAAAUAAGCAACAUUGCAAUAUAUUUAGAGAAACAUUUGCUCUUUAUGUUUGUAUUGAAAUCGUGUCGCACCAGUUGGCAGAUACCUCGAUUUGUCAACACAUUAAAUGAAUAAAACAAAAUAAUGUUUAGUAUAAUAAUAUAUUAAUUAAAAUUAUUUGUAAAAACCGCGAAUAUUUUUCAAAUUAUCUAUCUAUAUAAAAACUAUAUAAUAAUAAUAAUCUCAUUAAUCUCAUUUUUUGACAUUUUAGCAUUUGAUUCUUUCCGAGUACUACAUCGACUUCAACAAUUAUCAAUACAUUUAUAAUAGUGGUUAUGACCUAUAUUUCUAUCUUGUUUGUGUAAAUAAUUAUGCAAUACUAAUAGUUAGCUAUCACAAUCAGAAUUUAUUAAAAAAACACGAUAUAUUAUUAAAUAACAAACUGACUAAGUACUAACGAUGCAAUGACUACUGGGUAACUGUAACUGACAUUAAUAACACCUACAUAUUCUUUAUUUCUUUCGUGAUAGCAUUGGUAUUUAAGAUAACAUUAUCGUCAUUAUCAAUCACUUUGUUCACGAGCCGGUAGAUGAGAUGUGGUUGUUAUCAGUGAUGUCAUCGCUGAUGUCAUCAUAUAUUAAUUAAUAAGGAAUAUAAGGAUCGUAGUAUAGUUUUAUCAAUAUUUUGAUUGUAGAUAGCAAUAUUCUUGAUUUCCACUAAACAUUUAUUUUUGUUUUAUAGAAAACUUUAAUUUGUCAGUGAAUUAGAAAUGUUUCUAUAACUACCGAAUACUGGUUUACACGUCAGCGAAACGAGCACUCGGCGAAUCGGGCUUAAAUCUUUGAAAUGUGGUGAGAGCCACGGAGAAAAAGGGUGGUGACCAUUUAAAAAUCAAAAGCCAAUAGAAGUAGUAGUAACAACUUGAAAACAGUGUUCAAAUAAAGCUUUAAAAAAUCGUCAAUGAUUUCGAACUAUACGGAAAUAAAAUGCAUUCAAAACAACCCGAAAAAAAAUCUUUGAAUGAUGAUUAACAAAAAAAAAAAAAACAUUGUCCUGUAUAGAUAAUAUAAACAUAUUCGUAUUAGUAGGGAUAUGUUUAUUUUUUCUUUCUAAGAAUAACGCUGGUUUUAGAAAAGUGAAUGAUGACGUUUUUCGAGAUAACACACCGUCGUACAAUCAUGUGCUCCUCUUAAAGAAAUCGUCGGGCGUUUAUGUUUGGUAGAAAAAUAUAAAAACUCAUCUCGGAUUCGGAACUCAAACAUACCCUAGUACCAGUGAAUAAAAAUACGGUUUUUGUGGGCCAAAAUGGGCUGGCAAAUUCUGAAUUACUAGUAAGUAAUUAACUUAAGGUUAAUACAUAAGGUUAUUUCAUUUAUAUCAGUAAGCAACGAUAAACCAUUGUUUGACGAAAGACGAUUACAAGCGCAGUUCGGUAAUAUAUAAUUUGAAUUAUUUUAACACACGUAAUUUUUUUUGCGAUUUUCGUUUAAAUUUGAUUUCAAAACUUAUUAAAAAAAAAUUGUUGAUUUUGAAAAUUUCACCACGUCUAGGUAAGUCCAAUAUAAGUAUUAUUACCAAAUUUCAAGUUUCUACGUUUAUUUAUAACCGAAUUACAGCAAAAAACUUCCAAAAAUUAAAACUACUUAAAAGCUCAAAAUUUUUGGCAAUGAUACCGUAAGAAAGUAAAUCAAAAAGGCAACAAAAAAGGUAUUUUGUGAUUUUUCGAUUUAAUAAAGUAUUCUGGUAGAAAACGCCGUCCGUGUUUUUAUAAAUUAAUGAAAUCGUGAAAUUUAUUGUACAUUUUCCUAUCUUUUUUUCCAUUUAAGCUCUUUUAUUUAAGAAAUGGUGUUAAAAAUAAAAAAAACGACUUCUUUAAAGUACAAUCUAGAUAACUCGAGCUUUCAGAAAAGAUGAUAUCCGUCAAAAUUGGAAUAAGUUUACUAGGAUUUGUCCACAGAUUAGAAAAAAUAAAUAAACAUCAUUGUAAAACCAAUAGCUCCCUGCUACGCUUAGAUUCUAAAAAUCAUUAAAAAUAUAGAUACACUUUAUCUAAAUUUAAUACUGAUUUUAUAUUAUGUAAGUUUUUAAAAUAUUUCGACAAUUUAAUAAAAUAUUUUGGUCAUAAUUAUAUAAAAAAAAAAAACUUAAAAUUCAAUUUGUUUGUAAAACCGUUUUUUUUCUUCAAAAAGACACUUUUUUCUAGAAAUUGUAAUCCUUUAAUUAAACGUCCGGGAGAAAAACUAUGUGCCAUAAAUUAUUGAUAACUUUAAACAAUUUAUUCAAACAAUUUAAUUCCGUUAGUAAAAAUUAUUUUUUACAUUAUCUCUCCCAAAUGGAUGAUAUUAUUUUAACAUAAUCAUAGAUGCCUCGUCUCCUCUCAAAUAGUUUCUAAAAAUACUAAUUAUAAUUGUAAACCACUAAUUUAAUCAAACAAUAUUUUACUUGUAAUAUAUGAAAAAUUAUUUAACCUAUUUAAAUUAAAUAUCCACAAAUAAGUAAAAGUUUUUAUUUGUAAUUUGUUUAAUAUUGAAAUCUGUUGAAGCGUAUCAAAUGUAAAAUGGUACCUAGUUUAAAUAUUUCCAACAAAUAUUUAUAAUAUAAAUUAUGUAUUAUAUAUUAUAUAUGUUUAAAUACUUUUAAAAUAAUUAUAAAUAUGAUUUAGACAGUUAUUAAAAAAUACAUUCUGAAUACAUUUAAAAAAGUAACAACAAGACUGUUUCUGGUGUAAUAAUUUUAUAGUGCACAUCUUUAUUAAUAUGUUGUCACUAGUUAUCAAACAAAAAAUUAAAAGGGGGGAUAUUCCACCCUAACUCCCCCCCCCCUCUAUCCGUGAACACGCCCGUGUAUAUCCGUGUCAAGGAUGCGUUCGUAUUUUUCCGGACUUGAUUUACCCGCAUGACCCAGAGACCUCCCGACGAGUACCUACUUAUUGUAGUGUAGUAUACCGUGUAUAGCCUUAGUUUUUUUCUCGUAUCUACGGAUGAUGAAUACCGAUUCAAUAUGGAUAAAAGAAAUAACAAAUUUAAUCAAAUGAAACUGAUAACCAAUACGUAUUUUUGUUUUUUUUUUUUUUUUAUGAGUUAUUAUUUUAAUUUUCUUUUUUCUUUUUCCAAAUAUAUAACAAUAGUAAUUGGUUUCAGUUGUGAUUCGCCACGAGCGGUACCGUAGGCUGAGGACGUUCGAGAUGGGGAAGGGGGAUUCGCCGUUAUGAACUCCUGUCCAAAAAAAAUCUCAUCACUGACGACAUCGUCGUCGUGACAUUGUUAAAUUAUUUUAGGUGUAGAUACAAAAAUUAUAAUUAUUUUUAAGAAUUUUUUGUUUUAUUAUUAUUUCAAUAACAUAAUAAUAAUAUCAUUAAAAUUAUCUCGUGUACAAAUAUAAUUAACGAAAACAGUUUUUUUCUCUAACAAAUUGAAUUUAUUAGAUUGUUAUUUAUAGCGCGUUACACGUCAAUUCGUGUUACUUUAAAGACAGAGAAAAAGAAACGUUCAUCAUUGUCUAAGAUCACAGAAUUGAAUGUUAUUGUUUUAAGUAUUUGUAGUACAAUACUUAUUUUUAAUUAGUAAUUAUUUAUAUUUACAAUCUGUUAUUACGUUAUCGCAGAAAACGGUUUGAAGAAAGCUUAAAUAGCUUAAGAAUUUAAAUUGUUAAUAACUCAUUUGUCCUAUCAGCAGCUUGCUUAAACGGAUAAAUACAUUGUAUUGCAUUGUAUUUUUGUUUUUAAUGUACAAAAGUCUGUAAGUAAAAAAAAUAAUUGUUCCCAUAAAUAUAUAUUUUCUUUUGAACAUUUUGAAUUCUAUGUGAUAAAAAUGUUUUAGAUUAUAUAGUAAUAGUAAUAAUUGAUAUGCAAUUACUAGGUACAGAAUUGUUUAUUAUUUUCUAAAUCUGUAACCGAUUUCUCAUAUGAAAACCCGCGAUAGUUCGUGAGAUAGCUUAUGAGACAAUCUCAUAUUAAGACUCCUUUUUGAAAUGAAACUUUCCUUUUUAUUUCUACUCAUUUUUGGCUCGUCUCUGUCGUGCAUUAUUCGAAGACCCGUGUAUUGUAAAGGUAGUUGUAUACGAUUUCAUUAUUAUUUUAAGUUGACACAAAAAAUAAGCGAUUUAUUUUGUUUUUCUCUUAUUUUUAUACUAUUUCGACUAUUCUUUCUCCCUUCGAAAGUAUAUUUUAUUUCCCUUUUCUAAAAAAACAUAUUUUGAAUAUCUAUACAUCCCUGAAAAAAAUCAUAGAAAUACUUCAGCGUUCUCUAUACCUAAAGAACGACCUUAUUGUUUAAAUACGAACAUAUAAUAUGAUACAAAAAAAAAAUUACCCAGAGUAAAAUUUAUUUUUCCCUUCCAUCCUUACGGGAGUAAAAAAAAAAUACACUGGUAUUAUACUUAUUAGUUGUAUUUCUUGGAAGGUCUAUAAACUGCAUUAUUAUAGGCUAGUAAUAUUUAAUAUACAUAAUAUUAUAAACUGCCAAGGGCCACAUGAAAAUAAUUCUGGGAUUAUAAUGAAUCUCUGACCUAUAAUAAUAUUAUUGAACGAAAAUAAAUAAAAACGUAAUAAUAUUUAAUGUCGAAAAUAUAAUCUGUAUUAAUGAUGUCACUAAAUAAUAUUUUUUUACAGAUAGUUAUGUGUUCUUUUGUUGAAUUUCCCUUGAAAAUAGAGACUAUUGAUCGUAGUAAAAUGGAUUCUCAAAAUAUUUUAGCUGUAGUAUUAGAUAUAGUAAAUAAUGAUGUUGAAAAUUUAGGUAACACAAAAUGUUUGUGACAGUUUGUCAUUUUGCAAUAAAUAAUAAAAUAAUUAAUAAGCAAUUUAAAUUUUUGUUUGGAAAAUAUAAUCAUAAUUUAAAUUAAUAGUACAAAUAUAACAUUGUUUAAUAAUAGUAAUAGUUAGUUUAAUAUGUACCUAUUUGUUAUAUUCUAUAAUAAUACUAUUGUAGUUUAUAGUCUAUACUUUAUGUGCAAAUACGUAUAUCAACAUUACUAAAACUGUGUUGUGAGUGUUAACAUUCACGAGUAAAUAUUUACAUUUUUUUUCAUUUUUCAACAUUCACUAAUUUAGGAGGUGUAUAUCGACAUUAACCAGUGACUGUCAGCAUUCAUCAAUUGCGGACAUUCACAGUAGGUAACUUAUAUAUAUACAUAUAUCAUACAUUUUAUAUUUAUUUAGCGACGAGAUGAAAAUUUAAAACAUUUGAAUUUUGAGGCGAGAUUUCUGGUAGUAAAUAAAAUAGAAAAUAUUAAAAACACUGAAAUCGGUAACGCCAUAAUUGUUGGUUUUUUCUCCAGGUUUAUCCUAUUAUUAUGAAAACCACUUGGAAAAUCGAAAAACUGAUCUGCCGAUGUACCAACUAGAUCUAAAAUGCGGCAAAAAAUGUCUUGUGUCAUUUUUCAGUUGGAGCAAAAUUGUUGGUAGAAAAGUCGUUCGUGUAGAGAAAAGAAAAAUAACCAUUCACAAUUAAUAAUCAUAGUUUAACAUUGGUUUUACUAGCUAUGCUCAAAAUCUAAAAUAAGCACAAAUAUUAAAAUAAAUAAAUUCCUCACCAUACCCUCAGAAUCUAAAACUAAUAAAGCUGUAUUGUGCGUCUGCUUUAGUUAUAAUAAUCAUACAACAUCACUAUAUUAAUACUAUUUUAACGCGUACGAUAAUAUAAGUUUAUAUAGCACUUUGGUUGUGUUCAGAACACUCGGCAUUAUAUUUAUAUACGUUAUGCGUAUAGUAGUAUAAUAAACAUAAAAUAUUAUCGUUAUGACACUCACGGCUUAAUAAUAUUCUCGUUCUCUAUUUUACACGCGGUUUAACGGUCUGAAAUUGUUCGGAUAUACAUAAAGAUGAUAUGAUAGUAAGAGAGAGGUAAAAAAAUAAAAAUAAAAAAAUACCUACGCUUUAUCUUAUUAUAAUACAGACAGUGGUGUAUUUAAAGGUAUAAUAAAGAGAGCAACUAAAGCUUUAAUAAAUAUUUCGUACCGUAAAUAAUUAAAAGAUGAUUUUAAAAAAAAAAAAUGGUUUAAGAAAGAUAGGUACUAGGAUAUACUUGUAUAUUUAAAUAGAUAAAUUAGCGUUGAUAUAGUGCUGACGGAUGUGCCACUGGUAUAUAGGUAUGUAUAGUACGAAUGGUACGAUAUGUAGCAGCAGUGCCCUUUAGAUUUUAAACAGGAGCGCAAACAUUUAAGGGGGACUAGUUAAAUUUCUUCAAUAAACUACUUCAACUACAGUGAUACUCACUGUCAUCGAAUGAAUUUUAGCCAAAGCACAGUUCCAGAUUAAUUUUUAUCAGACAAUACUAUUUCCUUAUCAGACGAAACGAGUAGGCAAGAUUCAUAUCAGUGAACACCUAUUUCAAAAUAAUCGUUUCUGGUUUAAGGUUUGAUUAUUUAAGUUAAUAAAGUGUCUUUAAGUUUCCAUCCUAAUUUACAAUAAUCAGUUUGGUUUACAAUUAUCAAGUCUAAUGGCUUAAAGUCAAUAAAAUUAUAUGUCCAUUUGUAAGUUUGGCUUAUUUCCAACAGUGAUUGAAAAGUCAUAAUAACGAGUUGUAAAUUGUGACUAAUAUUUUUAUACCAAUCAAAUACUGAAUUCAAAAUGUUAUAUUUAAAUUAAAUCCAUUAAAAUCAGCAUAAAUUAUUACAAUGGAUUCCGUUUAAUAUGAGCACGUUGGGACCAGUUACAUUUGCCCACAUUAAGCGGUUUCCCAUUUCAACUUAAAUGAGUGUCUUUAUACAUUAGAGUCGGGACCAUUAUGCCCGUAUUAGGUGAUUGGCCAAAUUAAGCGAAAUCCAUUGUAUUUACACAGUAUAUCAUGACAAAAUUACAGAAAAUAAUAUAAUCAGGUGUUCACUGAUAAAAAAAACUCUCUUAUUUAUCUAUCUGAUAAUAAUUUGUGUGGAAAUAUACUAUGGUGAAUUUUAAUUAGUUGACUUCUGGCUUGCUCAUAUUUAUUGUUCAUAUUUAGACGAGCUCUGCUGAAUAUUGGCUUACAAAUCGGACUUCCGUGGUUAUGGGACGAGAUAACUUACAUGUUCCGGAAUGUAGGAAUUUGUUCCCAAACCUAAAAGGGUUUCACUAAUUAUAUAAAUUAUAUACUUACAAAAACUAUUAUUUACAUUAGAACUAACGAUGAUUUUAUUUCGGUUCAUUCACUUACUUAUUGGAACUAAUUUCAUGAUAUAGAAAAAAAAAAGGUCUUGCAAGUGCACUUCACGUCCCCUUUCAACAGUGCCCCUUAUAGAGUAAUUCAGUUGUUUAAUGUUAUAUAUAUAUAUACAAUAAAAGUUUUUUAUAAACCGUUUUUGUGUCAAAAAAUUUCAUCCAAAGUUCAUAUCGGAUUAACAUAUUUUAUUAUACGAACAUCACGUGUAAAAUAUUUUGUCUUCAAAUUAUUGAAUAUUUAAUCAUUCACAUAUAUGUAUAAAAUAUACACGUAGGUAUUUUUACGAAAAAUACGUUGACGACUGCGUUACAUAUUAUUUCCGUAAGACCUGUUUCGCGUCGAUUAUUCAAUCGAGUGAUAUUCAUUUUUGGUAGUUCUAAUCAAAAUGUCUGACAAAAAUAACGGUACUUACAGUAACUCGAAUUUAAAAAGAAAAUAUAAUUGGAAUUUAAUAAAUUUGUUAAUACUCAACAGUAUAAAAGACGUCAUAGGAUAGUGAGGACAGGUGCAGUCAUUGUUGUUGGUAAUUUAAUGUAAAUCUGUAAGCAAUAAUAAACCAUUUCUUACGAAAAAAAGAUUCUGAGUGGAGUUCAGUUGCUAGUGAUGUUUUGUCAACAAUAUAUAUGCCAUAUUAUAUUAAAAUAAUUAAAUGGGCUAUACAAAUUUUCUUUAUUAUAUAUAUUUAAUGUUGUACCGAUUUCUCCGGUUUCCUACUUUUUCCUAUGUUUUUCCCAGUUUUUUGUAUAAAGUGCCUCCCUACACCGAUUUGCUUUCAGAAAAGUUGCUGCACGUAAAUAUUAGAGCAAGUUCUCUGGUAAAAAAGCCGUCCACAGAACAAAAAAAUAUAUAUCUUUGUAAAACCAUAAGCUUCUUCGCUCCGCUCAGAAUCUAAAAAACACUGUAUACGAAAAACAUUCUACCACCAAAAUCGAGUAAACUUAUUUAAGAAUACAUAGAUCUUUAUAUAUAUAUAUGUAUUUUAAAUCGAGCCAUAGUAAAUGCCUCAAUAUUUGUGUCAGCUGUUUAAGACUUUUAUGAGGAAAAUUGCACAGAGAGUGCAAUCCCCUCAAGGUAGACAUAUAUACUCGCAGAGGACUCGCGCGGGUUGGUUACUGUAUAUUAUAUCGACGAAAAAUUCGGAAAGAUCGAAAAUUCGAUUUCAUAAACUUUUUCGGUCCGCCGUUUCCAUAUACGCUCGUAUAGUAGAAGUGUAAUUGGUAGUUAUAAUAAUAAUACCAUCCGGAAAGUUUUCGUUCCUACAAAUUUGGUCGUAAAACUUGCACGGUGACAGCAGCGCCGUUGAUCACACCUGUAUACGAGGCAUUUUUUUUUUUUUGUUUUUUAUAUUUCUUUUGCUUUUUUCAUACCACCAUAAACACUAUAAUCUUUCACGGUGCACCGUUAAAUAUUUAUAACAGAAAACGCUCGGGAUAAAGAUAGUAUACGUCAGCAAAAUUACGAGAGAAAACUCCUCUGCUUCUUCUUCUUCUUCGUAUACUAUUAUUAUUAUUUUGAAAUUUUUAUUUCGGUUUCUCUCGCUGCCUUAGAUAAUAAUAUAUAUAUACGCGUAUAAAUGUCAUAUAUUAUUAUAUUAUAUAUAUAUAUAUAUAUAUAUAUAACUUCCCCAUAUUAUAGGACAGUCUGUUUUUUCGCACCUCGAAACCACGUGUUUUUAUUCGGUCCGUUAUGAAUUUCUUGAGAACGCAAUAAUUUGACGCACUGAAACGUGGUCGAAUGGUUACUGCAGUAUUAUGUGUUCCAUAUAACUUCGUACCUACAUAAUCCCUAAAUAUAUGUAUACAAGUAACGAGGGAGGGGGGAGGGGCUAACAGAAUCGGAAAAUUCAAAAUCAGGAAUAAAUAUUAAAUUCAGAAACGCUAUUUUCGAGGAAUAUAAUUAACCAAGAAUGAUUUUUCUUGGGAAUAUAGAAAUUUGAGAAUGAAAAAUUAUUGGGACAAUUAAAAUUAGAAAAAUAUUUAACGCGUGGAAAAUUUAUAAAAAAGAUAAAAAUUAGGAUAUUCAGAUCAGUUUUAUACAUAACUGGUAGGCUCCAUGAUCUUAUCGAACAUUUAUGGAAAAAGAAAUUUUGUAUCUAUAUUUUAGAUUUCGUUUAGGUUGGGUUACCUAAAUUAACCUAAUUUAAGCUCAAAUGUAUUAUUUAAUUAUUUUCAAAAGGCCCUACCCAUUAAUUAUUACAAACAUAAAAUUAACAAAUAACAAUAGUCUAAAAUAUAGAUAAACAUUUUUUUUCCCGAAAAAUCUUUGAUAAGAUAAUGGAGCCUACCAGUUACGUAUAAAACUGAUUUGAAUAUCCUCCUAAUUUUUAUCUUUUCUAUAAUUUUUCCACGCGAUAAAUAUUUUUCAACCCUGUCAACUAACCUAACGUAUGGUUAGUUGACAGAGUUAGGUUAGACAAAUUAUUGUCACUUCUAUUAUUUCUAAUACGAAACGAAUGAAAAUAAACUAUUUUUAAUUUCUUAAUUUUUAUCGUUCCUGUAAUUUUUUAUUCCUAAAAUUAUAUAUUCCUAAGAGAAACCCUUCCUAGUCAUUUAAAUUCACGUGAAAUAUCAUUCCUGUAAUUGUCUUUUUCAUAAUUCCCAGACCCUUGUACUUUGAUUCCUUUAUUUAUAUUUUCAUACAUUUUUUUAAAAAAUUAAUAAUUAAAUAUUUAAAAAAAAAUAAUUUUUACAAAAUCCAAGAUUAUCAUUAUAUAAAUAUAUUUCGAACACAAAUUUUGUAUUUUAUAAUUAUUUAUUUUCUCACUUUUAGGAUAAGUAUAUUAAAAGGUUUUCAUUGUUAUUAAAUCAUUUUUAUCGAUUUACCACUUUUUCAAUAGAAACAAAUAUUUUUUAAGAUUUUUGUAAACCUCAAAAAAUUAUAAAAACUUAACGAUUCAUCAUUAAUAAAUAUUUCCAACAGUAAACUAUUUUUUCAAAAUAUUUUUUAUAUAAUGAUUAUCUUGGAUUUUUUAAAAAUUUGUAAUUUUAGUUUUGCAAAAAAUAUAAUACCUAAGUAGAAAAUAGAUGAUCCAUAGUAUCUAUAGUAAUACUCUAGAUAUUGUAACAAACAAUUUUUUUAUGAAAACUACAAUGUCAAUCAAAAUAUUAUUUUCUCAUCAGCUGUACAAAAUUUACUUCCGGAAACUGACCCCCGAUUUUGAUGAUUGGAUCAAUAUUCCGGAUAUUACUUGAUGGUACAACGUUACUAAUUUUUGUAACAAUUGUUGUCACUGUACAGCUUUAAAUUCGAAUACUUUUAAGAGUAUUAUAAUGUUUUUACUCGAAUUACAUUAUUUUUCUGUUUUGACCGGCAACUAUUGUUAUAAAUAUAUAAACUGCACCUAUCUAUAGUUUAAAAAAAAAAAAUCAUUCCAGUAUUUCCGGAUAAUAUAUUUUUUCGCGUUGGUGUUUUUGUUUACGACAACGCAUGCGGCCAAUCCGAGUUUCGUAAUAACUUUCCAAUUUCACAUCUGCAGCUAGUAUAUAUAAUAUAAACUUGUCUCGCCCUUUGUAUUAUAUCGUUUACGUUUCGACGACGGUCAUAUUGAAAGUUCAGUCGUCCAUCAUCAGUGUUUAGUGAUUAGACCCAAGACAAAGUCUGUUAUAUUUUUUGUUCUGUUAACUUCACACUCUGUCAUAUUCCACACGUAAUCACUAAACAUAUUUAACGGCACCACGGAUGAAAUAACACGUAUAUAAAUUUAAUUUUUUAUCGUUUCUGCAUUAAAAUUAUUAUUAUUAUUAUUUUUUUUUUUUGAUAUCGAAUGUAGCAAAAAAGUUAUUUCUUUCUCUUAAAUUAUAUUUUUUUAGGAAAAACUUUUUAUGAUUAGUAAAAAUAUUCAGAUUUUUACGUAGUAUUUUAAAAGAUGCAGAUAUUUUCCUUGAUGUUACUUUAUUAUUUAAAACAGUUGUUUUUUGAGAUUCCUAAAACUUUUUUUUAAAACAUCGUACUUUAUAUUUAUUUGAAUAAAAUACUUUUGAUGUUUAAAAUUUUCCGAUUUUUUUUAUGCAGAUUCUUAAAAAAAUGUAAAAUUUCAACCUAUUUCAAAAAAUUUUUUAUAUAAUAUAUUAAUAAACUUUCAACAAAAAUAUAUAUUUAUAAAUUGGUUUUAUUUUUUUUUUUUAAUUGCAAUGAUUUAUUGCUGAUUUAAAUUUAAAAGUUAAAUUACCUGCCUAUAUUCUAUUGGUUUUUAACUCCACAAAAAGGUUACAAGUGUUAAUUUAGGGGGGUCACCAAAAACCAUAAGUAUCAUGUAUACUGUGUAUCCCAUUAUUCUAUUUCUAUUAAACAAUUGCUGAAGAGCGCUUUACAUGAAAAAAAUAUUAGAGGGUUACAAUUUGUAAAAGGUUGAAAAUCACUGCUAUAUCCUACGCCUUUCGAUCUUCCCAUCUACUAUAACAGGUGUUGUGAAAUAUGUCCUGUCUUUUUCAUAAUAAUACUAUCCAAUGAGUACGAGAGUUCAUAAAUAUUAUCAAAUUUAAAUCAAAUAUAAUUUUAUUUUUAUUUACUUUUUUUUAUAUAAUAAUUACAUCUGUUGACGUCAAACGUUCUUUACUGUCCUACUCAUUCGACUCUAUCCCGCGUGUUUCAUUUUUAUAUAAAGAAAACCUUGACAGUUCAUGGUCUUUAUAUUUGCCACAUAGUUGUUAUUAUUAUUAUUGUAUCUAAAAAUGACAAUAACAGCUUGUGUGGUUUUUUCCUAAAUAUCCAGUCAUUUCUGACACAAUGUCUGAGCCAAAGUCGUUUUUUAUUCAUUUUCGUGAACAUUUUUUUACUAGUUCUUUGAACCAAAAUUGAAUUUCAUUCGUGACAUGCACAGUAAGUACAUACACUGUUUAUAGAAUAUUAGCACUAAGAUUCUCCGUUAGGAAAUUCAAUUUUUUAUAUACUUCUCAAUAAUUUGUGAUACCCUUAUUAUUAUUACUUUUUUUAUCAUCGAAAAAUAUAAUAUGCUUAACACAAAAUAUUAAAUAUAAUCUGGUUAAUUUAUCUCAAAAAGAGUUGCUUUUAGUGGGACAAAUGAGUUAAAAAACCAUAAAUGGUUUAAGCUUUACAUACACAAAUGAGAAUACAGCUUUUAAACAAUACAAAGAUUCACAAAUAUACACUAUUAUAAUUUACAGCAAUUAAUUUAUUAAUUUUUUUAUUGAAUAUAAUAUUAUAUUUAAUGUUAGUACUAAGGAAAAUACUUUUCUUUAUUUUUAAAGGAAGUGAGUUGAAAUUAACUGAACCCAGGUAAUCAACGAACCUCUAUCCAAAUUUUAGAUUCUGAGAAGAAGGAGGAAUGUAUUAGUUUUAAAUUAUUUUUAACAAUUUUUCUAUUAGAAAAUUUGCUCUGAUUUUCAAGUUUAGUGCAUUUUUUAAAAGAAACUUUGACUGGAUUUAAAAACGUAAUUUUUAAUUUUCUCAGGUCUUUUCAUAAUAAAUGAAAAUAAACGUAGAAAAAAAGUGAAAAAUUAAGAAAUGUAUUAUUUUCAAAUUGUAAAUAUUACGGUUUUUCAAAACAUUUAUAGCCGAAUUCCAAUCAGAAUCGUUUUUUCGUUUGCAAUAAUUUAUCUUUGCGUACAGACUUUUGUUGAGUUAUUAAUCUUGUUUUUAAUAUAGCAGUUCGAUUUUUUGAUUUUCAAAUAGUUUUCAUAGUAAUUAUGUAAAAACGUACAAUUUCACGACAUCAUUAUUUUACAUUAAUACGGAAAACGUUUUAUUAAAAACGGAAAAGUGCUUUAAUCAAAAAAUGACAUGAAACCUUUUUUUUUUUCAUUGUACAUCUUGUUUUUUAUGACACAAGUCGUUUUUUGAUUUCAUAUUGAUUUGGAAAAACCAGAAGAGGACGAAGUUGUUGUAAUUCAGUUAAAAAUAUUUGUAGUGACUUUAAAAUUUUACAGAAUGGUUACAUUUCAUAGUUUAAAUUGCACCAGUGCAUACUACAUAUCAAAAAUUGGACAAAAUGUUGAUAAUUUCAGCUAUAAUUGCCGGCAAUUUAAAAUCCGGGAAAUUUUCUAUCCGCUUAAUGAUUAUACUGUUUUUAAUAUUAAUGAUAACAGCACUUAUUUAAAUAGUAAAGUUGUUUUUUGGUGAUUAAGUAAAAAAUUACUGCACUUUAAAUUAUAUACAUCACUAAACUGCGCUUAAAAUCGUCUUUCGCCAGCAAUGGUUUAUCGUUGCUUAUAGAUAAAAAUGAAAUAACCUUAGGUAUCCUACUUUCCCAACUUUCCACCUUCAACAGUGGCUGCACCCCUCCCCAUUAAUAGCUUUUUUUUUUAUUUGUGUACUUUAUACAAACGUCAUAAUAUGACGUUUGAGCAUAUUAUGCUCUAAGACAAUGUUUUAUAUGUUUGGAAACAUAUAAAAUAUCUAUUUUAUAUAAAUGAAUACGUGUGUUUGUCCUUUAUGCAUUUAUACACCCAAUCAUCAUGUAAUUUUGAGAAGUAAUUGAUUACAUUCUCACGAAGGUUUAUAGCUAUUGAAUGUUUUUCUCUAAAAUUAGGUUUUUUUUUUAUAUAAGUAUAAAAAUCAAAUUAUUUUUGUUGAUAAAUGAGUGAAAAAUGGACGAAAAAUAAAUUAUUCUUAUUAAUUUUUGUAGCGCGAUUUGUUUGCUAUGCGGGUAUCUAUAAUAAUAGCAUAAUAUAAUGAUGCUAUUUUAUUUAUUAACUUUAUUUAGAAACUUUUGUAUUGCAUGGACAAUGUCGAGCGGGAUAGAUUGUAACUUAUAAAGAUCUCUAAUUGACAGUACUUUAAAUUUAAAUUAUUUUUAUAUUAUUAUAUAUUUAAUAAAUAAUUUAAAUUUGAUGACCCUUGUAUUUUAUUUUUGUUCAAACAUAUUCUAACAGCUAAAUUGUAUUACAUUAUUGAGAGUCUCAUUACAUUUUCCGCACACCCAUUUCAGAUAAUUAUACUAUACUGCGUAAUAGACUUGUAUAAAAAUUUACAUACAGUAUACAUGAAUUUAGUAGGUAAAAUUUUUUUUUGUUUUGUACAAUUUUAAGAUUACUGAUCUCAGGUGCAUUCCAAUAUUCUGAAUAUGUCAAAUCCUUCUCAAAUUCUAGUUAAUUUUUUUUUCUAUUUAGAGUUGGUAUUUACUCGCUGUAAGUUAUCGAAUUAAUACCAAACAUAUUUUUGUUUUAGUUUUAGUCUCAGUUUUAUGUCAUUAGUUUCAUUAGUUCUUGUAAUCUUAUAUUAUUGGUUUUUUACAUAUCAAAAAUAUCAAUUUUUAGAAUUUGGUAUCCCGGAAUUUUGUUUUUUUUUUUAUAUUGGCGUGAUCUAUAUUCUAUAUCAGCGGUUCUCAACCAUUUCAUAUCUGCGUGCCAUUAACACAUUUUGAAAUUUUUACACGUACCACUUGAUGCGAUUAUUAACUUGUUUUUUUACUUAUCAAAAAAUAAAAUGUGUGCAGUAUUUUACAUGCUUACAUAAAGCUUUUUAUUAUUAAAUCUACCCUAUUAUAUAACUAUUUAUUACUAAAAGUAAAAUUAAAUAUGUAUGGUAUAGAUAUUAUUUUUAUUUAUAUGUAUGGAUUGAUAAACUGCAUUUUAACAAAUAACUCUUUUUUUCAAUUAUAUUGAAACAGAUAUUUAUAGCUACCAUGAUAAAACCGUAAAAUGAAAUCCGGCCUUCUUAUUCUUGCACCAGAUAAUUAUGAAUAUUUUUCGAUAACGUAAAUUACGUUAUUAAUUAUUUAUGAACAUAACGAAAUAUGACUUUCUUGUGUUAAAGCAUUAACGAAUGUGCAGUAUUAUUGCAAUAAUACUAAAUAGUCAGAAAAUGGUUUUCCAAAAUUGUUUACAGUUUUUGAUAUACGUUUAAGGUUAGUGGCCCGGCCACCAUGCACCGACGGUGCGGUGUAUCAUACAGAAAAAAUGAAAUGUUUAUUUUUGCUCCUUUUCUAUAGUAAAAUGUUUUUUUUUCCAGUUCACUUUUCAAAAUUGUCAACAUUCAAUAGCGUGCUUUUGUAAUAGAUAUGUUGAUUUAAAAAUAUUAACAUAUUAUAUACGAGUAAAUACGUAUGCGAUAAAUAGUUUCUUAAUAAUAUAUAACUGUUUAAGUCCCUGGAUACCUCUAAAUAUAAUCUUUCAUCGGCGGAUAUUUUCCCCACCCGUAAAUUAUAUUUUACCUCCGAAGGUUUUGCUCCGGAAUUGUUUUUUUUUUUUUACGUUUUCCUGUUUUCAAUUGGCAUUUUGUGAAGUUAUUAUGCCGUGAAAUUAUUACACGGAUAUGAUCAUCAAAGUGAUGCGAUAACGAUUCGCUCACUCAGCAAUAAUAAUUUUCACGAAAAAUCAGUAUUACCUACUUUAUAUAUUUAUUUAUUUUCUGAUUUGAUUUCAGAUUUGCCGGAGAAAAAAAUUGCACCUAUAAUACCCAAGCUCAUUCGCGUGAAAAUUCUCACACCGAGUUUCGCAGGAAAUCCCCAUCGAUAUCCCCAGACUCGCCGAACACUACUCGGUAAUACCUAAUUUUAUUAUUAUUAUUAUUAUUAUUAUUAUUAUUUUAAUUAAAAAUUGUUUCUACUCUUUUCGUGAUAUAAUAAUGUAUAGAAAAUCGAUUUUUUCUGCGCACGGGUCGCCGCCGCUUUAUGUUUUUACAUUUUUAUUUCUACAGUGCCGUGUACUAUACGUACUAUACGUACGAAACGGUUUUCCGGGAAAUUACGACGGUUUAUGAAUAUUCAUGUCGUCAAGUAAAUAUUUUAUUAGCAGCGUAUAAAACGUUUUCGCGGUUUAUAUACACGGGAGAAUCAUCGGCGGUGGCGGGCGGAGACGCCGGGAAAUGAACGACAAAUGACUUUUUCAUCGUCGCGCGUUCUCGUCGUUUGAAACCUUUUAUAUUAUAUUAAAAUAUGUAGCGAUCGAAAUAUUUUUCAUACUCUCCGUCAGACUAUCACGCGACAGAGUUCAUUUCCCAUCUAACGGCGUUUGUUUCAGAGCAUUCGGUGUCCUAAAGUAGUGGUUUUCAACCUUUUUACAAGUCAUGAUCCCAUAAUUUUGUAGAUUCGGAGCAUAGCGAGAGACCUAUUGGUUUUACUAUGAUGUGUGUUUUACAUUCAGAGAAAAGUGAAGGAUCUACUGGUUUUACUAUCACGAGUGAUUUUAUUAUUUUCAAUUUUGUUUUUUGUUAUAAUCAAAAAGUUAAAAAUAUUCAUAAACAUGAUAUUUUGACAGAAAAUGUGUACAUUUGCUUUUCUAAACGUGGUCAAAUUUGACAUUACAAUUUUUAAAAUUUUGUAUGUAAUAUUUGUUUUGUAGGUACUCCGUGGGUAAAAUGUAUAAAAGUUUUAAUAUUCAAUUUUGACGAAAUUCAUAAAUGUGUAUUUGUGGUUUUUGGCGACUAUUACUCAAGACCCUUUUGGGUUAAAAACUACUGUCUUAAUGGAUUUUUAUCCCGAAAAUCAUAGACAUAUUUCUACAUUUACCAUAAUUUUACAGGUGUAACUGUGAUUUCUGGGAGAAAGUUUUGACAGAAUUUCACUCGAAAUUUCUAUAACACCAAUACGAUCCCUGUGAUCUUACUUAUAAAAUAAAUUUUAUAGUUUUUAUUUUGUACAGUGUGAAUAAUUUUUCAUUGGUUAUAAGAUGGAAAAGUGGAAAUAGUAGAAAUUACAAUGAAAAUAUGAUAUUUAAAUUUUUUUAAUUGUGCUUGGGGAGAAGGGAGUGAUGGAGUUAAGUUUUUCUGAAAUAUGGCUGUCUUAGAAAUAAACACUGUUCACGAACAGUCUGAUACAGUUUUAUCAAACUACACUUAAAUUGUAUAAAUAUACGAUUACGACAAUUAUAAAAAUCCUUCCGACGGUAGAACGAUAAAUAAUCAGACUUUUUAAACGAUACGUGCACAUGUAUAGUGUAGUUUUAAUUACCCUCAAUGUGUACAUGUUUGCCAAGGCGAGUUCUCUUGUUAAAAAUCCCCAAGUUAUAUUUAAUUUGUUUAUUUAUUUUUGGAAAGUACUAAUAAAUAGCACGUUGUUGGAAUAUUGAUUUUUUUUUUCUUUUAUGUGGUUGCUACUUGUUUGGACACAGUAAAAAAAUCAUAAUGACUCAACCGAGAGUUUUUCUUUAUUUUUUUUUAACAACAUAUUAACCAAAAAGAGGUAUUAGUUACUUAUUACAAUGAGAUAAUAUAAUAUCUUAUAUGUAUACUCAAUAAUACUGUAUUCGUUUCUCCAAGGCAAAACAACCCAAGCGACAUUUGUGUACCAUAUAUUUUAUAUUAUUAGCAUUUAUUCCCUAUUAUCGUCUUAACUAUUAAGUUCAGUUAAGUAUUGUCGUUUAGGUCCAUAAUUUAGAGUCAACACAUUAUAAAAUGUAAUUUAUAUCUUUAACCCAAAUAUUGGUGAUAAAAUAAUCACAUUGAUGUAACAGUUGGUCCAACGAAACGUCUAUGGUGUCUUCUCCUCUGUCCGAUAUACAUAUAGCAUAUAAAUAGUCACUUAGAUCUUAAGGGACAUUUUCGCCACUUUAUCUAAAAGCUACCGAUAUAUGUCGUCGGUCUAGAUACAAAUAACAGUUUUUUUUUUUUUGUGACAAAAUAUUCUUAUAAGCCCCUUCACUCCUCUCUAACGAAAUUCUAGAACGAAUAACGACUAUAAAUAACAAAAUAUUUUACAUUUUUAAGUCUAGCUGUAUAUAAGGUCAUCCAUUAAGUGGUUACACUUAUUAACUUGUAUUGUAUUCAAUUUUUUAAAUAUUGUUUGUCAAUUUAAAAAACAAGUGGCUCUAUGAUGUUCUAUUUCCAUUAUUUUUGUCAUCCUUAUAGUUGGAUGUGAAAUUACUAGGUAUCUACUUUUGAUUUUUAAAUGAUAACCUGCAUAAAAAAUUUCAAAAAAUAGAUGGAGUAUAAGGUUUUGAGGUUUAUAAUUUUUGAAUUCCAUCAAUCCGUUAACGAAAUAUUCGACUUUUAAGUUUGUGUGGGGGAGAAUAGGGGAGUAUUAUUAAAACUCCGCGUGCCAUGUCGCCGCAUAAAUGAUGCUUUACUACUCCUCCCCAACGCAAACUUUAAAGUAGAAUGUAUCGUUAACGAGUUGACGGAAAUCAAAACCAAAAGUUAUUUUAACUAAUAUUACAUCUAUUUAUGGAAUAUUUAAUAUAUAUUGCCUUUUUAAAAUCAAAAUGUACCCAAAAAAAUAAAGGUGUCGGUGAAUGCCAACUCAAUCACUAAAUCAAUUACAAGUUGCGACUCUGGUUUAUAAAAGGGGCGUACGAGUUUCGACCAGUGUUUAUGAUAUAGACGUACGAAUUCAGCUUCAAUUACUACUUUAUAUCAUCCUUUUAGCGUUACCCAGGAAAGAUUUUUUUUUUACACAUUUUCUUCGAUUUUAUUCCAUUACUUUUGAAUUUUUUAUAAGUUUCUGGUUGAACUUCUAGUAACACAUCAACGAAUAAGUUAUAAAUGUUAAAAUGACUAGUGUAGAACUAUAUGUUUAGUAUUAUAUUUUAGGUCGGAUACCAGUUUUUAUGCAUUACAUAAUAAAUGAUAAAAUAUAAUAUAACUAUAUUAACGAUAGAAUUUCUAGAUGAAAACGGUUCCUCGGGCUACAACUAACUUACACUCAACAUUUAUACCGAGCCGCUACUCACCUUCAGCCACCAAAUUAAAUCCACUCAAAUGGAUCACCUUGUAAAAACGGUUAAAAAUAUUUAACGUGCCUUAUGUUAAGGGCACUAAACCUUUGGGGUCCAGAAUCUCUUUAUUGUAAUUUUUGUUCUUCAAAUGUAUAAUAAAUAAUUUUUCAUUAAAAAAAAAUAUAUGUUCCGUGGGUUUUUAAAAAUGUUUACAUAUCGCUGAAAUUUGCCCACGUCUCUCUAGAGAGAAACAUGCUUCAGGUUGAGAAUCUUUGUCUUAUACUAUUAUUCAGUUGCUUUUGAAAACUUUCAGUUAUAGUUAUAUCUCAGACGAUUGAGUAAAAUCCAACUCAAAAAUGUAGAUCGCAAAAAUAAUGUAAAUUUUAAUGAUAUAUACCUAUUCUAUUAUUCAUACAAUAAUUACGCACCGAGCAACAGUAUUCAUAAAUAAUCAAAAUUACUUAAAAAAUACCUAAAACGCGAUGUUGUAUGCUGAUUAUAAUUUUUACUUAAUACUUCAGUGCGGGUGAUAAAUAGUUGUAUAAAACAAUAUAUUAUAUUAUAUUGUUAUUGUUUCGAACCAUCGUCAGCGAAGAAAGGUAUACGCUGAGAUUUUCGAGAGUUCGUGGUUGUUUUCGGUGGUGGAUACAUGUAUUACGAUUCAAUUGGACGAUAAAUGUCACAUUGAAAAAAAAAUAAAAAAAAAAUACGAUUAUCAUCAAAUAAUAUUAUAUUCACGGACACGUGUUUACCGCGGCAGUUUUAUACAUAUAAAAUAAUAAUUCAGCUACGCGUCUCCGCCGUUCCGCCACCGCACUGCUGUUUGCAGGAAAGUAAUUCCAUUUGUACUGCAUAUAGUAUAGGUAUAUACACGUGCAAACUACGAAUGAUUUCCUUAAGUGCUUUUAUAGGUGUUCAGGAAAACCGAAAAUUAAUUUAUUUUAUCAACGUGCGAAAUAAUGCAGUUUGCUGUGCCUGUAUAGUUUCUCUAUAUAUUAUGUACAUGCAAUAUUAUUUACAUUAUACCUAUAGGCAUAUACACAAAAGCUCUCAAUUUUCCACCCGUUUUUGAAUUUCCUCCUCGUCCAUUUACGCGUACGUCUUCCGGCAGCGUUGGCAAGCACGUCUAUUAUUCCGUUACUGCAUUUUCCGCUGUCAUUACCGCCGGCCGCCUCUGUCCGCGAAAUGUUUUAUGUUUUCCGCUCGGAUAACGUAGUGAUUUUUCAUGUGUCAGUACCUUGGUUCUAGGUUUCUCGGAGUAGUAUCAGGUUCUGACCAAAAGGUGGGUUAAGCUGUCCCUGUACCUUAUCUAAACUCGUGGCGGCUUUUCGUUGACUAGGCAGUAAAGUACAGGAAUUAGGUUUACACUUGGGACUGUAUUUGAUUUUCUUGGAGCAUUAUUACGUUUUUAAGCAGGUAUAUAAUGUGUUAUGUUUUUACGUUUUGUAAAACUUCAUAAAACUCUUAAAACCAGCUCUGUUAUGUUUCGGUUUGAGCCAAACUGAGAUAAGAACUGUAAUUUGUACGUGGGCCGAUAAAUCAAUAAUAAUAAUGAUAAAAAAAUCUCUAUACUUAUUCGUUAUAUCAGCUCAAAUUACGGUCUGACGAAUAGAUUUGGCGAUGUGUAGUACUUUAACUGCUGUACGGGUGAUGUAUAAUACUAUCAUUGUCAGGUAUCACUUAACAUUGUUAUAAUUUUAUAUAUUUUAUUAUACAAUAUUAUUCAUGGCGUAAAUAAAAUAUAUUACAUAUAGGUUAUAAAUUAUAACCUACAAUAUAAUAUAUUAUAAUUUAUAAUCAAGCAAAUUUGCCCAUGUUAUAACGUUAUUACUAUAUGGCUACUAAGCAGAGGCAGAUCCAAGAUAACACGGAGGAAAUGUUUGAAAAUUCAUAUAAGGCACAUAUUUAUUAUGAAAAUCAAGCUAAAACUGGUAGUAUGGGGUCGUCCUUGUCACACCCCCAUCUUGAUCCAUUACUGCUUUCGUGCUUAAGGUAUACCCUCAAAUUAUAGAGUCGAUUAUGUAUCUCUAAUAUUAUAGUUUUAUAAAUCGUGGGCACAAUAAUUCGCAUAAUAAAAACUAUGCCUCUAAUCAUAACGAUAAUUUAAAUGAUCACCCAAUAUUAAAGUAUCGGUAAGUACAAAGAAUAUUUUAAAUAUUUAUUUUGUAUAAUAUCAAUAACGAUGAUGAACGAUGAUGAUUUUUAAUAAUAAUUAAUAUUACAAAUCAAACAUUUGAUAACCAUUAUUGUUAUUGUUAUAAUAAUGUAUUUUGACGAUUGACAAUGCAUAUCAUUAUUCGAACCUAAAAUAAAUACCGUAUAUUUCGGCUAGACACGUGGGCCGUUUUUUUCAUAUAAUUAAUACAAAUAUAAUAAUAUUAUUACUAUAUGUAGUCAGUGACGGAUCCAGAGUUGAAUUUUAGGAAGCCUCUUGAAAAAAAUUAAUACUAAGAAAAUAAAAAGAGGUGACACUGAGGAUGGGUGCAGCUACUGUUGUAUGUAAGAAAUUGGGAUUCAAGUACAUGUAGGAAUCAAGAUCGUUAAUUUAUAUCUGUAAGCAGCGAUUAACAAUUAUGAACUCAUUUUUUGAUCGGAGUAGAAAACUCGUUCACAGACAGAAAAAUAAAAAUAAAAAUACAUCAUAGUACAAUCAAUAUAUUCAACGGUCCGCUCCACUUUUAUUCUUUAAAAAUCUUGUUAUUAUAUAUGUAUUAAACAAUUAAUUAUUUGUGGAAUUAAAAACUUGUGUAUUGACUGGGAGGCGAAGCUCCUAGGCCGGUUUCUGAAUCCGCCACUGUAUGUAAUAAACAACCGAAUGAAAGUAUUAUCAUUAUAGUUUAAUUUACGGUAUUUUAAUAUUUUGUAUCUACACACAAACACACACACACAUAUCUAUAUAUACAGGGUGUCCCACGAGGAUACGACAAAUGCAAAAACUUUUGUUCUAUUCAAUAUUUUUGAUGUAUAUUUUUUUAAAUAAUUAGUAUGCCUCAGCGCUACAGUUUAUAAAUCAACGUUUUUUUUUUUUUUUUAGAAGGAGGGGAACUUAAAAUUAAACAAUUUUUUUUAGGUACUAUCUAUAAUUUAAAAAAAAAAUUAAAUAUAGCCAAUUUGUAAAACAAAUUUUUAGAAAAUUUUUGGUGGUUGCAACUUUUGUUAAAGUAUGGUAUUACGUUUUAUACAAUAUUUUGAAGUUUUUUCAAAUGUGAAUAUUACAAUAUUUAAUCAGUCAGGGCACAUGUCAAAAAUUUUCUUUUCUAUGAGUUAAUAUCAUACAAUAAUAUUAUCAUAUUAUAGGUAUUAGGUAAUAUCAAUAAAUUAAUAAUGGUAAUUUAUGUUGAAAAACAAUAUUGUCACGAUUGAAAAGAAUUAGAAUUUGAAUAAUUAUUCAAAUCUUCAAAAAAAUCGUAGAAAAUGAUAGACCAAUGGUCUUAGAUCAUACUUUAAUACAAGUUUCAACCACCAACAUUUUUCUAAAAAUCUAUUUUACAAAAUGACCAUUUUGAAUAUUUAAAAAAAAUUAUAGUAGAAUUUUAAAUUUUUUAUUUUAAGUCCCCCUAACAUAAAAAAAAAAAAAAAAAUGUUCACAUAUAAACUAUAGCACAUAGGCAUAUUAAUUAUUUAAAAAUUAUAUAUAUAUAUAUAUCAAAAAUAUUGAAUAGAACAAAAGUUAUUGCAUUUGUCGAAUCCUCAAAGGACACUCUGUAUAAAUAUAUAUAUAUAUAUACACCAUAUGCAUAACUACCUACUCAUAUAAGAGGAUUAUAAAUAAUUCUAUUUUUUAAAGUUAUGUUAAUAAUAACUAAAAACAAUAACAUUUUGCCGUUGUUAUUAUACGAACUUUAAGUACGUACUUAUUGAUGCAUAAUAAUCGCACUAUAUUAUGAUCCAAGUGAUAGGUAUAAUGAUAAAUAUUUUAGCAGUCGUAUACAAUACACAUAUAUAUAUAUGUAAAGUGGUACAUGUAUACAUCAUCGUUCAAAAUGUCGGGGAUUAUAAAGAUUAUGUUAUUUAGACUGAAAAAGAAAAAAAAACACAAAACAGCGAUAUUAAUAUUAUAUAUAUAGUAUUAUUAUUAUUUUUUGUUUGACUGCCAAAAAGUCAAAGGCAAUAAUGAAUGAAAAACAAACCAUAAGACGACGUACCCGUAUAUAAUAUUAUAUUAAAAUUCAAAGUAAAUGAAAUACGAGAAACCGCUUUAGCCGAAAAGGUUUUCGCAGGGUGAAUCAUAAAUAUUAUUACUGCAGUCGGUGUUCUUAAAUAAAAUAAAAUAAAAUAAUAAUGUUUUCUUAGACAAAAAUCUGUGAAACCGAUAAAAAAAAAACACACACACACACACACACACACACACACAUAUAUACCAACAAAUUGUACUUUUGUUUGUCUCCAUAAAAAAAAAAUCGAUAAAGAUUAUUAUUUUAAAGGCAACGAUACAAUAAUGAUAAUAACAGCAACAACGAAAUAAUCAAUAGUGAAUUUCAUAAUAUUCAGGCUAAGUAGACUGAUGUUUUAAUGAGUUUGUGCGCGUUGUCAACUCGAUACCGGAUAUUUUGUUUAUUGAAAAAAAAAAAAAUCGAAAAAUAAUUUAUAAUAAUUGCUGAUUACAAUAAUAAUUUAUCUUAUAUAGUAAUAGUAAAUGGCUUUUAAAUUAAUAUUUAAACGCCUUGGUUAUAAUAAAAGUGACAAGUUUUAAAAAUAUCACUAAGGAGGAGUGGGGAAUUCAGUGAUAGAUUUAUAUAGGUAGAAGACUCACUGGCUGGUAAAUGGAGAUUGAAAGUAUUGUAAUAUUUCCGAAUGGUUGCUUUAAAUUUUUAGAUUUCAUGCGAAACUAUGUGAUAUGUUCUUUUUGUUUGUGAACUCAAUUUGGUAUUAUUUAAAACUAGAUAGUGAUAAAACUAAAAAAGGGCUGAUGAAAAUAUAAAUACUUCAUACUCGGAAACUAUUGUAACAAUUUAUGGACGUUGGGUCAAAGAAAUAAAAUGCAGUAAUCUGCAGGCAGGGUGUGCAUUUCAAAGGAAAAAGUGCCUAUAUUUAAUUCUAGAAAAAUAUAAAAUAAGGAAAAACCUACUAAGAAUUUAUGUUUAGAGCGUAGUACUUUAUAGGUGUGAGUCAUGGAAAAUAAGAAAGACUGAAGAAAAAGAAACUGGCAUUCGAGACGUUUUGUUAUCGGAUAAUUCUUAAAAUAAGUUGAAUAGAUUGAAUAAUAAAUGAAAAUGUUUAUCGUAAAGCAGUAAAGGAAUUAAUUUUCAUUAAAACCCUGAUCAUUAGACGAACUAAACCAGUUGAACAUAGUACACUUUGUUACAUUAAUCUAUUAGGAAAUAUAUUAGAAGGAUUAAUAGAAGGAAAAAUAGUCAGGCAAGGCAACCACUUGAUUAAAGAAGCCAAGUAGUUAUGGAUAUAUGUUUCGAAACAUACCAUGAAUUAAAAAGAAAUGCGUAAAGAAUGAAAAAUGUAUGCCAACCAUAACACAGUCAUUGGGCUGUAAACGCAAGAUGUGAAGAAACUGUAAGUUAUUAACCGGAAAACUUUUGUUCCAAACGUCGAAAUAAUUUAUACAUUCCAAUGUAUGUACACUUGCUUGAUAAAAGACAAUAUAUGUUAAUGGAAUCAAUAUUUCCUUAACAUUUUACGCAUUCAUACUUUAAACUAAAAGUUACAUCCGAUGAGUAAUCAGUAACAGUUACAUCAGCAGUAAUAGCUUUUUUUUCUUUUAUAAACUAAGUUUUAAUCAAAAGACUUUAUCCAGUCAUAUAUUUUGGAGGAAGUUUCUACAAAACAAAAUGUGGUUUAGCGAUACAUUAAAUAUAUCAUUUUUUGAUAUAAUUUGUACUUUUUUAAAUAAUCUAAGAAAACCAGAUAGAAAAAUCGCCGAAAAAACAGCGAACAGAAGUGGUGUUACACUUGAGCAAAGGUGAGCAAGUGCCAACACAACAUUUUAUUUUGCCUCUCCAUUACCGAUACUUUCCUGGAAAUAUGUUACGACAAUAUCAACGGGGAAGCAAGUAACCAAAUAUGAAAGCACUAUCAGAAAACAAUUUUGCCGGUUUUGCCCCCUCCCCUCCCACUUGAUACAAAAAUUAUGGCACCACUACUAACAGCGAAUCAUCAAGCAAUAAUAACUAUUUCUCUUAAAAAUUUUGUUUUUUUUUUCAUAAUAUUGUGAUAAACAGUCGUAGAUAUUUAGCCAUUUUACCGAAUACCUAUACUUAUAAUUGUAAUCAUUUUCUAGAUGCGUGAUAAUAUUUUAAAAUAUUUUAAGUUAUUUAUAGUUAUUUAAAAUUGGUUUGGCUUUAUAUAAAUUCCCGAAAAUUUAUCAUAAAUUGUACUUACUGGUAGGGAAAAAAGUUUAGUUUAUAAAUUGAGUUAUUUCUAUUUUUAAAAGAAUAAUCACGUUAGUAACUUUUCUAUCAUGAGCUGUUGCGUCGCGAGUUGUAUGCAAUUUCGUCCAUUGUGAGAACGAAAUCUCGUACCAUUUUAAAGCUAACAUUUCACCGCCUACACUACUAGAUAUUUUUAUAAGAGAAGAUAUUGUGGUGCUCUAGACGUAGUCGUAGUCAUAACACCUCCUCGGGAGAAUGGGAGAAUAAGUCUAUCAUCAUAUUCGACAGUUGCAGUGAAUCCAAUUGGUCUCUCUUGGUUCACUAGUUCACAAGAGGCCAUUAGAGUUCAAACCUUCAUAUGUCAUCACACUUCUAAACCUACACCACAAAUAAAUUACUUACGAUUAAUAAUUAUAACAAAAAAAAAAAAACCUAAAAAAGGUUUGCGAAAAUAAAAAAAGACUAUUACAAAAACAUUAUUAUAUUCAAUAAUAAUUGUACAUUUAUAGAAUGGCACCUAACAGUAAAAUUAUCGUCCGAAAUGCAAACCGAAAUCGAUUUGCAGGACCACCCGCAAACAUUUUAGUGAAAAAUAAAGUGACCGGUGACCCACAUCGUUUCAGUGUACCUAUAGAAUUCUUUUUUAAAUUACAUAGGUUUUAUUCUCUUUCAUUUUUGCUAAAAUAUUUUAACGAGUUGUUUUGGAAAACAAAAAAAAUUAGGGUAGGGGUGACGUGAGAAAAGAAAAAUAGGGUUUAGAGGCACUUGUAUAGAUAAUUUAUUGGGGAGGGGUGUUGAAAGUUAAAAAUAAUAAUGAAUAUUGUGUUUGUAAAACCCACCGUAUAUUUCCUCCCCUCUCUUUUACCUAUGGCUCUAAUAGGAGUUAAAUAUAAUUUUUAAAUAAUUUUUGAAAUCCUAAGUACCUAUAAUAUUCUCGAUAUCAUACAUGUUUUCUCUGGAAGCAUUCGUCUAUACAUUUUUAAGAUUAUUAUACAUCUAACGUUAUUUUACUUUGUAUGAUCCGUCUAUACAGAAAAAAAUGGUAAUACAGUAGUGACGUAUAAGUGUAUGCUAUUAUUUUUGUUUUAUAUUCAGCACCUAUCUGUUAACUCAAUGCUUCUACUUGAUUUCAGUGUUUCCACGUCACCUCUAUGUGAUCAUUUAGUAAUAAUAUUAUAAUAUCAUUUUAUUAAUCAUUGUUUUCGCUUUAAUGUCUUUAGAGCCUUUAUAGACCGAGCUACUAUCAUUCAUGUUAGAAAUAUUGCAAUAUUAGCUAUAAUAUAUCUAGAAUUUAUCUUAUGUAUCAAAUAUUUGGAGAAAUUCAUAAUGCCAUACAUACUAAUAGUGUUGUGACAGGAAGCCAAUAUUUUUGGACCAGAUUAACAUUUUUAGAUUUUUCAUAGCCAGAGUGCGUCCGCUAUCUUGCCGAAAAAUUAUAAAAAAUCACCGGAGUGUGUCCAGAAUCUUAUCGACAAAUUAUAUAGAACCACCCGAGUGCGUCCAGAAUCUUAUUGACAAAUUCUUUAUUUUAUACACACCACCCAAAUAUUUAUACAGUUUAAAAAUAUUUAAAAACGUUCAACGACCACUAAAACAGCAAGAAAAUAAAAAGUUGAUUUUACAUUAAAAAAAUUGCAUUCGAAGAAUGCAAUCGAAGAAAAUACUAACGAAUUUCGAACUAAUGAAAUAUCUAGAUUGUAUUUUGUCAAAGAAAUAUAAUUACCAGAUUUUAGUACUGUAAAAAAAACAUGGUACUAAUUAUAAUAGUAUAAAAUGUCAUUAUUUAACGUAAAAUUAGUACACUAGCUUUAACUUUAUGGAUCUUAUAAAGAUGUAUACAAAUAUAAAAAUUAAAAAUCAUUUUCGGUAUCCUGGCUAGUUCUCGAGGUGAAUCAUACGUAACUCUAAAUAAACUGAUAUGCAUUUGGGCUACGUUAAAAAAAAAAAUGAUUUUUUUUUUUUUUUUUUUUGGAUGCAAUCGAGUGAUCUCAUAUUUCAGACGCACUCGGGACAUCGAAAAAGGAUCAUUUCGACACACUAGGGCAACUCCGAUAUUUUUAUCUAGAUAAAGACAAACAUAACGGGUAAAAAAUUACAUAAAAGGUAAUUUUCAAUUAUCUAGAAACACAUGAAAAAAGAAGGAUACCUAAAUAAAUUAGAAUCUAAAUAUAUUAAAUAUUCAAAAUAGUGUAAGUUUUAUAAGCCUGUCUACUAUUAUUAUUUUUUUAUUAGAAAUGUAUGCGCUAUAAAACCCAUUAUUGUGACGUAUUUUUAAAAUACCUGCAAUGUGCGGGCGUCAUCCAUGAAGAAGUAAUAUAAAGCGGGUACAUAAGUUUGAUUAAACUAUAACAAUAUGAUAUUUAAAUAUUUGACAAUAAUAUUAAAAAAAAAAAAUAAAAGAAGAUAUCUGAUCUCUGCUUUACAGAAUAUUUCCCUGAAUCUAUAAAGAGGAUUGCCUGGAAUAGUGGAAGCAGUUUUCAUUUUUGGAUCUUAGUGAAAAAUUUUGUUUUGAAAAUGAUAAAUUGACGGACUGAUAUUUUGACUGUAGAUUUUUCAGAUGCACAAACCCUGCAAAAAUCAGGGAGUAAUCCAGCGGCGUAACUAGAACGUGGCAAAAUAUUAUAUAAAGGCCGAUAAGGAAAAACAAUUUCCAAUAAUGCCUUGGGCUUUGAACUGGGGUCCCUAAAUAUCAUGGGCCCGUGGCUCAUUGCCCGUCAUGCCAUUCUAUCGCUACGGCAUUGGAGUAAACGCCUAGUCCAUAUUAUGACUGGGUAGUGGGGAAUAGAGGUAUGGUCUAUAAUAUACUAUGAAUACUAAUACUAAUUUCGUUAAUUUUUUGACAAAAUAAGUUUGGGAAGUUGUAAAUUAUUUCUUGAACGUGUACGCAGUAUAUUUUUAUUCAUAAUACAAGUACGGCGACGAUGGUGACGGCGCAAUAUUUAACGUUUAAUUUUAUCACGGGCGAAACGAUAAUAAUUUAUCUGGGGCCAUUUGUCAAAACGUAAUAAAGGCCCCGAUUGCAGCUUUUGCACACUGGUAGUAUAUUAAACGUCACAUUUUCUUGACUCUAAUUAAAGUCUGCUAUAUGAACACAUAUACUCGAUUUGACAUAAAAAAAAAAAAUAAUAAUAAUAACAAUCCGCGAUUUGUAAAAAGUAAACAUUAAAAAAAAAAAAAAAAAAAUUUAAAAGACUGGAGCACAUUGGAAAUAAUGUUAUGCCAUUAAACCGUCGGUUAUUAUUGUUGUUACUGCGUUGUUAUUAAUCUCGUUUGCAGUAGUGGCUAUAAUAUUAUAAAUUAUGCUGCUGGCAUCUAGCAAGGCAUCUAGCUGUUGCUCUCUCGUCCGCCAUUAUUAUAACUAUUAUUAUCAUUCGAAAUCCGAGGAUUCACUUUACGUUUGUUUAUAUUAUAUUAUUAUCGCCGUCGUCGUCGUAAUAAUAAUAUUCAAAAACAGUACCGAAUACUUCGAAUUUUCGAUUGAAAUUUCAAACGCGAGUUGGGCUGCCCGAGUUAAUGAAUAAUAAUAGAUACAUAGUAUUUAUACAGUAAAGUUAAAUAAUUGAAAAUUAAAAAUGUAUUUUUGAAAAUGCAGUUUAUUAAUUUAUUUAUAUAUAUAUAUAUAUAUAUAUAUAUAUACAUUUUUAUUUUAUUUCUGGGUGGGGGUUGCAUAAGAGAAUGCAUUGCAUUAUUGUUAUUUGUGUUUUUGCAUAUAUACAUUCGAUUUUCGGCAGUCUGUUUUUGAAUCAAAAGCGUGCGUUUUUUAUUAUUAAUAUAAUAUUACAUAUUUAUAUGAUAUAACUAUUAAGGAUAGGAAAUGCUCAAAAUGCGGGUGACGUAUCGCAAUCUAUCAUAAAGAUAGGACCAAGACGUUUGUUUAAAUAGAACGAUUGAAAAUCGCUAAUGAUGAUUGAUAAAGAUUACUAAUUAAAAUCUGUACGAAUAAAUUUCAUGAAAACUAAAAUAUCUUAAGAUAAUAUUUUUGAAUUACUUAAAUUUGAAUUAUUAAUUCACAAAAUAUAUAAAUAUGCACUUCAAUUAUCAAAAUUAACAAAAAAUGAAAAAACUAACAAAAAAUGCUAUAUAAAAAUUUCAUAUUUUAAUUAUUAUCCGUUACACGAAUUAAAUUAUUUACUUGGAAAGUAUUAUUUUAUCUUACCCCCCGUUACUCUCAAAAUAUUGGCUUCAAAGUCUAAUUGUGUGUAUGAAAACGGUCGAAUAAAUCGAUUCCCGAUCACUACAACGUUUACGUGAAACAUUGUAAAAUGGCAAAAAAUUGAAUAUUUUAUGAAAAUAUUAUAUUUUACGUCAACUCGAAACGUUUCGUGAACACACUUUUUAUUCGUCAUUUGUGUUAUAAAACAUACCUAAAAUAUAUUGCGAUUUUAAAACGGACCUAUGUGUUCUUUUUAUUAUUAUUUCUUUUUUUUGACAGCAAUUCUCUACAGAGAACGCAUAUGCAUUAUAAGAGUAUAUUUUUUAUGUAUAGACGACCUAUAUAGCAGGUGUAUUCAGGCCCUCCCACGAUCCCGUUGGAUUUUCGUAUUGAUACUUAAAAAUAAUAAGACAGGUAUAAAGAUAUUUUUAAGUUAGACAUUUGAAUAUAUGUGCCAUAGUUUGGCGGAAAAGACUGAACAUUGACGAGUUAAACAUUUAGAAGUUUGACAAUUUUUAUCCUUUAAUUUGAGCACUCAUAGGUGUAGCUUCAUAAUGAGAAAGCAAAACAAAAAUAAUCUCAAAAUGUAUCCUAAAUAAAGGAGUAAUGGGGAGGAGCUAGUGCAACGUCUUAUCCCUCCAUGCGCUUUUAGGGUUGCACAUAUCUCAGUUAAGACCAAUUUACAAAUACUUACAAAUGAACAUUUUUAAUAUACAAUAAUUCCCGUUCGAUUUGGUUGAUAUGGGGAGGGGACCAACUAUCAAACGUAAUUUCUACAGUUUUAUCUGUCUUUCGUUCUUAAAUAUCAUAUUCGUCUAUGAGAAUAGCAGUGACUCUUCCUUUUAAAUAGUUAUCGUCUUCUCGGGCAAUAAAUCUGUAGGAAAUCCUUAUCAUUAAAGUAUUAAUUACAAUUUAAAACAACAUUUGAGACAGUUUGUAAAACUGUCAUCAAUCCAAUUAACAUGAAACACAAUGACUUUAUUAUAGUAAUAACAUAAAACAAUUUUAUUUUUAAGGUGUUAAAUUUGUGUGAUUAACUUGAUUUAACGGAGUUAAUAUAUUAUUCACCGACCUAACGUUCGUACUACAUUUCGGUACGGUAAUCUUCCUAGAUAUCCUUCUGCACCGAAGACCGAACUGAUUAUUUCUGCACCUCCUCUUCACUUCCUCAAACGAUAAAUCGAUACAUUUUUAAUUGUCUUUUAUUCAGUUGGCGGUGACGGCGUUGAUUAAUCCUAACCGUAUUAAAUCCUUGUCGUCGGGUCCCGGAUAUUAACGGGUGGAGCCGCAGGCGCGGUGUGGUCGUUAUAAUGCCCAUUCCCCGGAUCCGAUAUAUUAUAUUAUUAUGUACAGGACACUUUAGUCCAAACUAUACCGUCUUUUCCUACAGAGGUCCCGGUGUCGUACACUGAUCUGCAAAAGGAAGAGGUUAUCCGGCGCGUGUACCUACCUUAGUUGGGAUAUUAUUGCAGGAAAUCUCUCCCGUUCACCAAUUUUCUCACGAAGGCGAUACGGUGUUCUCGACAUGUUAGAAAUAUUGUUUUUUAAGAUGAUACGCCACUUCGGAGGGCGAAUAUAGUAUUUUGGUUAAUAUAUUUUGACCACGUGUGAGGUAAUUCAAAGUAUAAUACACAUAUAGUUAGUGAUACGGAAAAUUAAUUAAAAAUCGAUAGUAUCUAUACGAAUGUUUACCUUAAGGUGCAAAAGUGUGCCUAUUUUUUUUAUAAGUUCUAUAAUAAUAAACGGUGUGAAAUUAAACAUACUCAUAGCCAUGUCAAAUUUUAAUUCUUAAAGUGUUAUCAUUAAGGUAGCUGUUUAAAUCCAAACAAAUAGUUUACACAUUUUAUUCAAUUGAAAAAAAAAAAUAAAAAUUACAAUCGAUUUUGUCGUUGUACAUUUUCCAAGUUAGAAACUAUUAAACCAUCUAAUACAUUUUCUGAGAAACUUCAUACAAAUCCGUUCGUGCUCUGAGUGCAAAGACGCGUUUAAAAAUGAUAAAAUAAACACAAUGUAAUAUUUAUAAAAUGAUUCGAAAAUCGAAAAUAAUUAAGUAUUUGGUUGUUUUUCGACGAUUUGGGAUAAAAUCUUUCGGAGGGAUAUUUCGGAAAAUGCUCUCUCGAUUGAAAGUACUAAACGGUAUCUAUACUGUAUAGCUAUAACAGCUGUAUCACAAUAACGUUUGUUUACUUUAGUUUAGCUAGCGUGUCUUUACCACGAUACAUAAACGAGGACGAAAAAUAAAAUCAAUUAUUGUUUUCGGUGAUGAGGGAAUCCGGAAAAACGUUUGACGACACGACAAAAUGAUAGUGAACCAUGACGACUGAGAAACCGGAGACGGCUGUGCGUCUCUGGGGACCCGUAGGCUGACGGGUAUACACACAUCGUUAUUAUCGUGCCGGUCGACCCUUUUUCCCUUCACCUCUGCACCGUCGUUGCAUUGGCACCUAAAAAUACCGACGACGCACGCGAACACUUGUUGCGAUCUGAGGGUAUAAAAUAAUAUUAUGUUCUAUCGUCGGUAUAACGUCUCUUCUCCGUCUUCUUCCUUUUUGCCAUCAUCCUGUAUAGGUCAAGCCGGGACAGCUAUACUCACCCCUAUACUCUCACCCUUCACAUCACAUCUUUCUCUAUAAUAUAUCCAUCCUUAUUGCUUCGUCUACUCCGUGUAUCCUCAUAUUAUGUCUCACCAUAAUGGUGUCAGAUGUGGUGACUAGCUGUCGUCAGGGGAAAAUGUUGUCAAAAGAUAAUAUUAUUCGAUGUCGAUUUAUUUUGUGGAAAUACAGCAAAACGAUCGUAGGUCAUCCGAAUUCAUUUCUAGGUUUUUUUUUUUUAUUUCUGUGAGUGUGUAUGUGUGUGUUUUUUUUUAUCAAUGAAAGAGAUAUAAUCGCACUGACUGCAGUGAACCGGUGACUUUUUACCAGUGAACCUGGUAUUAUUAUUAUUUUAGAUUUUGAGCGAAGCGAAGCGAAGAAGGUUAUGGUUUUAAAAAAUGUAUGUAUAUUUUUUUUUCUAUGGACAACAUUUCUACCAGAGAACUUGCUCCAAUUUUUAGGUGUAGCACUUUUGCUGAAAGGAAAUCGGUAAGGAGGAGGUAUUUUAGGGAGAUAAUUUUUCGAUUUCUUAAGAGUUUUCUCAUCAAAUGCGAAAAAUCGAAAAAAAAAUGGAAAGCUUAUUAUAGCUAAAAAUAAUAUGGCCUUCUUUUUUCUUGUGGAUAACUUUUCUACUAGCAAUUUUGCUACAAAUUUUAAUGAUAGUAAUUUUUCUAAAAGGAAAUUUCACUAGGGAAGUACUUUUGAAAGGUCGUUUUUCGAUUUUCUCGGGAGUUUUCUCAGAGAAUAUGAAAAACUGGGAAAAAACAUGGGAAAACCGGAUAAAACGUAAGAAAACCAAGGCAAUCGGUACAGAAUUAAACAAAUAUUAUUAAAGAAAAUAUUUAACUCCUAUUUAAUUAAUUUACUAUAAUAUGGCGUAUAUAUGUUGUUGACUAAGCAUCAUUAUCAACUGAAUUCCACUCAAAAUUGUUUUUCUCGUAAGCAAUAGUUUAUUGUUGCUUACAGGUAUACAUUAAAUUACCUAUAACAGUGGCUGCCCCCGUCUCUAUUAUCCAGUUAAGACUUUUUUUUUUUGUUUUAUUACGCUACGAUUGUCGUGUUAUAGACAGUCCCUGUAUACUGAACAUAACGUUUUCAGUAUUUAGGUGUAAUUCUACUAUAAAUUCCAUUAUUUCAGUCUAUUUCUGAAUAAUUGUUGCAAUAAUUCGUUGCAAUUUCACUAUUUUCUAAGUUUAAAUUACAGAGAAAACAUCUGGACGUCGAAAGUGCAGUAGUUAAAUCGAUAUAGUAUCCUCGGCUUUCCUCGAAACUUGCGAAACUCAUAAUCCAACUUCACUGGCAAUUUGUUCUUGAAAUUAAACAUAAAUACAUACCUAAAGUUGGUUGUUGUGUUUAAAUUGCUUUUUUUUUUAAUAUGAUAGCGACGACGAUUGUGGCGAAAUAGAAGGAGGAUGAGGUUUUCCCCAGAGUCGUUGAUCCGACUAAAUGAUUUUGCCACUAGACGGUAGCCGAGAAAAAUACGAGGAAAUCGUGUACAAAAUAUUAGGAAAAAAAAUUACACUGCAUUAUUAUUCUAUAUUGUCACUUUCUACUAUACAUGGCACUCGAAUUCGAUUCGCUUUUUGAAUUAAGAUCAAUUUACGAUAUUAUAUUUAAGAGAAUACCGUACAAUUAUCGUGUUGUGAUCAUUGUACAAUUUCUUUGAAUAUAAUAUUUUAUAGAGCUUCAUUUAUAAACAAGAAAAUGUAUGAUUUAUAAAACUUUGUAUUUGAAAAAUCCGUGUAUACAUGCAAUUAUUUACGUUUAAAAUGUUAGUACAUUCACGUAUUACGUAUUCUAUACCCACGUUAUUUCUCACGUAUUUUCACGUAUUUACAUGAAUAACAGUGAACACGAAAUUAUUUAUAUAAAAUUCAACUUUUGUGUGUUCGGAAAUCUAAAAUCGGUAUAAUAUUACGCGUAACGAUUUUGUUAUAAUGUCAUAGUUUUUCGUUUUACCCCGGGUCCCACUGUUAUGACGGCAUUAUGCAUAUAGCCGCGGUGCCGUAUCGAUUAUAUUAAAACACAUAAUAAUAUUUCAAAAAUGCGUGCGAUUUCAGUUCCGGUCCCAAACGGCUUUUUGAUUUAUUCUAUAUAGGUAUAAUGUGUGGUAGAGAACAUUUUAAUAUUAUUAUAGUUAGGUAUAUAAACUAAUAAUAAACUACGGUUUCCUUUUUCGAUUUGUAUAUUAUUUAUUUAUUGAUUUGCGACCAUUCGAGUUAAUGUUUUUUUUUAUUAUUAUUAUUUUUUUAAACAUAUUUUCGUUUUUGGUAAUCCGUGGAUCGAACCAUUUCCUCUCCCAUUUACCCUUCAUUCGGCUUAUAUAUUUUUAUAAUAAUAAUUGCCUUUGGGUAAAAUAUUAUAGAGUAUUAUAGAGGGUAGAGACUUAAGAUACGAAUGGAUUAUCGCUUUCAUCAACGUUUCACGGAGCGCACAAUUUUGCAACAACACUGUUUUAAAUGUACUACGCGUAUACAAGUAUUAAAUUAUGAUUAUUAUGCCUCCGACCAUCACUAAUCACUAACUAUACUCCUUAGCUGGAAUUGUUCUGCCUUAAAUCACCUUAAAUCAGAAGAAAAGAACCACAGGCAUAAAACGAAUCAAAUAGUUACGGUGAUGAAAAAUAUCCAAUGUUUGAAUAACAAAGAACAAUACUAAAAUCUCCAAAUAGCUUUAUACAUUCAACAAAUCAACUCAAUGUAUAUCCAGACCAAGCAAGACUACGAAGUUCGAAAACUGAAUACAAAAGUACCACCAGAUGACCCCAUUCAAACCAUCCAACAUCUGAAGUUUGGAAUCGCAAGAAAAAAUUAAAAUUCGGUAAAAUGGGAAUUCAUUAUAUAAUAUGUUGUGAAUGUGAAGAUCAUUAAACAGAAUUAAUUACAAAUUUAUAAUUUGAAUCUGACACAAUUCAUCAACGAUGACUUAGCAUAGACAAAUAAAAACGCUAUUUAUAUAGCUUGGUACGCAUAUGCCACAAUAUAUAAUUUGACAAAUUCACUGAUAGUAAGAUUAGGAUAAACUAUACCUUAACACAUUAUCAUUUAUUUUAAUCUGUGGAACCACUAGCAAAUCUAACCACACACGAGGAGAAUAAUAUUACUCGAAUACUUUACGAGAUCGACGAAAAAAUGUAAAAUUAAGCCUGAACCCAUGGCAGCAGCUUUCAGUUAUCAAUAGAAAUCGGUUCCCUAUAGAGUUGGCAACUCAGUUCUUAUUGCAUUAUGUUAUAAGAUCUUUAUAUAUAGCCACGAGCGACACGAGUAUUAUAGUUACAAUAUUACUAUUAAAGAUUUUUUUUUUUUUCAUGAUAUUAUACCUACUUUACAAUCCGCGUCAAAUUAAGCAAAUCGAAUUUUCGAUAACAAUAAUGUUUUAAUUGAGCGUGUCGGAGACGGACGUGGAAUCGAUUACUAGCUUAAUUUAUAAUCUCAACGAGACGCGAUGAGAUUAUUAACAUAUUAUUAUAUUCAAAACCGUGUCUUGGGCCCCACUAACAACGUCUCAAAGGAGUCAAAGGAACGAUCUAUUUUCUCCGUCGCUGCACACGCCAGAACUUCGCUUCUUCUCCUCUACCUUCUACUCCUUUCCUGCAACGUAAUCUCAUUCGAAAUUAAACUACGAGAAAAUUGCGAACCAAACAAUGACGCCCGUCCGCGUUUGCAUUCACUCGAGAUCCCGGCGGCAGAGCAAUGCGUGCGUCUUGUCGAACCUAAUGUUUUUAUAUGGUUUUUUUUUUUUUUAAUUUUUCAUUACUGAUUGUACCUAAUGCCCGAUUUGUUAUUAUUAUAAUAAAAUAAUUGAGUAGGCUCUAUAUGUUUUUUUGAAUAAUAUUUGUUUAAUAUUGUACAAAUGCUCACGGUUUUCCUAUGUUUUUUCUUAGUUUUACACAUUUUCUGAGAAAACUCUUGGAAAAAUCGAAAAAUGACCUCCUUAAAGUACCUUACCAGUCAGAUUUUCUUUCACAAAAAUGUUGAAAAAUUCUCAACAAAAUAUUACAAUUUGUAUAAAUAGCCUUAAAAUGGCUUAAAUGUUUUGAAUAUUUUACCAUGCUUAGAAAAAGUAAAUAUAAAUUUUCUAUUCAAAUUUUAAAUGUUUACGAAUAUUUUUUACUGAAUUACAAGAAAUAACAAAAUUGAAAAAUAAUAUAAGCAUUAUUUUCUUAAAUUUCUAAUCUUUCUACGUUUUAUCCUGGUGUUUCUCAGAUAUUAUGAAAACCACUUAGAAAAUCAGAAAAAUGACCUUUCAAAAGUACCAUAUGGACAACAUUCUCUUUAAGACAUGGUGCCAUGCGUAAAUAUCUUAGUAAGAUUUUUGGUAGAAUUUUCGUACACAGGUUAAAAAAAUAAAAAGGAAAUAUCUUAGUAAAAUCAAUACAUUCUUCGCUACACUCAGAAUCUUAAAAACUACUAAUCACUCUCAACUUUUUUUUCCUACUAAAUGCAACUUAUAAUAAACCUCGUGUUAGAUUUUCAGGCAUUUUUGUUUGGUAAAAUAAUUUUAUCUAAAUAGUACCUAUCAAUGAAAAUUACAUAAAAGAUCUAGAAAAUGUGAAAUGUCUGCAAAUACCUAAUAAAUAUUUUCAGAAUAUUUUAAAAUUCGUGCGUCUAAAAAGGGCAAUAAAGGUUUUGUCAAAAUUUUAAGUCUCUACGGAAAUUUUGAACUGAAUAACCAUAAAAAAAUAAAAUUGAAAAUAAUGAAACCAUUACUUUUGUAAACUCUAUUCUCGUUAUUUCAGUGUUUUAUCCAAUUUUAUUAAAUUAUUAAUAAAAACUACAUAGAAAAUCAAAAAAUUGGUUUUAUUAUUGCACUUACCAGAUCCAAAAAAGAUCUCUGGUCAUUUUUUAAUUAUAGACUAAUUUUUGGUUUGAAGGUAAAAAAAAAAUACACACACAUUAUAGUAAAAUUUAUCUCACACUACACUCAGAAUUUAAAAUAGUUUGAGGAAAUUUUGAUUCUAGUGGCGGUAUUCACGGGCCUUUUUUUUUUAUUUUAAAUAUACGUCACCGUCGUCGGCUGGGGCAUUUUUCGAGUCGUAUUAGACCAAAAAUCAACCAGGUUAAUCGAUUUUUCCGCCUGGGAAAUAUUCUUUACACCCCGUUUAACCACACAUCACUAUAAUAUAAUAACUCCACACUAACCGGAUGAAUGUUAUCCGCCACCUGUAAGGUCCUCUCGAUCAAUAUCGCAUUACGUAGGUAGGCUUCUAUUAUCCGCGUAGGUAUAUUAUACCUAAUAUUUUAACGUAAUCGGCGGUCGGAACAACGCGAACGAGCCUUUGUCCUCGUCGCUGCAGAUUCUUAUAUAUAUAUAUAUAAUGCACGUGCGUACAAUGGAUCUUUUGUAUUAAAAAUAAAAUAAAAUACAAACUCCAAAUCGAAAUCAUUUAUGCCGAUUUGACGUGAGUUGUUGAAAAAUAAUUCAAAAAUAAAAAAAAAAUAGAGCUAUUGCGGCUGAUAAGUGUGCCACUGUUUUAGGUGAAAUAUUAGGAAAGCAAAAUACAUAAAGUCAUUUUAUACAUAUCCGUAUUUAAUGAUAAAUUAUUGUUAACGAAAAACGAUUUGGAACGAAGUUUGGACAAAGAGUUUUUGAACAUGAUUUAAAAUUGAAUUAAAACGCAUACAAAAAACAAACAAAAAAUGCUAAAUUUAUUACGAACACAUUUUUUUUUUUUUACUUCUAAGUACAGUUUAUGAUCAAAAAUUGUUUUAAAUAUUUCUACUUUGCUUAAAUAUCAAACUAAAUAAAAAAUAAAAUAAACUCAAAAGUAUUAGGUAAAUGUUUAUAAAAAAAAUUGUUCAAACUCAGAGAACUCAAAGAUCGUCAUUUUUCAAAUAUCUAAAUUAAAGAUAAAUGAUAUAAAAAAUACAUUAUAUUUCUAGAUUAGGUAUAACACCCAAUAAAAUCGUAAAUUGUUAUAUUAUUUUUUACCAAGUUUGAAAAAAUUAGCGUUUAAUAAUUAAAAAAAUGUGUUAUUUAUGAUGUAUUUUAUAAAUAGUAUAUAUUCUAUUUCGUAUUCGAUUAUACGAAUAUAGUGUAAUCGACGUAUUAAUUUUAUAAUAUUGCACCAGCUAUAAUACAAAAACAAUUUUACCCUGGAAGUUUAAUUUCCAAUUUGAAAGAUAUUCAUAUUAAAGUCAUAAAUAUUAUGAUACAUAAUUUUCAUUUUUUUUUUAACGAGCCUCAAUAGUUGUUGAAAAUCUGCUCGGUUCAGAAUAUGAAUACAAUUAUAACAUGUACAUUGAACAAUAAACCAAUAUAUUUUUAAAAGUUUAUAACUAUACCUAUAUUUUUACAACACGGGUUAUUAUUUUUUAUUGUAUCUGUAUUUUUCAUUUAUAAUACGAUAAAAAAAAAAAAAAAAAAUUGAUAAAGUUUUACUUAUUAUGCUAUACAAACAAGCAGCAUAUCUGAUCAAACGAUAUUAGUUAUUUUGAGAACGAAAAUGACGUCCGAAUUUAUUUUAAUUUAUAACAAUAUCAUCUAAUAAUACGAAAAUACUGAAAAUCAUCGGAAAAUUUAUGGAUAAACAACUAUGGGCAUGAAUGGGUUAAAAAUUAUUUUAAUUUGAAGUUUUUGGCUACCCAAUUUUUAACAUUAUUUAAUUUUUUUUUGUUUUACAUUAAUGAAUUUAUUAUUAUUGAUUUUAAUGAUUUUGUACGGUUUUAAUUUCUUUAAGUUUUAAUACGACAUUGUAUUUUUUGCAAUCUAUAUAUCUAAGUAUCUAAUUGAUUUGAAUACUGUCAUUUGAAAGAUAUAUUAAAAAGAUUUUAGUUUUAUGUUGUAAAUACUAUUUUAAUGGAAAAUGUGAAUAUUAUGGGAAUUCAAAAUAAUAUGUGUAAAGGAACUUCGCUCAGAAACAUACUUCGUUAGCUUUCGUUUAUAUUUACUUAUAGAUAUAAAUUAUUUUCAAAAUAAACCGCAAAACUUUAGGUUUAAUCAUUUCCACUACAUGACAAUAACAAGUGUAAUGUUAUUCUCAUACAACAUGCAUACAAUUAUUUGUAUUUAUAAGAUUAAACGAUUUGGAUAUGGCCGAGUAUUUGGUAUUUAGUAAAAAAAAGUUGCUAAUAAAUACAAGGAUCAUUCUUAAUUCGAAGAUAAAUACAUAAUUCUUCGUAAUCAAUACAUGAUAAUAUAGUUGGAAAAAUAAAAUUAACACGGUGGUCGGCGCGUCUUCGCCGCCGUAGCAUUAACAAAAUUAUUCCUAAAAAAAGGUAGAUUUCAUUGAAGUUUCAUAGACACCAUUCAUCGGUGCCGACGUGUAUGUCUCUUUAUUCAAAAAAUAACGGUUUUUUUUUUGAAGUCUCGAAUGUCUUGCCCUCACGGGAAUCGUUUAAACGAUCACUCUGUCGAGAAUUCUGUUCACAACAAGUACGUCCCACUAACUUCUUUCGAAAAUAUCUAGCUCCUAUUUUUAACUACUAAUCACUUGUAUUCGAUUUCUUUAUAAUAUAAUUAUUUUAUUCAAUUGAACUAUUUGUCAACACAGGUGCAAAGUGUUCAUUAUUUUAAUUAGAUUAUUUUAAUUAAAUUGUGACUGUCAUCCAAUUACUUCAGGAUCACGUGAGGACAUAAAACAAGUAUAUAAAAAUAAACAAUUCAAGUUAAUAAGAUAACUAAAUGUUUAAAUUAACUUUUUAAACUCGUUAAGACAACGAUAAUUUUUAACGCGUGAAGUCACUAACUUUUUUUUCCAAUAAACCCAAGAGAGUUUAUAUUAUUCUUUAAGGCAUAAUGAUAUUUGCCAUGACAUAUUUGUCUUUCUAACGGGCAAUACAGAAAAAAAGUUGGUACUGAGGACGGGCGCAGCCACUAUUGUAGAUGGGAAAUUAGAAAGGUUAGGUUCCGUAUAUUUUGAGUAAUUCCUACGUUAUUUCCUGGUUUUUCGUAACUGUUAGGAAAACUAUACAGGAAAUCAAACAACAAUUUUCGUAUUCACAAACUAGACUACACUUUCUGAAUAUGCUAUUUUUUCCAACUUGUCUCCUAAAACAACGGCAUAUCUAUCGGUAGUAUAGGACAUUAUUAUUUUACUCGUCCAAUGGUUCAUGGUCAUAGACUUUGGUCUUGAAUUAAGUAAGCAUUUCUCCACUAGUGACCACAUAGUCACCCAUCAGUUAUGUCCAAGGUGUCGGUACUACGGGUUCAAAUUCGACACCAGCACGAACCCGUAAAGAUACCACUAAGGUACCGGUUUAUUUGGUUAGAUCUUACUCGACUCGGAAUCCUGCAGGAGCAACAGCAUCUGGUGUAAUAUAAUAUCGUACCGAUUAAAACAAACCAUACAAUAUACUCGUAAUAUAAUACUAUUAGAGAAAUAUGAUUUAGAAAAUGUUAUUUGAUAUAAUGAUAACGACGACGGUUUUAUGUCUUGGGAAUUUAGUUUUUCAGUACAUUGGAUUCCGGGCAUUCGGAGCACCAUAAAAUAUUAGUAUAAUAUGGAGAGAUUACACAGGAUUACGCAUAUAAUAUUGCGAAUAAGGGAAGGAUAAUAAUAUUAUAAUGUGUCAUAGGGUUGUCGUUGAUGAUUUUCGUUUCAGAAUGUCUACUAUCGCCGCCGUUGGUAGUCUAGAAUCUUCUUUGAAACGUGAGAAUAAUCAUUCGGUUGUCCCUGUUCCGGUGAAGCGUAUAUUUGUAUGUUAUUAUUACGGGAUUUAUACUCGUACAUGAAUAUACCGGAUAAUUUUUUUAUCGCUAAACACUCAUUAUCUCGGAAAGUAUUAAUUUUUGUUUGCAAUCUACAAUUUAAAAUUUAAAUUAUCUUUUUUUUAAAUUGUUGCUUUCCGUCUAUCCAUUGGCGAGAUAUUCAGUUUUUAAGUUUGAGUCGGAGGAGAGUAUUGGUGCAUUAUUAAAACGCCGCAUGCCACCACACAAAUGAUGCUCCACUAUUCUCUCCUGACACAAACUUAAAAGUAGAAUAUCUUGUCAAUAGACAAAAAUCAAUAAUUUCAACAAUAAAAUGAAUUUUAACUAAUACCCCAUCUAUUUAAGGCAUUUUUAAUAUAGGUUGAUAUUUGAAAAUCAAAAGUGGGUAGUCGUUUUACCCCCUCAAAAUAAGGGAUAUAAAAAAAAAAAAUGAUAAUGUAACAUUUUAGAAUUAUUAGUUUCUUAAGUUACAAAAAAAAAAAAAAAAAUUAAAAACUGUCAAUACUUUUCGAAAUAACAAGUGUUUAACGAUAAAUUAAUCACCCGGUAUAUAUAUAUAUAAUAUUUUCACAUAUAUCAUGUAAUAUUAUAACAUAGAUUGCGUGAGUAAGUAAAUCGCAAUGGUAAUAAUUACGGGAGUCCCAUCGUUUUCUGUUCCGAAAAGUUGUUAUUGAACAGGUUCGUUUUCGUCGGUACAAAUUUUGUUUUACCUUAGUAUCCCAAGGAAGAAGGUAUUAAUAAAAUUUUAGCAUAUUUUUUUUUCAUAUAUAUAAUUUUAUAUCUUUUUUCCUUUUUAUUUGUAGAUCUAAAUACUCUAAAUUGUAUAAAUGUAUGUAUUUUCGUAUUAGCGUAUUAGGUUAUAUGCAAGUGUAUGCGGUAUUUUCAAAAUUUAAUUUGCUUACACCGAAAACAUAAAUAAAAUAAGUAACUAAGUUAAGUUAAAAUUAAUUGUGAAAACAAAUAAUUAAGUUAUUAGCUAAAUUAUUUUCCAUAAUGGUAUAUAUAUUUUUUUAAAUUAGUAAGGUAGAAGCUAUCAAAAGAGUAAUUAUAACUUAACUUUUAACUUUUUAACUAUAGUGUUAUUAUCCUGUUUUGUGUGUUAUAUAUGAAAUUAUAUUGGAGAAGGUUACAAAAUAUGUACAAUAGUAAAAACGUUUCAAAUAGAAACCUGUUUAAAACACUUCGCUAGCUUGCAGGAUUAUAGCAGUAAUAAUAUACUUACCUGACACUUGUAAAAAUAAAGUAAUAUCCCGUAUCCUCGUGUUUUUGUAGUAAUUAUUUACGCUAUUUUAGGACGAUUUGAGUAGAUUUUCAUCGCUAAUCGUUAAUAUUUUUGUCAUCCUUAUUUUUGGAUAAAAUAGCAAUAUACACUUUCGCUUUUCAAACCGUAACAUAUAUUAAAAAAUUCUCUGAAUAAAAAAAAUUUUAACUUAAAUAAAUGCCAGAACGUAUUCGUAGGUCGAAGAUUAUUAAUCUCGAUUAUUCGUUCACAGGGUGAAAGCAACCUGGUCAAACUCGCUCGGUAAUCAUAUUUGUCGAAACGCGUUUUCAUGUCAUCGACGGACCACGAAACAAUUUAUUACAACCGCAGCCCGAGUGGAAAUGUACACCGUAUUAAUAAUUAUUAUUAUGAAUCCCUUUAAUGGCGGCAACGGUCCUUCCGAGACCACCGCAAAACUUCUUGCCGAGUUGUCUUAGUCAACAAUAAUGAAUCAUUUGUAUUUACUUGGGGAAAUCGUUUUUUCUGUCUAUGAAAAAUUUUUCUUCCAGAAAUCUUGCUCUGAUCAUCAAAUUUUAGAGUGGUUUAUGAAGUCAAAUUUUUUUCAGUUCGUGCAUCGAAGAGGUAUUUUUUUAAAAAUUAUCUUUAUAGUUUUCCAAAUAAUUUGUUAAGUCAGGAACGAAUAUCGGGAAAUUCGGAUAUAUGUACGAAAUGUCGAUUUAUGUUAUUUUAAAUUUUAUUUUCUAUUAUAUUUAAAUUAGAAAUAAAUAUGUAGAUCUGAAAAAUGUCACUAAUUACUCAUAUAAUAAAUAGCUACAUGUAGUACGUUUUUUAACGUUUUAUAAGUAUUUAAUUAUUAUUUGAAUUUUUCAAGUUUUUGCUAUAGUGUUAUGUGGAAAUGUUAUAUUUUAUUUUCAUAGGCGUGUUUUUAUAGUAAUUUUUAUUAGAAUUCGUGAAAAACUCGAAUAAUUGUAAUUUAUUACACAAAUGAACUUUCCUCUGAAUCAUUAUUCUCGAUCGAAAUGACUCAUUAUUACGUAGAGAUAUAAACUAAAUUAACCUAUAAAUACAUGUAUUGCAUGUAUACUGUAUUUAUCUAAUUUUCCCAACUUAUCACCUAAAACAGUAGCCCUUCCACGGUGACAAAUAUGUCGGCUUUUUAAAAACUCAUAUCAUUCUUAAUAGAAAUACAUUUUUCACACGAUAAAACAAACGACAUAUGCACACAAAAUGGAUCUGUCCUGAUUUCCUGAUAACAACAAUAUCCAAAACCGUCUUGCAGACAUGACAAGUGCCAAUCAAAAAAAUGUAUCUCAUAUUAUCCUACCUUCGUAUUUUUGAUGGAAAAUUAGAUAGAAAAAACGUUUUACGACGAGAAAUGUUCAGUUACACAUUUUACGGUAUGUUUGACGCGUCGCUACCGCUCAACGCAACAGUUUUUUUCUGUUAUCGACCCUGGCCACACAAUAUUCGUGUUUAUCUCAGUUUGACCUUCGUUUGAAAGGGCCUGUGUAUACAAGGAGCAAUCAGCUUAUUUUAUCAUUUCUUCGAUUGAUCUUAUUCUUCCUAUAUUAUAACGGCAUUCGGAAAAGUUUUUACUUGUAUUUUUAAAUCAAUAUGCUCUUUUUAUAUAGGUAUUCGCUGUUUAAUUUACACUAAAUAUUUUCCAUUUUUGUUAACGCCGUACUUUCCAAUACUGGAAUUUUUUGACAUGCAUAACUCAAAAAACUAUUUGUUUAUAGUGUCGCUAGAUUCCUUAAUUACCGACAUUGUUUCGGUUGUCCUCACGUUCAUUUGAACUUAGUACUUCUGUAGUAUUUUUUCGACCAUUAUUUUAUUAUAAACACGACGGAACUGUCUUGUUGAAUUUUCUAGAAUUUUGGCGAAUUGCUAUAUAUUUUCUAAUAAUCAGGUUUGUUUCGUUAUUAUAUAGAAAUUACAAAUUAUCUAACAACUAUCAAUGGAUAGUAUGAAUAUUGCCAAAAGUGGCUGAGAGCUGUCUUUUUACGGACGAAAAAAUACUCCUCAAUAUUAUUUAUGAAUAUAUAUAUAUAUAUAUUCAUUUUGACCAAAACAUAAUAAUAUAUUAUCGUCAGUUAUUCAUAGAUAAUAGAUAUAAUACUAUUAAUAUACAGGGUAAUUUAUUAUUCGCGCUCAUUCCAUUUGUAUGGUUAAAUUUAGCAUGUAUUCAAAUUCUGAAUUUUGGUAUUUUUAAAUGUAGUUUAAAUCGGUUUAAAUUUUUGAUUUCCGUUAACCUAUUGAAAAAAAUAUUCAACUUUUAAUUUUAGGUAGAAGAGAGUGUUAAUGGAGUAUUAUUUGUAUGGCAGCAUGGUGCACGACGUAUUAAUAGUGCUCUACUAUUCUCCCUUACCUAAAGUUAAAAGUAGAAUAUCUCGUCAAUGGGUAAUCAAACAUUUUAAAACCAAAAUGUAUUUAAACUAAUAUUCCGUCUAUUUAUGGAAUCUUUAAUACAACUGCUAAUUUGAAAAACCGAAGUUGGUUUUGUCACACGACAUUUCUUAAAUUUUGUGAAAAAUCUAAGUAUUACAAAAUAUCGACUUUAACUACAUUUAAAAAUUCAAAAAGUCAGAAUUUGAAUAUGUACACAAUUUAACCAUACAAAUGAGGUAAGAACAUCUUAUUUAAUAAACCACUCUGUAUACUAACCGGAGUCGAUCGACGCUCUAAUUCUGGAUACUCUCAAAUUGCCUCUCAUAUUCAGGUAGAUGACCUUUUUUCACUUGAAUUGCCUCCGGGUGUUUUCGGAGGCAAUUCGAGUAUUCUCAAACCAUCCAUUCGAAUUGCUUCCCAUAGCGUACCUAAAUUAUUCCCACGUAGCAUUUUGGAUGAUGAUUACAUUUUUAAAAUAUAUUUUAAUCAUCAUAAAGAAAAUAUUUCCCGGAAUAUAUUUUAAAAAUGUGUUGAACAUAUACUGCAUAAAAUAUUAUUUUUAAAUAAUUUACAAAAUGUUUUAAACACGUUUCUUGAAAAUAUGUUUAGAUCAUCAAAAAAUAUAUGUUUUAAUAAUAUUAAUACCCGUAACAAUAAUGAAAUAAUAUAUGCCACCGCAGUGAAUUUCCACAAUAUUAAAAUUGUUAAAUGUAUACAUCACACAUAUUUUUAUCACAUACACACAGUCAUCAUUUGGAUGAUUAUUGGCAGCUAUAUGGAUUUCAUACACGCACACAAAAAUGUCCUUAUAAAUCUUUUUGUUACAUUGUUUUUUUUUAAGGAUAAAGUGAUUUGGACAGAAAGUAUAAACUAAUAAACUAUAUUGUAUUGUGUACUACUCGCGGAUCCUGUAUUAUAAAUAAUAAGAAAUAUUUAAUUAGUCAAUAAUAACGAGUACUUAUGUAUGCAAUUAAGUUCAUGGUUUCUUUACUUAAUUAUAUUUUUGAAGAAAAUAAAAUGGCCACAGCUCCGGCAUCGACCCAGUAUCCCUGGUGUAUAUUAAUUAAUAUAUCGAUAGUUGACGUGUACUAUCGAUUAUUAUAUUGAUUUUCGUAAUGUUCAAAAAUAUUAUUUGUAUUAUUUAUAAUAAAAUAUAAAUAUGUAUAGUAUUUCCUAGACAGAUUAAUUUGUCGAAUGUAAUAAUCUUGUUGAUAACUGAUUAUCAGUAGAUUAGUCGAUUAUUUAAUUAUUUUUUGAUUAGUUUUUAAUACGUAAAAUUUUGAUACAAUACAUAUACCUAUUUGCUUUUUUGACAUCGACUUAUUACCUAAUAUCGUGUACUAAUGUCUAAUAAUAACAUGUGUACCUAAUGUAAUACCUAUGUAUAAUUGUUUUUAAUUUUAAUAAAAUCGAAAGAGGAAUCGAUCCCAAUAAAGGAUGGCUUCUACCUAAGAUAGAAGACAAUUCGAGUUAAUGAAUUUUUUGAAAUCGAAGACAAUUUGAGUAAACUUUUUAAAAAUAAAUUCACGGGAGGAAACUCGUGUUGUCUAUUCAUAACUGGGCAUCGUGUCAUUGACCAGUUACUGACUAACAAAUUCUGUAACCACCACUGUAAUAUAAUAACUAGGUUUUGACAAAAUCUUUUUUUUUUUUAUGGGAUUGAAAUGGCAUAUCACUGAUUAAAUCUAUCACUGGUGUUUAAAUAUUUUACAGUCGGUAUCGCGUCAUGGUGUUCUUGGCCAUUUUCCAGUUAUUUUGUUAUCCGUAACUACAGGGUUAUAGAACGAACUUUUCAUUCACCAAACGUUCACUGCUUACUACUAUCUUUUUCUGACUAGUUAAUGUAGAUACACUUUUGAAAUCGUUACUAAAAGUAUUUUUUUUUCGCACCAGGUUGACACAGAUCAUUUGAUUUCCUAAUAAUAAUUAUACCUACGUUCAGGUAUCGAUUCAAUUUUUACGUUUUCCAAAUCAAACUGGGCGGCGUAACAGUCAUUGGCCAAGUUUCCAAUGGUCUCUCCGAUGUUCUCGCUGCUCUUAGUGGCCAGUAUUAAUUUACAUUUGUCGACUAGAGCUAUCAUGGACUGAUCUAAUAUAAUACAAACAAAUAGAAAACAAAAAAAAAAAAACAAACAUUGAAUUUUACGCGUUUUUUUGGCCAAGAGUAGCACAAUUCGCAUAUGAUGAUAGUAUAUGUAUACGUAUCAGAUUGGUAUGAAUAAAGUAUGAAAAAUUAUACGCCCUAGAGAGAAAAAAAAAACUAUAGGAUUUUUUGACGUAUUCAGAACUCGCAGAGGGGUGCGUCGCGUAUAUGCUCCGCGAUACAAAUAUUUUUAUUUCUCCUCGUCCCUGCGAUUAAUCUCUUAAUGGAUAUACCGUGUACUCAGUAGGGAGGAGAGGGUGAGGGGAAUAAAAGUAUCCCUCGUAUAAAUAUUAUCCUGUGACGACAACACGAGACAACACCGUUGUGACGUUAGACUUUCUAUAGGGGAAAUGGUUACGCUAGAUUGAAACCAUGCCGAUGACAAUCAUUGCAACCCGACCCCAUAUCUGACCUUUAAGGUAUCAACCAAUCCAACAGGAUCGACUACUCAACGAUUUUCUAUAGACCAAAUUCGUUUUUGAAGCUUAACUACAAGUAUAUUUUUCCGACAUACUUGAUGUACUUGGCGGUCACGUGUAAGAUCGGCACUUUCUUGCCAGUUGCAAUCGUCACCCACGUGGGGGGAAUGUGGGAUACGGUCCUUCAGGUUUAUCGUCGUUUUGAAAGCUACCAGAAAAGUUAGCAGCAAUCAAAAGUGACAAGUUUUAAAACUCGUGGUAUUUACAUGAAUAACGGGGGUGGUUUUACUGGAAUAUAUAUAUAGGGGAAAAAAGUGAACAUUUUUCAAAAACAAUAAAACUUGCUCGAGUAGAAGAAUGUGUAUAAAUGUCCACCGACGAUCAAGUCGAUGUCGUUCACUUCCGUGGCGACGCGUGACGAUUUAGUCGAUGUCGAUACCGCUGUGCCUUAACCACACGAUGACUUGGCUACCUCUGCUUUUAGUGAAGCGAUUUCAUCAGUAAACUUAGUGUGAUCCAGUUUAGUAUUAAUUUUAAUAAACAUUUUUCAAAAAAAUGGAUCCUGAAAACUUUUUAUCACAAAUACCGCACGCAAAAAAAAAAACAAAAAUAUACAUUCGGGUAACUACCUGAAAGUUAAAAAUUCUUUUAAGACAUUUAAUUAUAAAAAUGGAACAAUUAUUCAAAAUUUAAAAUUCGAAUUGAUAUUAUACAUAAAUGUCGGAUCUUGUAAUAAUAUUAGUUGCUGAAUAUCUAGGAUCACGACAUCUAUAGCCAACACGAACUUCUCUCGUCACUUUAGUACUUUAUCACUUUAUAAACGGGGAGAGAGUAUGGAAUCAGUAAAGUAUAAGACUAAGAAUAAAUAUUCGUAAAAUGAAUACACAAAUAAUAUUUUUAUUUUUUUUUUAAAUUUAAAAUUUCAAUAUUGUUUAUAGGUAAGGGUUUUAAUAUUUGAAUAUAAUAUUCAUAUUGCCGAACAAUGUGAAACGGUAAACUUUUUGACAGUAUCUUGUAUGAAAUUCUAUUUUAGUCCAAUCUGUAAACUUGCUUUGACUCCGGAGACCGGAAAAGGAUGAAGGGAGAACGUGAGAGGAGAGUUCGCGUUUACAAUUGUAUAACAACAAUCGACGUGUGAACAAUAAAGUGACGACAACGUAAGUUUCGGCGCAAUAUAACGUGAUGUUGCUCAGUUGCUGCGAUUGGAUUUUUUAUCAGCAUGUCAAAACUUUAGCCCGCAUAGGUACAUAACCCUAUAUACUGAUAAAUAACGAAGUCAUAUACCGUGCAUACCAUUACUACGGUAACAUUAAAUCUAUAUAAUAUCUGUACACCGUCGCCAUGUCAUUCGGUUGACCGUGAUCUGCAUGAACAAUAGCAGACCCUCCGGUUUGUUAUUGAACUCGUGAUUACCCAACUAUUGUAUGGAAAAACCGAGAAUAUAUAUUGGUUUAACGAUUCCGGUUAAUUAUUUUAGAUCUAGAAUUAAUUUGUUGUGAUUAACAUUUUUUUGCAAGCUUUUUCGUGAUAAAUUAUUUUAUUUUUCAAACUAACAUUUAUCAAUGCGUUAUGGAUUUGUCUCAUGUUAAUGAUGCGCGUGCAGUCAUUUAUAUAUUAAAAUAAAUACCUAUAUUAAUAUAUAAUUUACACCAGACAUCUUUAUUAAUGUAGUAUAGUAGCGUAAUCAGUUGUCAAACCUUGUUUUUAUACUAGCAUACAGUUUUGCAAAACGUCUUGGCUAUCUUUUAGUGAGCAUCUUAUUGUAAAAUUUACAUAAUUUCAAUCAGAGGACCGAUUACUAUUAUUAAGUUAAGUUGGGUCAUGGUUAAAGGUUAUGAACCACCUAUCGAAUUUUAUAAGGUAGGGGGGUAUGACUGGUAUGAGUCAGUGUAAUGGACAGCACCUAAAUGUAAACCGAAAUCUUUAUAUUAAUCUGUUAUUUGUAUUUUAUCGUCACUCGGUCAAAUGAAAAUAUGCCGAUGAUGCGCUGACACAGUUUACGUUAAUAAGAACGACGAGGCAGCGAUACUCGUUUUUCCAUUAGGGUAAUUCAAAUUAAGGCGUAUUCGUGGACAAAAAACAAAAACGGUCUAUACAUAUAUAUAUAUAUAUAUGAAUGAGUCUUGUCGUAAAAAAAUAACAAAAAAAUAUUGCAAUAAGUUGCGUUUGUUUGCCCCAAAGAGAAUAUUAUAAUAGGUACACGACAUUCAGAAAGAAUCGAGUGAGAUCCCCCCGAGCGUCACCCGUUCGAAAAAAAAAAAAUAUCAAAAAGAUUUUUUAGCCAACUAACAUAACAUUUGUAUUAAUAAUAUUAUUAUUAUUAUUAUGAUUCAUGCGUUUAAAUCCAAAGGAAAAUAAUCCACGAAAAUAAUGUACGAGAGAUUAUAUCAUACUCACAUAUAUAUAUACUAUACAUAGUAAGCGGGAAGGACGGAUUUUAAGGGUUUUUAUGUCAUUCGGAUACAAAAUACCAAAAUGUCGGAUUUAAAAUAAUUAUAUUUUAGUAAAUUGUUUACAUUAUAUUAUAGUAAAAAUAUAGUGUCAUUGUGGAUUACCUGCUAUAAAAACUAGUUUAAUUUUAAGUAAAACUAGAUACAGAAACAAACCAAUGAAAUAGUCACAAUUGUUUCUUAAAAUUCUAUCAAAAAACAUUAUUAAUUUCAGAAAAAUGUAUGAUUGACUAUCGUAUUUCUAUUCUACAUUAAAAUCAAUUUAUUAUACUAUCUUAUUAUAAGUCGGUCAAUUAAAUCUUAUGUAACGUUAAUUUUAUACAAAUUGAUUUCUCCGUCUUGCCAUAGUAUUUUUUUAAACUCAGGACUCCCCAAUCGGUUAACACGUCAACGUUUUAGACGUGGAAUAAAACAUUGUUGAAAAUUUAAAAUCGAUUAAAUCAUAAACGCCGCGUUGCGUCAUACAUAUUUGUUAUUUCACUAAUAAUUUUGUUUCUAAUGAUUCCCAAUUAUUUCAAUAAUCUCUUGGAAAAUCAUAAAAUGAUCUAUAUAAUCUACCGACUAGAUAAAAGUUUCAUUCAGAAAAGGUGUUAUACUCUAUACAUUGGAACAAGAUUUCUUUUUGAGAAGUUGUUUGUAGAUAAAAAAAUAAAUUAUAAACACACAUCAUAGUAAAACCAAUAAAUCCUUCUCUACGCUCUGCAUCUAAAAGAGGAGCUUAUAUUGAACUUUGUAAAUUAAUCUGUGUCAUUUCUAAGAAAAAACAUUAUCAUAUUUUUAAAAAAUAGAUAACCACGAACCAUAAUAUACAUUAUUAUAUAGCAAAUUAUACAACAGAAACUUUGCACCAAAAUCUAAUAACAAUUAACAAGAAAACGAAUGAAAACAAAUAAUCAUAUCAAUUCACUAGUGACAACUGAUAAUAUUAACAAAUUAAUAAAACCCUCAAUUUAAAAAUAAUUUUUAACCUGGGUUUACAUUUAAUAAAAGAGGGAGGGGGAAAAUGGAGAAGUAAAUUUAAAUUUUGGUAGGGCUACCUUUGCCCUUUGCCUCUAACCUCACUCUUUCUACUAUGCGUUAUAAACGUUAUAAAAGAAGAAAAAUGAGUUCAUAAAAAUCAUAAUAAAAUCAACGGGAUUACUCCAUAAUAAUACGUUUGCUAUAACGACGAAAAUAGAACAUUGAUAUACAUAUUUCAUAAUUCGCGAUAAAAUGUAUCCACAAACAAAAUAACAUUUCCCGUUUUUGUGAAGAAUACUUUGAUUUUUUUUUUUUUUAUUGUUAAUAUUAUUCGAAUGUAAAACAGGAAUAAUACGGUUUUGAUCGGUUUUCGAAAUAUAUUAUAAUAAUGUUAUAUUCAAAACAUACGAUUUUCGUUUCAAAUGCCUUUUUACAUUCACACAAAUGUUAUUGUUCGGCGAUAAGAAUAUACUUAUAUAUUAUUAUUCUAUUUUAUAACCACUCAAAAAUUAUGCAAUGCAACAAUGCAACAAUCGUUUUCGAAUAUACAUACUAUGUAUGUAAUAUAUUAUAUUUCAACCAAAAAUGUCCGUUUUUCUAGUACUAUAUGUAUUAUAUUGAACGGUUUACUUUCAAGAAUUCCGUUUUUAGUUUCUCAAGCAUAACGUCGUAAAAUACGUUUGGUAGAUAUAUAAUUUUUGGCUGUCCCUUGUACCAAAAGCAAUUUUCCGUGAAAUGUUAUUGAAGAAAUUCGAGUAGGUUCCUACCACAUAAAACAGAAAUACUCUUAAAACAGAAGCAUAGGACCUAUUUUUUCCUUAGGGGGGCAAAAAUUUAGAUGGUGUAACAUUUCUUAGUUAUUCUCUCAAUAUGCAUGUACGAUGGUAGAGGACGACGGUAGUGGAUCGUAGAAAACAGGGUCGUAUCUUGGAAUUUUCUAUAGGGGGAGGGAAGGUCCAGUUUCAUAAAUAAAAAAUGUGGAUGAUAUAUCUUUAUAAGAAAUUGCAUUGAGUUAAACCUCAAAAUUGUGAGAGUAAAAUAUUAUAUUUUCAUGACAACACUAUUGCAAUUUUUCACGGGCUUUUAGCAAUGUCGUUCAAUAUUUCAUUGGGCGUGAUGACAAUAUUUCGGUAACAACUUAAUAGUACUAAUCCAUUGAGAUGAUCCUGUUUGACAAACAGCUAGAUAAAUAAAAUUAAAUCACUAUUAAUUUUUUAUACAUAUCACUUUCAUACUGUUUCUAAGGUAGGUAUAGGUAUUUAUUCUUUUUAAACCAGAAAAAGAUCUUUCUGGCGUUGAAGUAGAAACUGUUGAAGUAGACUGCACAAAAUUUUUAAUAAAAAUAGAUAACUUAAAGUAUUAUUCUAAAUUAACUUCUUUAGUAUUUUUAAAAUUUAUAAAAGUUUUAUGUGUUAAAGCCCCUAAUUUUAAAUUCUGAGUGGAGCAAAGAAGCUUAUGGUUUUACAAAGAUAUUUAUUUUUUUUUUCUGAGGAAAACUUUUGUACCAGCAAUUUUGUUCCAUCUUUUAAUGAUAGCAAUGUUUCUAAAAGGAAAUUUCACUGGGGAGGUACUUUAAAGAGGUCAUUUUUCUAUUUUUUCCGAAAUUUUCUCAGCAAAUGUGAAUAACUGGGAAAACCGAAAAAAUCGGUACAAAAUUAAACAUAUAUUAUUAAAGAAAAUAUAUAGAGCCUAUUUAAUUAUAUUACUUUAGUGUGACAUAUAUAUUAUUGACAAAGCAUCACUAUCAAUUAAACUCCAUUCAGAAUCGUUUUUUCGUAAGCAAUGGUUUAUAGUUGCUUACAGGUAUACAUUAUGUUAUCUCUAAUAGUGUCUGCAUCCGUUUCCAUUGGCUUUAAAUCCGUGGGUUUAAAUUUUGUCCAUCUUUCCUCCCCUUUUUUCUCCAUCCAUGUUGGCUUUCCAGUGACUAUAGGAAGUAAGUUGCCAGGCCAAUUUCGCGUAAGUAAACUUCACGUUAAAUUGAAAUUUGUUUUUGUAAAUCAUAUUACUUCACUGUAACGAUCAUCGGACUGGUGUAUAAACAAAUUAUUCUAAAUUACCACAUUGCUAUGGACAUAAAAUUAAGAAAUAAUAUGUCUAUUUCAAAAACCCCUUAAGUAGGUGUGAUGAUAACCUCAUCCGUCUACGUCUUACAGAUGUACGGCACAGUCAUUUUGCGUUGCUUUUUAUAUGCUAUUGCGGUGUUAGUUUUAAUAUCAGAGUGAAUUGACUUAUUAUCGGACUUAAAGGUGAGAACAUUAUCUGCUCAAUGUUGACGCAAUUUUUCCAAUUUAAUUUAUAAGAGAGCUUAUGAUUAAUUGAGUAUGUGAAUUAUCACAAUUUAAUAAUGCUUGUAUACCUCGCUUUUUGAUGCCUGAUGGCAAGCUUCCGUCUUUAAUCAUUUCUGAACGAGAAUAAUAUUUGCGGUACAAUUUCGUGACACUGAAACCCGGUAAUCGUUUAAAGUUUACGCUAAAAUUGAUGCAAACGUGAAAAUGGAAAUCAAAUAAUAAUUGUGUACUUCACCACACGAUUUUCGCUGCACUUGGCUGCCCGUCUAAACUUUGAAUCCGUUGAAUAAGCACUAAGUGAACAUUUUAAGAAACACUACAUGUUUCACUCCAAAAUAUGAAAUAAUUAUUAAAACACGUAAUAUUAUAGAAAUCAUCACCAUCGUCGUUUGAAAAUAAAAAGUCAAUUCGAGUUAUAACGCGGCUAUAAUGAUAAAGAUUCAAAAUAUAUUAUAAUAAUCAUUUCGAAAUCGUUAUUAUUAUAAUUAUUAUUCAGGUAUUCGACUAUGAUGAGGACGAAGAGAAAUUUCAACGCUGAUAAAUUAUUCACAAGAAUUCAAAAAUCCAUCAAAAUACACCGUACUUGUAUACAAAACAUAGAUAUAUUUCAUUUACUAUAUUUUUUUUCACAGAGAGAAAUUUGUUUGAUAAAAGUGAAUUGUACAAGGUGAAUAUGCAAGGAAAUAAGAGCAGGGAUAAUAAUUAAUCUAUAAUUAAUAAGAUAAUAAGGACAAUAAAUAUUUUUAUUUAAUUUUUAUGUUUUGGUGAAAAAUAACUUUUAUUUUAUUAUUUUUGAAAAAUUUGAAGAUAGUUAUAGAGUUAAUUUUUCUGAAAACGUUGACGUUUCAAAUUUUUAUUUGUAUUAUAUUUGUUAUACUAUAAUUUUUAAAAGUUCUGAGAAAAAAAGUAUACAGUCUACUCAUAAUAAUCAAAAUAACAUUAUAUAUAAUAAUUAUAAAUAUAAUUAUAUUAAAAAUAUUAUAAUUUAUAAAUAACAAUUAUUCUUAUUAUGACUAAAUAUUGAGUAAACACUUUGUUUCUCUGAAUUAUAAAAAAUCACGAAUUUAGAGAAAAAAUAAUUAAUACGUCAAACUAUCAAAAGUAAUAAAAUAUAUAAGUUAUUUUUUAAUUUGUUUACCAAACAUAUGUAUUUAAUUUAAAUAUAAAUAUAAGUAUUUUAUUCCUUAUCCCUUUGAGUAAUAUUAAAAAAAAAAAAAAACAGAAUUUUAUUGUCUUUAUUAUCUCCGGAGAUGUUAUAAUGGGUACAUCUUCGUGGGACACCCUAUAUAACCCGUCUUAACCCAAAAUCUUAUCAUUAUAUUUAUUGAACUUAAUACCUAUACAUAAAUACAUGCCUAUGUUAGUAUUUACGUUAGCAUACGGUGAGUCAUAUCUACGUUUUUCGGACUUAAGUUUUAUAAAUUAAAAUAAAAAUCAAUAACAUUCAAUUGAAGUUCGUAAAAAUAACGGGGAAAAGAUCCCUUUGUUCAUGAUGGAUUCAUAAAAAUGAUAGAUUAUAAAUCGCGUAUAUAUUCAAACGUACACUAAUUCAAAUUCAAGAAUUCUCACAACUGACGAAUUAUUUUAAGGUAUUGCGCAUAAUUUAAAGUUAUUGCUCAAAGUUAUUGUGUGUCUAUAAAUUUAUUUAUUUUAUAUUCAACUUUUUUCGUAUAAAUUACCGCGUUCAUUUGAAAAGCGUCGAAAUUACCCAAUCGAAAUGACAGGACACUAAACACUAAAACUAAUACAUUCCUCACUUCACUUAGAGGUCAGAAUUUCAAACAAUUGUAACGUUCGAAAAAUAAAUGCAGACUACUUUUAUAGUAUAUACAAUAUUUUUAUUUUCAAUAAUUUUUCAUUAGUGGUUAAAGUUUUUCCUCCUAUGAAGUGGUAUUUCCGGUAAGAUAAUCGUUCCAAAACAAAAUAACUGUUCUGAGACUGCACACUGUACACGAAAACCCGAUGUUCAACAGACCGAUACUCCGUCGUCGUUAUAUUGACGUGCAGGCGUAAAUUUUGUUUGGAAAAGAAAAAUACCUUCUCUUCUCCUUCGAUUAUUUACCGAAUAAUAGUCGGUAUAUAAACGAUGGACGCAGAAAAAUAAAUCGAUACCAUUUAUUUUUGGUUUUUAUUAUUAUUAUUAUUAUUUUUUUUGAUUAUUACUGCACAUCAGGAUUUGUUGCGUACUGAAAUAACAACGUAUCUACCGCGUAUACGAACAAAAAUAUUAUAACAACACUCGAUUUAUCUAUCAAUAGCAUGAAGCACCUAAUUAAUUUUACUAGUCGAUAAUAUUUACGUUCGAAAAAAAUAAAAUUAUCUACUUGACCCAAUUAUAAGCGUCACCAUGAAAUUUAUGACCAGUUCAUUGCCAAUAAUCAUCGCAUAAUAUAUUGUUUUUUUUUAAACCUUGUAAAUUACUACAAAUAUCUGGUUCUAUGAACAACACAAUUAGUAUACAUUUUUCACAAUUUUUUCAAAAAAAAAUAUGGACACUUCACACGUGGGUUGUCCACUGUCGUAGAAGUUGGGAAGGUAGAGGGGAAAUUGAAUGCAUGUCCAUACGCAACAAUUAACUAUUUCUAACGAAAAACGAUUCUAAGCGGGUUCGGUUAAUACAGUGUCAAUAAUAGUUUUGUCAACAAUAUAUAUGUAUUUUAUAUUAUGGUAAAAUAAUUUCAGGUUGAACAUUCAAUCCUUUAUAAAAAGUGAAGCUCUCCAAUUGUUCGGUCAUGUUUGUGGAACUGGUGGUAAAUUAGUAAAGGAUGUAUUGAUAUACAGAAAAUGGUAAUUUGGACCCAGGACUUGUUAGAUGUACGUAAUUGCAUAUUGGAUAAUGGCAGAAGUGGAGGUGACCGUAAUUUUCGACAAGGCAUAUUAAAGGGUGAGACGGAAAAUAAUUGUGACAAAAGCGAUGGUUCUCAAUGAAUUUGACAAGCUGAAAAGAAAAAUGACACACUUUGUGCGUUUGGUGAUUCUUCACACUAUAUUUUGUUUUUUUCGGAAAAUUACUUUUAUAAAUACACAAAAGUUCAUCAUCUAUGCUACAACUUCCUAUCCGCAUAAAUUUCACCGCUAUUUAUACAAAAAAUAUAUUAUUUACUGUCCCACGAAAUACUAAGGACACAAAUAAAAAAAACUGCUCAUCGCAGAUAAAAACUUUUAAGUGAUUCACUUGGAACUCAAAAUUAUAAACUUUCAUAUACCAACGACUGUUUCUGUAUAUUAAUUAUUUCUCGUUCUAGUAUAUUAUUACUUAUCGACUGCUGGUUUGGCCGGUUAAACUGUAAAAAUAAUUUCUCUAUUUACAAAUGAAUUUAUAGAUACACAUUUUAAACGUUUAGUUUAUUUCGUAAUUAUUAUAUAUAUUACGAUUCGAAGAAUAGCGAAGGAUCUGUUGGUUUUAAUAUGAUGUGUUUUUUUUUUCUGUCAAUGAACAACUUUUCUACCAGAAAUCUUGCUCCAAUAGAAAAACAACACAAACUAUUUUUUUUUUUUAUUUAUAAUCUUAUUCGUUUUUUUUUUAUUAUCUCUGUAGUUUUUUUAAUAAUUGAGCAAAACUGAAAAAUGUGUAGAAAGAACGGACAAAUUUACGAAAAUAAUAAUUUUAUUAUUUUAAAUUUUGUUUUUUUAAUUUAAUUCAGUUAUAAAUACUUGAAAUGUUGAAAGAAAACUUAUAUUUACUUUUCCUAAACAUUAUAAAACUUUUAAAACAUUUAAGUCAUUUUUGAGCUAUUUAUAGAAAUUUUAAUUUUGGGAGUUUUUUAUGUUAAUUUUAUUUGGUAGUUGCUCUGGCGACAAAAUUGUUAGAAUAAACAGAAAUGCUUGAAAGUUUAAGAAGAGAUUCCUUAUAAGUCGUACUUAGUGGCCAAAAUAAAAAUUGAGUGCAAUUCAUUAGCAAUAGUUUAUCGUUGAUUACAAGUAUAAAUUAAAUAAAUUUAUGUGUCUCAACUUCUCAACUACCCACCUACAUCAGUGGCCGCACUCGAAAUAUCAGCUCUUUUUUUGAUACAGCGUUUUAUGGUCUUUAUGACCAUCUCGUUGAACAGAUUUAUCUUCAACCAUCUCUAUUCUUGGCCGCUUCUCUCUAGUUGGUUCCCGGAGAUAAUAAAUAUAUGUUUCUUUUCACAAAGUCCUCCCAUCUUCAACGCUGCCAUUUUUCUAUUGAAUAUUCUUCAAUUAUCACUCUUAAAUCAUAGUACCAUGUUUCCGCUAAUAUGAUGACCAACAAUAGUUUAUUUUUCGUGGUUUCCUUCAUAACGAACUUUGAAACUAAUUUUUAAUUUUUUCGUUAUAAAUUAUAUUCUUAUAACCACUCUAUGAAUUGUUAAAAACAGAGCACAGGCCAUAUACAUGUGUCUUAGAAUAUUCCUCUCAAAAAUGUCUAUUUUUAAUUAUUCCGCUUUUCUCGAGGCCCAUUUCUCGGAGUCAAAGAUAGUGAAUGGUCGUAUCAGGGUAAUAUUUAUUUGAGCUUUUACAUUUUUAACUAGAAUUCCUGAUCUUAUAAGAAAUCAACUCCAAGAUAAUAGCCUUAAGUUAACCCUACGUAUUUAAACUGUAGCACUAUCUUAAAAAUAUGAGCUAUCUCUUGAUGGAUUUCCGCUUCACUAUCGCUAAGUUUACAGCUAUACAUUUUGUUUCUAUUAAUUACUAGAAUCAAACGAUUUUUACCCGCAGCUAUCGUCGGUAUUUUACAAUGCACUAUCAAAUUUGCCAUUUGUUUCCUCUAAAAUAGCAAAAUGUGUGGACCAAGAGGCCUACUGUGCUUUGGUCUAGACUAAUAUCCCAAAAUUCAGACACAUUCAUCUCCUGUAUUACUUCUUCCAACACCGGAUUGAAUUUUAAAAUUGGCAUAUUCGGAUUGAAACCUUUACGUAAGAUUAACUUGAACGACUAGUAACUAAAAUAAUAUUUUAUGAACACUACGAAAAUGAUUAACGAUAUAAGGACAUCGUGUGGUGAAUUGAAACAAGAGUUUAAUUUUUGGCAGUGGAUUUUGAGGACUAAAGUGACCACGUUUUUAACAUUAUAAUAAUAAUUCAUUAUUUUAUCGCCGAGGGCACCAGUUUCGUUUACCGUAAAACCUUUAGCAAUACAUUCCAGAUUCGACGAAUAUAUACGAGAUAUAAAUAAAAUAAAUAUAGAAUACGUAUUUUACGAAAAGUUUGUCUGCAAUAAAACCAUGUUCAUGUCAUCGAAUUAUUGUCGGAGAAACGGUUUUUUUCUAUAUAAUAUUACUGUCGUUCCGUGUCGCUUGAAUUUUUACUGUCCGGAAUCGAGUUUACAAUAAUAUUAUUCCGUAUAACGAUCGUAUAAUAAACAGUCAUAAAUAUUUAAUCGAAUCGAACACGUGUGUGUUCAUUACAUAUUCGAUGAAAACACAAAGUGCCGUAUUCGUGUUUCGACAAACAGAAAUUUCGAUUCGAUUCGAAAGAAAGAAAAAACAAAAAUGAUAACGACAACCAGUAAAAAUAAAUCUUGUAAUAUCACUGUUGCUUUUAUAGUGCCAAAAUUUCGUAUAAAAACAGACAAAUUAUAAAAAUAAACGUUCAAAAUCAGAUACUUAUCCAAAAUAUAACACCGAGCUGAAAACUCGGUCUUCGCCGAUUACAUUACUCAUAGACUAUAUACAACAAAAUUGUUUACCAACGAAAUCUACGUCUAUAUUACACAGUCGAUAAUUGUAUGGAAAAAAUCUCACUUUUUGUGGUUUGUGUUUUGUUCUCUACGCUCGUUCUUACCGAGCGAUUUUUUUUUACCCCUGUAGGAGUCACCCUUAAAUUUCACAAUUCUACACGUUUCCUGUGGUUGAUAGUUUGUCAAAAUAUUUGUCGCACGUGGAAAUAAUACAUAAUUUAUACUUGGCAAUGAAGAUUUUCCUAUCGUUCAAUGUUCAGUGUUAUCGUCGUCGAACUUGUGUUGGCCACACGGAACCGUUGCCGUGUAUUUGACAAAUUUCUAUGACUUUCUAGUUUAUUUUAUUAAUUCAAAUACAUAAUUCGUCAUUGUGAAAAAUAAAAUACAUUAAAUUAUAAUAUUUAUGUGAAUUUAUAAUAAUGUUAUUUUAUGUAUUCAAACACGAAUUAUUGCGCCAAAUACUGACACAUGAUUUCCGAAAAGUCUAAAAUAAAAUUAUAACUACGCAUUAUAAUUUAAAACAAUAAUCUUAUAUUACCUCACCAAAUACCGUAGACAAAACAUAAAUUCAGGGGAGAAGGCACUUAAUUGUUUUAUCUAGUUUUUUUUUUAAUCCAGAAUGCUUAUUACCUGUCAUUUUAUGACUCCCUUUAUUUCAUUAUUAUUUAUUAUUUAUACCCCUUUAGUUUUACAACGUAAAGUUAAAAAAAAAAUUGUUGCCUAAAUUGUAAGAGAACAUCUAAUAUACAUAAUAAUAUGAACAAUAUAUUUUAUAAUACUUAUAAUAAUACUACUAAUAAUGAAUUAUAUUAAUAUGGACAUAUCUAACUUAACCUAACCUAAAAAGAUACCGGGAGGGGGCAUAUAAGAUGUAUGCCCCUCCUGACUACGACACUGAUCUUACAUUCCAAAAUUCAAUUAAACAAUAUAUCCGUCGGAAGAAUGUUGGAAACGCACAUGUUCAUAGAAUUAUGCAUUGGAUAAAAUGGACCAUGAUGAUCAUAAUAUCAUGAUUGAACAUAUUCUAUAUGUUAUCAAAUACUACGAACUUUAUAAUAUUGAUAUCAAUUAAAACCAUAGUAAACAAUAAAAUUUCAGAUAAAACCGCGUAACACAAUCUUCGGAAAACUCGAAUCUGAUGGAAAUUUAGUAGAUAACACUGAAUUUCGGACCAAUUGCAUCAACAAUAUGUUAUGUUUUAGAACAUGUGCCUAUUACAAUUUCUAUUGAACCUAUUUCAAUGCUUUAUAAUUUAGAUUUCUUGUUUUUUCCCCCUUAAACCCGGAUCAAAAAUAUAAACUGUAGAAGUAUUGUCAUUUGUUCGUUUAUUCAAAUUAACAUAUUAUUGAAAUGUACACGUAUACUAAUAAUGCGUUAUUAAGGGUAUUUAAAUUUUAACGAUUUAUUUUUGUUUGAUUGUUCGUCGACUCGUGUCGUUUAAUAAGACUUUAUUUGUAAAUUAUUCGGCAUGUACAACAUGAUGAUAUUAUAUAUAAUGAGUAUUUUCUUUCAUAUAAUAUUUCACCCUUGAUAAUCUAAUUUUUUUUAUCCCGAAACGAUUUUCGAAUCAGAACAGCCUUUUAUAUAAUGACUAACGAAAUUAUUAUUACGUUUAAUAGUAUAUAUAGAAUCCCCUUCAACGUCUCCUGACAAGCGAAUAUAUUUAUUUCAACAUAGACGACGGGUAGCCAUUUUAGUUUUUACCGGCCGAAACUUCACGCCGUCGUCGUUAUCGUUAAUCGAGUAAAGUCGAUCACGUCGUCGAUCCCGAGGUACCGAAUACCUUUCAAUUAUUUUAUUUGUAUUUCUUUGAAGAAUGUUUGUUUGUAUUUUAUUUAUUUUUAAUUUAAUGAAUCAUCGAUGAGUCUUUCAGUGAAAUUCUACAAAGAUUCUCAGUAAACGUUUAGUAAAUUAUUACCUAGUAAAACGAAUCGAUCAGAAAUAAAUUUAAAAGCAAAAAAAAAAUCUGUUGCGGGGGACGGGUAUGACACUGCUGAAAAUAAAAAGUUAAGAAGGAAAGGUACAUAAAGUUUUUUAAUUUACAUCAGUAAACAAUUAUUUCCAAAAAAAACCAAUUCUGAGCAAAGUUAAUUUAUACUAUUUUUGAAAUGCUGUAAAUUUCACGUUUUUACCAAAAUUUGAUUUCAAGACUCAUAUAAAAUAGCAAUAAAUACAUUCUUUUUAAAAAAAACCUGUCCUAGAAAAAUGGUGAUGAGUGCAGCUACUAUUAUAGAUGGGAAAUUGUAAAGGUAGGAUACAGAAGGAAAUUUAAUGUAUAUCUGUAAGCAACGAUAAACCGUUGGUUACAAAUAACGAUUUUGAGCGGAGUUCAGUUGAUAAUGAUGCUCAACAGCAAUAUUAUAUAUUUCAUAUUAUGGUAAAAUAAUUAAAUAAGCAUUAUAUAUUUUCUUUAAUAAUAUCUGUUUAAUAUUAGCUGAUUUCCUCGAUUUUCCCAUGAUUUUCCCGGUUUUCCAUGUUUUAUCCUGGUUUUUUACAUAUGAUGAGAAAUCUCUCAAUCUCUGAUGAAAAUCAAAAAAAUGACCUUCUUAAGUACCUUCCUAAGAAUAUUUUCUUUCAGAAAAAGGUCUACAACAUAUACAUCAGAGUACUUCGUUACACUUAGAAUUUCAAAUUUACUACAUGACAAUCAAUAUUUUUAUUUUGCUGAAUUAAACUUAUAGUGAACCUUUUAUUAAAUUUUCAAACGUUUCUGUUUGGUCAAAUAAUUUUAUCUACAUAAUACUAACUAAAUAUAAAAAAAAAAUUCGAAAAUUUUCCUUUCAAAAGAGACAGUAUUCUUAAAAUUUAGAGGAAGAUUUCAAAUAUAAAAUAAAAUUCAAAAAAUUUAAAAUAAUGAAAUCAUAUACGACGUUAAUAUUUAUCCUACACUUUUUUUUCCGGGUUUUCCGUUUCGGAAAUUAACAAAGACCUCCUAGAUACUCGAUUUUGAGAUUUUUGAUAGAAAAAUAAUAAUUUACAGACAAACAAAAUUAUAAUUCGUAGUAAAACCUAUACAUUCUUUGCUACUCGUCAAAUCUAAAACUAAAUUAAAUGAACGCGAUUGAUUUUUCGUUCUUUAUGUUGGAUACACACCAAUGUCGUGUUUCCCAAAUAUUUAUCACCCGAUUCAAUAAUUAUAUUAUUAUAAUUGUAAUCGACUAAAUGUGAUGGAAACGUAUGAUUAUUGUAUUCGUUUUUAUAAUCUAUUUCAUUGUUUUACGCAUUAUGAAGGCAUUUUGCAUUUUUAACUUAGUUAACCAUCUGCUCAAAAAAAUAUUAACCUACAUCUAAAUGUUGUUUGUUAGUUACUUGCCUAUACAAUAUGAUCAUUCAUUUUGUUUAGUUUUUUAUAAUUGUCAGUCCUAUUAUUGGUUUCUAUGAACUUAAUUGUACUUGAGAUUAUCUUAUCUUGGGAUUCUCCCACUAUAACAAUUUCGUGCGCAUAUGCUAGCAGACUUUUCCCCUAUUAGUUCCAUAGAUCUGUUAUCUUUUAUGUUUCUUACAACUUGAUCUAAUUUCAGAUAUAAUAGUAAUGGAAAAAGUGCAUCCCCUUGUCUUAAUUCUGUUUUAAUUUCAAAACUAUUGAACGUUUAAUUCAUACUGGGUAUUCACCCAUUAUAUUUUUAUUACAGUUUCUUAUUAAAUGUACUAGUAUUGUGGGGAUUCUAAAAUUGCCAAGUACCGUCCAAAUCUGUUCUCUGUUAAUGUUUCCAUAAUUUGUCGUAUUGCAAAAAUAUAAUCAUUUGUCGAUCUUAUUCUUUUGUGGACAAUAUUACAACUAUAUUUAUGUUUAGAGCAUUCAAAAAUACGGUUUAUUAUAAUGCGAUAUCAUAUGAACCAUUGUAUUUGACCAGUCCUCGGGUCGAUAAAUUAAAAUACAUUACGAAAAUUGCAUUUAUAAUUUAAGUAAAUUCCGUUGUUUCUCAAUCAACUGAUAUUUUAUGAGUUUUUUUUUUUUCGUAGAUAAUAUACGCCCAUGCAAUAAUUUAGAAGAAAGCAAACAAAAGACUACGUGAAGAGAACCACGCGACCAUAUCGUCCGCAGCAGUCGAACAACCCGAAAUGUAAGUACCGCGUGUGCGCACGUGUAAAAUAUUUUUAAAAAUACUAUGUAAAUAUUAUAUUAUAUGUCAUAUAUCAUAUCAUGUAUGAGGCGAUUAUUGUAUAAUUUCAUACAUAUUUUAUUUUUAUUUUUUUGUAAAUAACCAAUAUCAUUUUUUUUUUUUUUUGUUUUUAACGAAACAAAUAUCAUAUCGUCUCUUUCCCCGCCGAAUGUGAUUCCGUUUUUCAAUUGUUUUUUUUUUUUUUUUUAUUGUUUUUUUUUCAUUACCAAGUUUUGACACACGGCAGUUUUCCGAUUUAUUAUUAAAUAAUGUUUGUCCGGAUAGUAUUAUUAUUAUUUUUUAAUUUUUUUCCAGAAAAAAACAGCGACUCAUAAUUAUCUACAUAUAUGUACAUAAUAUUAUUAUUUUAGCCGAAUAAAAGUUUCAGCUUUUCACAUAAAUAAAAAUACAUACCUACUUGCUUAUACCAUCAUCAUGAUAAUAGUAUUAUUUUAAAAUUGGUUUGUGAAAAUUAUGACACGUUGACGGUUAGAGGUUAGAACAUCAUGUUCUAACAUAACGUCUCCGACGCAAAUUUGUUUUUUGGUACCCAUGAUAACACAAUAUUUAUUAUUAUAAUAUACGUCAUAUAGUGUGCUCAAAUGCUACGUUCAUCAUCUAACAACUAGGUAGGUACAAACCAUUUUUUUUCAGGUCCACCGUAUAUUUUUGGCCGUUGAGAAGUUUAUUACUCUUUGUAUAUUGUGAUCGAGAUUGAAAAACAAGCCAAAAAGUCGGUCACAAAUUUCUAGUGCGUGCUGCUAUUUUUAAUUUUAUCAACAUCAACAUAAAAAAAAAACCAACCACGUACAAAUGUUGUCAAUUACGCGUUGGCAGUACGGUCAUCGGGAAUUUCUGUUGAGGAUGGGGGGGGGAGAUUGAGCAUAGGUGGGAAUAGAAGAUAAAAUCUCCGCCGCGGGAUGCGUAAACGUCACACAGAACUCGAUUUCCGGAACGUGACGCGACUCCGAAAUCGUUUUCGAACGAAGGAAAUGCGUCAGCCGUAAACGAAAGUCAUUUUUAACGCGUGUAAAGUAGUCGACCGUAUUUCAUAUCAUCGCCUAAACCUUUGUAAAUAUUUUUUUCAAAUGAUAAUAUUUGUAGAAUUUAAUGUACGAGUAUUUGAAACAACCAACGUAGUCAUCCAUGAGACUUGAAACACAUUUCCGAGGGACAAUGGAAAUUUGUCAUCAGCUUAGAAAAUAUAGAGAACUUUUUUCCACGCUAUAAGUACCUAAUAAUUUACGAACAAGCGCCUGGAACGACAAUAGUAAAAACGUUUAACAUAAAAUAUAAAUAAGAUGUGUAGUAUUAUGUGAUAUUAUGCAACGGUUUUUUUUAAAACGAAUUUGUAAAUUGCACAAUCAAUGUCAGCAAAAAAAAAUAUGAAUUUUAAUGCGCAUUAGAAAGCACUUGUAUUAUUUCAACAGUAUAUUUCGUAAUUGUAGUAUGAGACAAUGGUGUAUUUAGGAUUUUGUCAAAAAAGGAGAUACAGUAUUGGGAAAUCGUGUCAGGUUGUAAAAUAAAAUAUACCUGGGAUUAAAAAAAAUAUAUAAUUUUUUAAAUUUAUUUGUAAGUAGUUUAUAGUUCAAUCUGCUUUGAAACUAUCACUUAAAUUAAAUAAAUAGUUAUUUAAUUAUAUAUAACUGACCUUCAUGUUACAGUGAUUCGAGUAGGUUUCAUUUUAACCGAGAAAACGAAUAUAGUAUUCAAUUGUUUUUGAUAUACCUAUUAACAGGUACUAACAUUUUUUUUGUUUCUGCUGACUAAAACGUAAAAAAAUAAAUAUAAGUAUAAAUAAGAUACACUAUAUCAAGGUUGAGCGAGGGAGAUAAAUUUCCUUAAUUGCCCCUUUAAAAAUGCCACUGGUAUGAGAUAUAAAAGUGUAAAUUCAUAGAAUAUUUCUAAGUUCUCUGUCGCUAUAAUUUAUUUGACCAAUGGACAACGAUGAGAUAACGUUUCCAACGGUCCAAUUCAGGUAGAUAAUAAAAAUGAAAACUUUUUUGGAUGACUAAUGAUGAAGUGGGUAAUCUGAGUGUAAAGUUGUACAACAAAAUAAACCAUUAUAUAUAUUAUAAUUAUGUAGCGAUGGUCAAGGAAUUAUAAAAAUAGAUAUUAAACAAGAAAUUAGAAUAGGUUAGGUUAUUAAUGCACUCAGAUUUGCCAAUGACAUUACUUUUUGUGCAGAAACGAAAGAUGACCUGCAAAACAUCUUAUCUAAUGUAAAUAAAAUAUUUUGGAACAAAUACUGAAUAAGAUUAAAUAAAAAAAAAGAAAGGUUAUGGUGUGCAGCAAGACAAAUCCUAUUCAGCUUAAUAUAAAAAUAGAUAACGCACGUAUAGAACAAGUGCAUCACUUUAAUUACUUAGGAAGUAAAAUAACGAAAUAUAGUCGAAGUAAAGAUGACAUUCUAAGUAGAAUAGCGCAAGCAAAGAGGGAUUUUCAGAACAAUAAAACCUAUUAAUCACUUAUAGUGUGACAUUAAAGGUAAGGAAAAAGUUCUUACAAAUAGAAAAGUAGAACAGAAACAGAAAGUAAUAAAAGGAAACUAAAGGCCUUCGCAAUGUGGUGUUACUGUAAAUGCUAAAGAUUAAAUGGAUUGAAAGAAUAACGAAUGAAGCAGUAUUAGAUAGAAUAAAAGAAAAGAGAAAACUUUGAUAAACCAUAAUAGUUAGAAGAAACAAAAUGACAGGACAUCUACUACACCAUGAUAACCCAACGAAAAGCGUCAUAGAAGGUGACGUUGAAGGUCAUGCCAGAAGAGAAAGACCAAGGAUGAAGUAUAUGAACCAAAUUAUGAUAGAUAUGCUAAAGAAUAGCUAUAAGGAGUUAAAGGAACUGAGUAACGAUAGGGACACUUGGAGAUAUGCACCAAACCAAUCAAGCGUUUGAAGACGUAAAGAAGAUAGCGAUAAUUUAUUUAUUUUUAAAGACCGCUGAAAAAAUAUAAUUUACGAACAUAUUAAACUCUAGGUAAUUAAAUUUUAUCUAUACUAAUUUAAUUGAUUAUCACGACAAUCUAAUGGGAAAUAUAAUAACAUACAGAAACAUACGGAAAUUCAUGGAAGGAAAAUGUAGUCACGGUAGGCCUUCAAUCUAAUAUAAUAUUAGCCAAGUAGUUAAGUAGGUUAGGUGGCAAAAUAAACCACAAAUCAGUGCUAGAAAGGAGUGGAUUCAAUGAAAUUAUUUUGUUUUAUUUCAUUCGCUUUUCAGGAAUUUAUCGGAAACCGAUUUGCGAAGUGCAUAUAAGAUUUUUGUUGAAUUUUUUUUUUAAAUAUAUCUAUCUGAUUUAAAUAAAUUAUAAAUAUAAUGUGUAUAUUAAUUUUUUCUAGAAGUAUAUUUACAAAAAAUUGUUUGUCAGGUUUAUAAAAUUAUUCCUGUGCCAAUAUUAUAUAAGAUAAGUUGAUAAAAUUGUCAAUGUUUACACAAUAAUUUUAUAAUUAUGUGAUACGUCAUAUUAAGUAAACCAUAAACAUUUAUCAAAUUGAUUAAUAAUAUAUAAGUUUGUGUCAAUGUCCCCUAUGAAGGACAGCAGAUUAGGUGUUUAUGCAGCUGAUAAUGUAUUUAAGUUGAAUUUAAUAAAAUAUAUAUAUUUACAAAUUAAUGAGAUUUUUAGUUUUAUGAGACGAAUGGAGAGAAAGGAACGAGUUUCAUUCUUUAAUCCUAAAACGAGACUGAAAUGAUUUUUGUUUUAAUAAAAUUAAUGUAAACCGAUUCCUUUAUACAACGAACAUUUCAAGCACUGCUACGAAUUAAAAUUAAAAGCGGACAAACACUGUUGAAAAGAACAAAUUUAAAAUGAAAAAUACUGUAAAAUUGAUUGAUAAAUUAUUUAAAAAAAAAAACAUUAUAAAAUUAAAGCAUUCAAUUUCAUACACCACAAAAACAUAUAUUAAACUGGAAAGAGUACAUAAUUUUAUAUAUAUAAAAUCCAAAUACCACUGACACACUGAUCGCUGUAUCUCAAAAACUACUCAACGUACGCACUUGAAAUUUUGAAUAGUGGUUCCUCUAUUACUUUCACCGAUUAAUAAGAAAGGAUUUUUGAAAAUCAAAUUCCUAAGGGGUUAAAAUAGGGGUUUCCAGAUAUAUUUGGUACGAAGAUCUAAUUGCCUAUUUAUUUAUUUUUGUUUAUUCAAGGGUUACCUUUGUGUUACGGAAAAGAAAACUAUUAUAAUAAUUACUAUUAUUUGCACUAUUAAAAUAUUACAAUAGAACACAUUUAGUCUACUGAAGGUGGACUACCCUGAAAGGUGGAUUUUACCCACCUUUCAUCUAUUUGUUUUUAUUCAAUUCUGACACGGUCAAAACCAAAAAUUAAUAUGUGUAAAAUAAUAAUAAUAAAAAUUGGCACGGGCAACGCCUGGCGUGGGACAGCUAGUGUAUUAUAUAUGUCAAAAUAAUUGAAUAUUUAUAUUUAUAUACUCUUACAUUUAUAUAUUUUAAUGGUUAUGAGGUAAUCGAUACAUAUAUAGAUUGUGAUUUUAGUGCAAAUACAGACUCAUCUCUAGCUAGCAUACAUAAACUAAUCACCGUCAAAAUUCAAUUUAUGUAGAGGUUUAUACCGAAAAUUGCUCUUAAUAUGUUUCGCGUCAAUAAUAUAAAUCAAUAAUGACUUUUUUAUUUUUUUUAUUUUUAUUGUCGCCCCGUAUAUUUUAACAACACAUAAAUGUCGCGUUGAAUCUUUAAACUUUUACUCUUAUCGUCCGAAAGUUUUUUCUCUCGUAAAAGCGUAUAGGUAUUUACAUUUAUAUUUGUGGCGUUGAAAAAGAAAAGAAUAUAUAGUUAUAGAAUAUAGAUACCUACAUCAGGCCUACUAUUAACGAAAAUAAAAACAAUUCGGAUCUGGUCGUUGAAUAUACCACACACAGAGCGUGUGUCCGUAAAGAAUUUGUAAAACCCCUCUAAACUAUGUUUACAGAUUAUUGAACUCGUUUUUCUUUUACCUAAGAGCAUUUCGAUAAUUAAGUAAACAUUAUAGAUUCUGAACGAACCGAAAGGUUUUUUUUUCAUUUUACUGUCUAUUAUUUUGGAUAAACUUUUUAGAGACUGUUAUUUUGAUACUUAGAAUAGAAAUAUAUUUUAGUGUAUUGACAUUGGUAGAAAGAUACAAGCGAACAUUAAAAUAUCGUAGAAGAUAUAAAAAAGUCAUUAUCGUGGAGAUGAAAAAUGGUUAUUUUUAAUAAAUUAUAUCCGUCAUCGUUUCACUGAUAUCAGUUAAUUUACGUGUUCGGGACAAUGGAUUUAUAGACUAUUAUUAUACAACAAGACGGAACAUUUAGUAUGAUAACACGUGCCACCAGUUAGUUAAGCUAUUUCCGAGGACACUAGACAACUGAUGGGGUAACGCAAAUUUGUUUAAUUAUUAGUUGUUCUCUGAGUGCAGAAUAAAGUUCUUUCUCACGAAGGUCUUCUAUAUGAUUCUCUGUCACUUUCUUACAAUAAUGUUGUCUUGGAAGAACUAUAGACGGAACAGAGAAGGAAAUAUCAGUCCAUUUCCUUAUAGUUCUAUGAUUAUAAUACGAUUUCGAUAAUGUAGUUUGCAUGCAGUGCAUUCGGAAGAUUGUGGUUUUCGUAGUACUUGUUGUAUUUUUUUUUUUAACAACAAUGAUAUUUUUAUCGAAAAUUGCAUUUGAUUUUUCGACUUCUUUUUAAACGCUUAUCAGCACGUAUAACAAAAAUUAGAUCCGAUAAUUAUAAUAUUAUAUGCAUGUCAUUGCAUGUUGUAAUUCGCAUAAAAAAAGUUUAAAAAUACACAAAAUUAUAGUGAGUCGCAAAAAUUACCAAACCACGUUUUCUAAGAGACACAGUGCAACACAACUACAAUAAAUGGUUUAAACUUAAAGUACAACGUUAAUGUAUGUUGUGAAUGUAUGUAAGUACAAAAUUGACGACCGUGAUGAUAAUUACACCAGAGUUAGUUUGAAGAGAACCACCCACGAUACCUGUAAAUUUGUAAAAAGAUUUAUAAAUGUAUGGAAUUAAAGUGAUGAUAAUAAAAAACAAACUUUUGGUCAUAUCUGGGUAGUCUGGAAUACAAAAUAUUCUCGUAGUGAUCGAUUCGAGGAAAGAUGGUAGAGCAUUAUUUUAAUAAUGAUAUCAUAUUUAAAUUACAUCAGAUAUAUUUUUCGUCAAGUUCAAAUAUCGCCGAAUGCAACGAAAAGCGAGUCCCAGCUCCAAAAAUACACUUGUUUGUCAAUUGUAUUCUUCUUGAUAACUCAAUUUUUAAUUUGUUGUAUUGAGCACUGAUAUUAGCCACUGUUGUAUAUGGCAGAUAUAUGAACACAUAGGUUAGUUUAAUAUAUAUAGUGUACAGAAUUAUAUAUUACAGCGAUAUUUUCUCUGCGCAUAAAUAAGUAAAAUAGAGAAAAAUGUAUAAUGAAACAAUUGUAUUAAAUAGUGUGAUAUAAUAUUAUAUGUUGGUUUGAAAUGUUUAGACGCCCUUUUGUGGUCAACAUUUAAAUUUCAAACGGCAAUCUAUAUUUAAAAUCCAACGAAUCUCAAAAUUGCAUUUAUUUAAAUACAAUUUGGUAUUGACGACGUAUUUCGCUGUUUAGUUUAGACUAGGGUAAAGUAGUGGAACUCUGUGUUUGUGUAGUGACACGGCACGGCGUACUUAUUAUUUUAAUACAAAUGUUUCAUUGUUCUCAUUUUUGUACAUUUAUCGAAGAAACUUGCUAUAACAUAAAACUCUGUACACUCUAUAUACGGAAAGUAGCGAUAAAUAAUUGCAAUCAAAGCACGAAUCCUGAAAGCUUGGUAAACAGGUAAACCUUUAAAAUAUACUAUUACCAUUUAUUAAAUUGCUACUAUUAACUGUUUGUAAUCUUGUGUAAACGAAUAAUACGGGUAGCUUUAGUUCUUCUUUCGUAGUCAAGAUAUCACAGAAAUCAAUGAUAAUAAAACCGAUGUAUCGACGUUAGUAAUUGUCAGUUUUUAGAAAAACUAUCGAAAAUCUAGAAAUUUUUUUUCCCCGUAAAGCGUACCGCUGCGAGAAAAAUCUGCAUCUUUUUAAGAUACAUGCAUGAUGUAACCGAAGUAUUUUUACUACCGAAAAAGUUUUUUUUGAAGAAAAAAAUUCAACCAUAAAGCAGGGCCUAAAGUUGGGGUAUUUUGCUACUGCACAUCUAAUUACACACACCAAAAUAUUUUAAAAUAGUGAACAUAGGUAGUGCACAUGCCACAUAUGACUUCGUUGCAUAAUUGUUUUGGUAUUUAUUAUUAAUUAGUUAUAAAUUGUAAUAAAUACAAUCUAAGACAAUCGUCUAUAAAAGUCCUUAAUAUAUAACUAAAAAAUAUUAAAAACUAAAAAGCUUGGGUUAAUAUACUUUUUAUAUUAUUAAAUAAUAACAAAUACCUACUUUACUGGGAACAAAAUUUAACGCAAUGUUAUAAUUAAUAUAAAACAAUUAUGCAAAUUUAGUCAAAAACAAAUUCUGGUACUAUUAUUCUCAGGAAAAUAAAUACUUUUUGAAUCUUCAGCUUCAGAGAAAACCCUUUGAAACUAUUCCUGCUUAACAGCAUAUGACUGUACCUUAGUAUGUCUAUUUUAUUUCUUUAAGCCAAUAUUAAACUGCUGAAUGAGGCUUGAAUUUAAAUAGACAAGACAAAAAAUACGAAUGUCGUUAUUGGGGCCAUCCAGACGGUGUAGCCGGUAUUAUCUUUAGUGUUAUGGAUUUUAAAUGAAUACAUGUUAAUUAGAAAUUUACAUUAUUUUCAAUAAUUAAUAAUGGAUAUUUAACAAAUACAAAUUUAUAUAAGCCUUAAAUAAGUACUGAAUACUUUUAAAUUUGCUACUGCACAUUUAAUAUUAGAUACUGCAUAUAAUUGUAGACCCUGCCGUAAAGAAACUAAUAAGUAAUACGGAAAAAAGUUCUUUGCUUUACUCACAAUCUAUGUUCAGUUCUAAUUAGACUACCGGUAUAGACGGUUAUUGUGUUUGUAUAUGCUAUACUACUGAUACUACAAAUAUGGAAUUGUUUUCGAAAUGCAAGGUGUCAAUUUUAAGAAAUGUAUUUAGUAUUAAAUGCUCUACUUGCAAUUCAGUACUUCAUAUGGAAUGUGCAAAUAUGAAUACAGAAAGUAUAAAAUACAUGAAGACCAAAGGGAUCUCAUUCGACUGUGAGAAUUGCACCAAACUUCUUAGACAAUCCAGAGAAAAAAGUAACCCGAUAAAAUUCACUUCUCGGUCACAAGUUAUAAAUAGCAAUACAGUAACAAAUUUGGACAUUGAUAUUAAGAAAAUUGUAAGCAAAAUAGAUGACGUUAUGAAAAACUAAAUAACUAAAAAUAACACCCUUUUAACUUUUAGCAAUAGAAUUCUAAAGCUUGAAAAAAUGUUAAAAGAGAAAAAAAGCAUUAUUAAAAACUUAGAAUUUUUAAAAAAAAAUGCCUUGGAACAAAAUGAGAGAGUUUAUUUUAUGGAAAUAAAAGUAGUAAAAAUAGUUACUAAUGAAUACACUGAAAAAUUAGUUAAUGAUAUUGCAUCACAGAUUAAUAUUGAUUUUAAUCUUUUUGAUAUCGAAAAUGCAUACGGAAAACCUUCGAAUCAAAACCUAGAAUCGCCUUUGAAAAUGGUUGAACUUUUAUCUAAACGAAAACUUAACAAAUUUAUAAAAAAACGCGAAAAACUAGAAUGCAAAGGAUCAAGAAAUUAUAUCAAUGACAAUUUAACGGGAUCUAACAGAAAACUAUUUUGGGAAACCAGAAUAAAUGCUAUAAAAAAAAACCCAAGUAAGAACAAAUGAAGACCUUAGUUUUUUAUAAUAUUUUAACACUAUUAUAAUUAAAAUUCUUACAACAGGAUUAUAUCUUUACUUUUUCAUUGGGAAAACAAAUUUUAUUCAUUUUAGUAUUGGGCACACAUAUUAUACUAUAACAAUUUUAUUCAUAACUUAUUUAAAAACAAUUUUAACCUUAUGUAGCAUUAAAUCAUUAAAUGUGAAAAAGUAGGUUUAUAUAUGUGACACACGUAAACUACUUAAAAUGAGAACUGAAAAAAAAAUCUCUUUUCAUUCAAAUAAUACUAAAUUACAACUUAGACAAAAAACUCAUGUUUACUAUUAAAAAUAUUUUCAAACAUAUCAAAAAUAACUGUAUUAUACAUUAAAUCUCAAUAUAUUAAUUAUUGUUAUACAAUUUUGUCUAAAAUUGAAAAACAAAAGUUAAAUUAAAAUUAUUAUUUGAAUGUAAUAUUUUCCUUGUUAUAAAUUAUGAACUCAUGUGCCCCCACACGAACCUGUUGGGGCUCAUUAUCUAGUCGAAGAAAAAAUAACAAAAAUUUUAAUAACAAUAUCAAUAAUAAUAAUAAUAACAAAAACAACAAUAAUAUUAAUAAUAAUGAUAUUAUAGUUGCUUAAAAUUGUAUUAAAAAAAAAAAAUUAAUCUAUAUUAGGCUGUAUUUUCGAAAUUGUUCGUUAUAGGAUUCCGUAAGCGUCAGUGAAACGAUCGGAUAAAACCAAAAAUCGUUUAUAAAUAUUGUCACUUUUAGGAUUCCGAACUGAUCCCAUUCUGAAUGUCACUCUGAAACGAUUGACGACAGAUUAGGUUUAUCUUUAGUUUUUUUUGACACUCGGUGUAAAUUCAGGAAAAUCGUAUAAACCAAUCAAGCUGUGUCGCUCACCAUUUUACCGGGUAUAGGUAUAGUGAUACGAUCGCAAAGGGUGUGGUUUUUUUUUGAAGAGGCUCACAUACACACUCAAAAUACUCAUACCCUCAUUAAAUACUCUGUAUAGGACAUUUUUUUUAGAUUCUGAGUGGAGCUUUUACAGCUUUGAAGUUUUACAAUGAUGUUUAUUUUUUUUUUGUGGACAACUUUUCUACUAUGAAUUUUGGUUUGAUUUACAAUAAUAGCACUUUUUCUGGAACAAAAUCGGACUAGGAAGAUACUUCAAGAUUAGGUUAGGUUAGGUUAUUUGUUGAUGUUUCCAGGAGUUUUCUCAACAAAUGUGAAAAACCAGGAAAAAACUGAGGAAAAAUUGGAAAUUAUACGAAAUGUAAAGGUAUUAGUAAAAAAAUUUUUCCUUUACUACCUUUUCAACUUCUCACCUAUAACAAUGGCUGCACCUUUUCCCAUUAUCUUAGAUGAGAUUUGUGUCUUUUAUUUACGUUAAUAAAUGUACCUUGGCAUCGUGUUACAAAUGCUCGAUAAUUCGUUAUAAGGUCUAUCGACCAUCGUAUUAUAAUGCCACUGUAAUUUUAACGUAUAAUCAAAGAAUUUUAAAGUUUAUUUUCGACGAAACCCGUAAAAAUUAUGAGUAAAUGUGAUGCAUAUGACCACGGUGGUGGAUCGGUGAAACGGCAGAUUAGCGGCCUGCCGCUAGCGUAGUAUUUUGGAAUGACGAUCGUAUUAUUCACCGAACGGUAAUAAACUGGUCAACUGGUCGGUUGCGCAAUGCCGGCGAUAUAACGAAACGUUUACCGAUCGUAAAUAUAUUUCAAUGACGACUCUAUUACGUACCAGAGUAAAACGAUCUCGGAUUAUUGAAUUUCCGCAUCAUUCAGUAUACCAAUCGUUGUUUAUAUUUUGUGGUAAUAGACUAGAUUUGGUUAGGGUCACGUAAUCCGCUUCGCCUAACUCGCGAGUAGAACGUGCGGUUAGGUUUAGGUUAUCGGUCUGGACCAAAGUCUGAUUUAUAAACCUAUUAAUGAUCAAUUUUAUACAGUUAUCUGACUUCCAAAUAUUGAGAGACCUCAGAUUUCAAUUCAUUUUCGUAUUUAUUAGGACACAUUGAAAAAAAAAAUCGUUUGUGAAAGUUAUUUAUAGACCUAUUUUGUAUUAAAGUCCUUGGGGGCCCCAAAUUCUGUAAAUCGUCGUGUGCUGGUCCUUUAUUUGAUUUCGUCUGCUUUAUAAAGGCUGAAAAACUUGCCUGUAAUAAUAUAUAUAUAUUAUUAUUUGCGUUCGAUGUUGUUUUGCCAAAACGAUCGUCGUUAUAUUAUUAUAGAGACGAUAUAAAUCUUCGGCUGACGAUAAAAUCCGUCGGCAAACUCGAACGCUCCAUUAGCGUCGGCCAACUUGAACGAUAAUGGCUUUAUUGAAUAUUGUGUUGGGAAAAAAACCGUGAUUAAGUCGUCACGAGAAAACACGUUACACCUCCGACUAAGAAAAAAACAGAAAAACAUGCGAUUUCUCGAAAUUUCUCGAACUUUGUAAAUCGACAUUUUAUGAUGUUUACCAAUUAGUUGUUUUGAUAACGAUGUGAACUAGGUUAAAAUUUCAAACCAGACUUUUGAUAGAUUAAGAUAAAAUACAAUAUAAUAUAAAUAUGUUAACGUAUAGGGGAAAAACAGUGAAUCCGCAGAAGGAACAGUUACAUACUCUACCCACCCUCUUUAUUACCACCUAUGCUCGUACUUCUGCGAUAGUAAACAAAAUCUAUUUUCCUUAGCUAUUAACGGUCUAUGUGCAAUAAAGGCAAAAUAAAUUUACAAAUAAAGUUUUCGGGAGGAAACCAUGGCCGUCUUGGACAAAGGAAGCAGCUGAUUUGAAAACCGUCUCUGCUGUUUCCUACCUCGCGACCGCGACGGUGGUUAAAAUAGUUUAUGAUUAUUCCACCAAGUUUCUUACUAGGGAUAACUAAGAACGUCCAAAAGUUUAGUGGAAGGUUUUGUAUAUCUUCUCAUGAAGCUCAUUUUAAGGGAGAAGAGACGUAGUGGAUAUUUACCAAAAAUAAUUUCUUAAAAUAUGUUUCGUAUCUUUUCAACUCCGCACUCGUAAAACAACCGCCUACACAAAGUACGAAGUAUAAAGGCUUUUUUUAUUUUUAUUUAUAACUUUGAAUCGUUUUUUUUAUAAGAAUAUCGAAUAUAAUAUUCUGUUAUAAUAGUGUAAAAUAAUUACAUAUGUAUUAUACAUUUUCUUUAAUACUGUAUUUGUUUUCCCGUUUUUCCUACCUUUUCCCGGAUUUUUCGAUUUUUUGGGAAAAUCAAAAAAUGACCUCCUUAAAGUACCUCCCUCUAGUUAGAUUACCUUUUAUAAAAAAUUCUAUCAUGGAAAAUCGGAGUAAAGUUCCUGGUAGAAAAGUUGUCCACAGAAAAAAAUAAAAAAAUACAUGAGUUUCUUAGCUCCACUCAGAGUCUCAAACUAUUGAACAUUUAUGAUUUAAUGUACCUUCUACCUAUACCUAUAUAUCUAUAUAAAUUUUCAAGCAUGUGGUUGUAGGUUAUAAUAUUACAGUGGUGACGAAAAUCCCAAGGAGGGCGCUCCACCAAUCGCUCCCCUUCAAAUAUCCGCCACUGGCGUUUCCUAUAAAAUAACGUUAUCUAGACGGCAGCUGCCGGCCGGACCGAUGUCGUGUUUUGCGCGUGAUUUACACGUGGCGGCCGUUUUACGAAACCGGAUUAUAUACGACCGAGACGAUAAGCCUUUGGGCCGAGGGUACACAACACAUUUAAUAUAGCGCGCGCGUGAUGUAACAGUCAGAAGGGACGGUGAAAAUGGGUAGAAAUGACACGGGAGUCUCCGUCCGGCGAAUCGUUUACGGUUCGGAAAACCCAUAAGAAUUUCCCGGGGUUUUCGAACCGAACCGCGCAGGGUUGUUCAUGGUACUAACAAACGAUUACCGCACGCCCGGGUUCGCUCGUCCGAGCGCACGUACCUCGUCUAAUACGCGCUCCGCUGUCGCGCGUCCGGAAAUCCUUUUCUCUCUCACUCUCUCUCUCUCCCUCUUUAUCUCUCUCCGGGCACCCCGAUAACAAUAUUAUUACGUUAUAUAUACAUUAUAUAUAUUAAAUAUAAUAUGUCUUUCAUAUAAAAUAAUAAUAAUUUAAUACCUUCCUGCGUACGGAUUUUACGUUUUACGAGCAUAAUAUAUAAAUUAUUAUUAUCAUUACAUAUAUAUUAUAUACGGUGGAUCAAGAUUUAGGGGAAAACGCAUAAAACUACAUAAUAUAAGUCCCCGCGCUCACCGUUUAUUUUUUUUGUAUUUUUUCAUUCCGUCGCUCAUCGGGCCGGAUAACUUGUUUUUACUGCUGGACCUAUAAUCUAAUGUAUUUAAUUAAAUGAUCGAUUUUUUCGCGUAAAUCGAAUACAUACAUCGAAAAUAAAAGUGGUUCUCGAUAUAUUUACCAUAAAAAAAAUGUUUUGUUUUGUAGACGGGCAAAAAUAUUGAAACAAUUUUGAUCGAGCGUCCUCUCCUCCUGAAUUUUGUACGUCAAUGUAGGAGCGUUAUUUUGACGAAAUUUAGGGAUAACAGCACAGUUCCUUUCACGUACCGCGAUGCGUAGUCAUUGUAAAAUGAACAAAGAGGAUUGUUAGGGUGGUUUUCAAAUUUAAUUUAAAAAACUAUAGCAUUCACAUAAAAAUGUAUCAGAUCUUAUUAUUGUAUGCCAUACAAUUAUCUAUAAAAACAUCUUAAAAAGUGUCUCGUAUAUUAACAAAUUUCUGAAAAAAUUGAUAAUUUAAAUUUAAUUUUAAGGUUUUUUGAGGGGAUUUUUUGACCUAUAAUAGAAGCAACGUCUUAAUAUUUAUUAUAAAUUUGUAUAAAUAACAUUCAUCACAACAAGGGGUCCAAGUAUUUAAGGUUAGGUUAGGUAUUUAAGGUGUGUUAAAGUGUGCAAAGUGUCCAAGGUGUCCAGUAUUAAUAAACGUAGGUCCUUAAAUAAUGAAAUGUUCGAUGAAUUGAUCAUAGUUGUAAACUAUUUGCCAAAAAUAAUAAUAAGAAUUGCAUUGGUAACAUUUCAAUGGCGAUUUUUUUUUCCGGUUAUACAAUAAAAAAAAAAAAAAAGUUUUUCAAAAACUUAAAUUUAAACAUUUACACCUUAAACUAUAAUAAUAUUUCACCUUUAUAUUUUCCGUUUAAUGUAAUGAAGGAAUUGUAUUUUAUCAGUUGUCAAGUUUCACUGUCCGUACUAAAAACACUACAGACUAAUUCAUUCUAUGAGUAUUAUAAAUAACGGGUUUUCGCUCGAUAAUUUCAUGAAAAUCCUACUGAUUUUAGAAUUUUAUUAACGAACUAUUUGACUUGUAUACGAGUUAUAAUAAUAAACAUAAAGUUCAAUUUUGAAAAUAUCGAAACCGGGGUAAAGCCAAUAUAAUUUACAACGACAAAUUAUUAAAUAAUUUGAAAAUGAAUAUAUUAUAUUUUAAGACAAGUAAACAUGAAAAAAGUGUACAUGGGAAAAUGUCAACAAUAUAGAAAUCCGAUAUUCUAAUCAAAUUAUGUUUUUUUUUUUUUUUUUUUGCGACGAAUUUGAAGACGAUCAAUUUGCUGCCGUAUAAUUACUAUUAAUUAGUAACUAACGCAUGAUACUUAUUGUUCGAAGUAUUAAUGGUAAUACGCCGAACGAAACGUACACUUAUAUAAGUACAUGAUAUUACGCCGAGUAUAUAAUUGAAGGAAGUUUUCUUUUGCCACCGAAUAACCUGCCCAGGGACAGAGGUCGUGGUUACAAAACGAAGAAGACGUGGGAGGGGGGGGGUGGUCGGCUGACAGGAAAAUCGGCUCUUUUAUAUCUAAAGAGAGAAAAACUAACGGCGGACGCUGGCAUUGCAUUAACGUGCGGAUAAAAUUCCGGUCAAACAGAAAGACGGCGGCGUUGUAUUAAAUAUUGAUAACGGUUGAUGGACCGUAUAGUAUAAUACUACCUACAUGUAUAUUAUUAUUAUUAUUACUAUAUAUCUAUAUAUAUUAUAUUAAAUAUAAUAUAAUAUUAAAGAGCCGAAAAAUCGUUUAGCUCCCCGGACAUAUCCGGCCAACUGUUAACAGCGACCUUAUGAAUAUUGACGAUCGUAUAGGUAUACGCAGCGGUGCUGCUGUGGGUUCGUCUCUCACUCGUAUAUACACGUGUAAUCCCUACUACUACUGCUACAGCGGAUAUAGGAUCGGGGGAAUUACGUCCGGGCGGACAAUUACGAGAUAAGCGCCCAUCCGCGUAGUAGUUUUUCAAUUAAAGUAAAACUUUCAGUAGUUAUACUAUUAUACACAAAGUUUGUCCUGUCGUAUAUAGCGGGUCCCUAUAUUACCCCAAACCCCCCAGUAAAUCGAUUUGGCGCAGUGGCAGUCGGCGUUCGGUAGUGCGACAUGAAAACAACAAGUAUUUAGCGAAACUUUAAAUUGGGAUAUUAGAACGCGCCGCUGCAAGUUUGCAGAUGAACUGCAAUUAUAAAACGCGCCGAAUUUUUGUUUUUGCGUUGCAGUUUUCUCCCCUGUAUAACAACGACGAGACAAAUUGUUCGCCUCUUUUGAUGCGACGCUUUCGGAAGAGAGAAAAAAAAACAAAAUUAAACUGCGGUAUACUUAUUUAUACAUCGGACUCGCCUACUUCACAGAGGUCGUUGAAACCGCAACUACGUAUUAAAUUUAUGUGAUCCGCCGCCACCACAGCCGCCGUUAUCUCUCGGUAGAAAGUUUGCAGUGUGCUAAACACCGCAGAACUUACUGCGGGCGAGUGGCAAAUGAUUUAGUGCGGUGCUAUUUAGUGUUUUGCCGGUAUAGGAUUAUUAGGUGAUGCGUAUUAUUGCUACGACGAUGACGUCGGGAAUAUUUGUAAUGGGCGGGUUUUGGCAAAGCGGUUUUCGGUAAACAGUUUGUUGCAAUGUUUGCUACUUGGUUGCAACAUCAUCACCAAAACAUGUUAUUUACUACACAGUAUUUUAACCAUGGAUAUGAUCAGUGACACAAGAAAAUAAACGUAGUUUUUUCUUUUUAUUGUUCGCGAGUUUCGGCAAUCUGGUUAUCGAAUUAGCCGAAAUACCGAGUUCGGUUAUCUAUCAAUUAUUAUAGUAAACAAUAUCACAAAACAAGUUUGUUCCUUACACAAAACACGUUUGUUAUUAAUGCACAGUGCAAAUAUUAUCGUGAAUCUGAAUAAUAAUAAUACAAAUUGUUUUUUAAAAUAACUGCUCGUGCGCAGAUUAUUAUUACAGCAAUGCAGUUGUAGAAAAGAAAUAAAUCGUUACAAAUAAAAAAUACCACAUUUGUUUACAAUUUUUCGACGUGAAUUUCCCUUUUUAAUAAUAUAAAAAGACGUUAGAAAAACCGAAAUAUUUAUGUGAAAACGUUUUCUUUUUUUUCGAUUUUGUUUUGUUUUUUUUUUUUUUACGACUUAGUUUAUUAUAAUAAUUGUAAAUACCAAAACCAAACAUUUUCACCAAAGGCUAACUUUAUACUUAUUAGCCAUUUCUGGAAUGGGUCUAGGGUACAAUUUUCAAAACAUUUUGAUGUUUUUUAUAGCUAUAGUUUAUUGAACAUUUUCAAAUUUUAAUUGCUGAUAUGAUUGGUUUAGCCUUUCAAAAAUAUUCAAAAAUUGAAUACAUAGUUCUUUAUAUGUUCUUAUGGAAUAAUACAAAUACUACAAGCUACAAGUGUAUAACUACGCUCUGAAUCUAAUAUAAUCAAUAAUAUACUGAACAGAUUAUUAAAAUACGAGUUAUAGGAUAUUAUACUAAUAUUGGAUUAUUAUGGAAUCUCGUCUUCGUGAAUACCACGGUCACUAAUAAAUAAUAUGCCAUUCUUAUAAAAUUAUAGUACGUCCCUAGAAUAGUAUAUUAAGCAAUAGAGUGCACAAGAAUUUUCAAUGGAUAGACAUUAAUCAUGAUUCAAGAAUUGAAUUGUAGAAUCUUUUUUUAUUAUAGUACUUAUAUAUAUAUAUAUAUAUAUAUAUAUGUAUAACUAGACAACGAAAAUUUAAAAGCAAGAUUCAAAAAAAAGCUAAUUUGUAUUUAAUAAAUUGUUUCCUUGUAACUCGGCUGAAAUAUUUCAAAAUUAAUUUCGAGACAAAAUUACUAAGUAAAUACUCAUAUUUGUUGUGUUUUCAAACUAAUUGGGCGGUGUGCGAUAUAACCUAUAAUCUCUCCCUUUUGUAUACCAUUUAUUAUUAUAAAAGAAUGCGGACCGAAAUGAUAUUGAUACAACCUUUAUAAUGGUUGUUAUACACGAUAUUUCCGCGAAUUAUAUAUAAAUCUUUUUGCUCUGAUCCUCGUCAUCAUCACCCAAUGAAUAUUAUAUUAUGUAAUAUUAUUAAUGUAUUAUACGUACUUUGUGUCCUGCGAAAAAUCAGUCGGCGGCCUUCUAUGGCUAAUAUUAUAUUUUAUUAUACGAGUUUUUACGUAUACACUUUAUAAUGUGUAAUAGGAAUACGCGUACAUAGAAAAAGCACAUACUGUUAUUAUUAUCAUUAUUAUGAUGAUGGAUAAUAUUAUAUACGGAACGAGCGAGACGGACAUACACAAGGACUGCGGGCAUAAUUAAAACGCGGUCACCCUCCGGUGUUUUUGCAUCACUAUGAAGCGGUCGUGUCCGACCUUUUGGCAGGCGGCCGGGGGCCCGUAAACGUUUAAUUAAAAUCGGUUAUGCGAAAUAAAAACGUGCCGUAAACGCAAACAGCAGUUAGUUUAUAUACAGGGUGGGAUAUUUCCUCAUCGUCAUCCGGCAAUUUUCUCGAAAGAUUUUGAUGUAGCGAAUGCAAUUCGCGAUGUCUGCAAUAUAUGCUAUUCAAUCAUUAUACACUUUUCUAUACCUACGUGGAAUUGUUUGAGCUCAUUUUUAUCUUAUAUUUUCAGCUUAUACCCUAAACGGGAGUAUUAACAUUUGGUUUAAAAACAGAAACUCAGUUUUCUCCAUUUUUAAUACGACGCAGAUUAACUCAUGCCAGUGGUCGUGUGGUUUAAGUAAGUUUUCUGGUUACACUAGUGUUUAUGUAUAUAUUUUAAAAAGCUAUUAAAGGUGCGUGUUUUAAACUGUGUGAGCAGUUUGAAACGUAUCAGUAAAGUCCUCGUGGAAACUAGUUGGAUACUUAUCGUUUAUAGUUUAUACAAAAAGUGUGGUAGUGUAGGGAAUAGUUUUAGUAGGUGGGUGGGUGGAAAAUGAAAUAGGCUAAUCAAAGUAAAUAUAGUUCGCGCAACCAUUAACUCGUUUAAAAUGGUAUAUUAUCCAAUAUUAAUUUCAUAUACUUUGGAUUUUGACCCAACUAGUUAACUACUUGAAUAAACCCGGGGUCCAGCUAGUGUAGAUUUUUGAUGACAAGACACAACUCAAAUGCGCCGUAAUUGUCUGGAGGUUGCGUUACUUGAAAAUAGGAAUGUGUGACGCGUGUGUAUGGUGCAGGCGUACAGGAAUAAUAAGAGUACAAUUUUCGAUUAUAAUGUUAUAAAUAUGGUCGUUCAAAAAUUAUUAUUAUUCUAUUAUCAUUUAUCAAAUACAAACAUUUUCUAUCAUACCCUAUUCAAGUUUCUUCUAGGGUUCCUCAAGGUUUCACUCUUCUCCACUAUUAUUUAAUGUUUUCAUAAAUGAUUUACCCUUCAAUCUGCAUUUUGCUAAGUUAUUUUCUUUUUCUGAUGAUGGCAAAUUAUUGGGAUCUAUAAAAUCAGUAAAUGACGCAUAUUUAUAUUAAUGCAGUUGAGAAAUGGUGUCUCGAAAAUAAUUAGUUUAAACUUAUCUAAAUGUAGUGUUAUCUCUUUUUAUUUGAUAAAGGAAUUUAUAAGGUAUUCCUAUUCGAUAUCAAAUGAUGUUGAGUUUCCAAUUGUUAAAUAUAAUAGGGAAUUGGGAGUUACAUUUUCAUCUGAUUUAACUUUUAACCACCACAUCUCUAGAAUUAUCAAUUAGGAUGCAAGACAGUUAGGUUUUAUUAGACAGCAUUGUUAUAAUUUUAAUAACAUUAUAACCUUAAAAACAUUUUAUUGUUGCCAAGUUCGAUCAUGUCUUGAUUAAAACUCAUCUCUUUGGUCACCCCAUCAGUUAUAUUUAAUUCAAGAUAUAGAAUCCAUACAAAAUAGAUUUGUACGCUUUACAUCUUUUAAUUGUAAUAGUUACAGAGCUCCUCAUUCAUCUUAUUCGAUUUUACUCAGUUGUUUAAACAUAAUCACUUUAGAGACAAGAAGUAUAAAAUUAGAUUUGAUAUUCUUGUAUAUAAAUUAAUUAAUAAUUAGUUAAUAUAUUAAACAUAAAUAGUUCGGAAUUAUUUGCAAUGAUUAAUUUUAAUAUUAAUAAACGCAUUCUGCGUAAUAUAGAUUUUUUCUAACCAAAAGCUGCUAUUACUUUUAUAAAAUCUGAUUCACCAAUCAAUCUCAUAUUAACAUUAGCAAAUAAAUAUAAUAUUGAUAAUUUUGUAAUUAAUUUAUAUGAAUUUAAAAGUAAUCUAUGUAACUUAAAAUAAUAUCUAUUAUAUUAAGAUUAUUGUUAUUUAUAUGUGUAAAUAUGUAUAUUGUAUAUUUUAAUAUUAAAUUGUAAUUAGACUUAGGUCCGUAUGUAAUAUAAAAAUAAAAUAAUAAAAUAUAGAGCAUAAACAAAAUAACCAAAAACGAUUUUACUAGAAAUCUUCGUCGGCAUAGUUUAUAAUCGGUGAAUCAUGAUACAAAAAUCGCAUUGUACAUACAAUACAUUGUAAUAACAAUAUUAUUAUUUAAAUGGUGUAUAUAGGUGGAUAUCCGAAUAUCGAACGUGUAUUUUUCGUGUUGCUUUUACAGCGACAGAACUUUAUAAUAUAAAAAUAUAUGAGUAGAAUUCGCAUAAAAUAUCAAAGACGAUAAUAUUGUACAUAAAUAUAUAAUAUAAUUUUAAGAGCAUCUGCUAUAUAUUUUUCUCGGAAAAAAUAAAACGGCAAUUUUCCACGGAAUUUGCUUUUACUACCUAUUAUCCGUUAUCAGCUUUUGUUAUUUUAUUUUUACAAAUAAUAUGUUUAGAAAAAAAUAACCGUCAGCCGUUAAAUAUUCUGUUUCGAGUUAAAAGCAAUAAAAUAUAGUAAUAAUAAUAAUAAAAAAAAAAUAUAUAAGGAAUAGAUUUUUUUUUUUUCAAAUUUGUUUAAGUAAUACGUUUUUUUUCGAGUGAAAAAAUCGAGUAUUCUAUAAUAUUAAACACGCGCAUUAUAACAGUAUAAUAUAAUACAAUAACGCGAUGAUAAAAAAAUAUGUAUACAGUGACAUAAACAUGUUAAAUAAUACAAUAUAAUAAUAAAAAACAAUAAACUUGCUAUAUUAUAAUCGCUUAUCGGAGAGAGUGACAACUUUAUUAACACUCUGACGGGUAUUUUUUUUUCCAUAUAUGUGCAUAUCAUGGGUAUGUUCUUUUUUUAGAAUAUUUUUAUUCGUGUUUACGUAUUAACAUGCGAAUCUAUUCCAACAAUCGCAAUUGCCAUGGCUGGACUAAUGGAUUAAAAAGUUAAAAGCAGAAUUGAUUUCAAUUAUUAUAUAACUCGAUUUUUUUAUCAAAACAACCUAUUUUUUGUACUCCAUUAAUUUAAUCGCUAAGGAGUUAAUUUUAGAUUCUGAGUGGUGUGAAGAAGCUUAUGGUUUUACGAAGCUGUUUAUUUUUUUUUCCUGUGGACAACUUUUCUACCAGAGGACUUGCUUCGAUUUUUAUGUGUAGCAACUUUUCUGACUUAAAUAAUAGCACUUUUUCUAAAAGAAAAUUUUACAUUGAAAAAACAAAAUUAUUGAUAAAACAACACUAUCAAUUGAACUUUGCUUAGAAUCGUUUUUUCGUAACCAAUGGUUUAUCGUUGUCUACAGAUGCCUUACACAUACGUUAUAAAUUAAAUUACCUAUAACAAUGUAACAAUGGCUGCACCUGUCCCCAUUAUCCUAAGACAUCUUUUUAAUUACGUUUUUGACCAGUUACGGCCUGAGGAUUUUGUACCCAAAGAGCAAACUGAACUAGUACCUACCUACCAACCCACUAUAAUUUUACUAUAGAUUUAAGCAAUCUCCAAUAUUCGAGCAUUAUUAACAUUAACGCUACACUUGUUUACAAAAAUCAAUACCUACCUAAUCUCCUAACAUUGGUUUUACCACCAAAUUUGCAUAUACUUUUCAUGGGAAUGUCUCUAAACUUUAGGAUACUAGGACUACAGGACCUUAACAAAGAAGUGAAAAAAACAACAUAAAUUAAGAAUGAAGAUUAAACGUGACAACAGCAAUUAUAACGUAUAAAAUACAUUUUUUUCGGGGAUGGUAUAAUUUAUAUAUUGUAAUUUUAUGAUCUUCUUCUGAUAUAAUUUAUGGCUCUAUCCAAAUCCAUCUUCACAAGAUGAUAACAUAUAUGUUUCAAUCUUUUGUCACUAUCGUAGAUCUAAAUUUAGUUUUUAUUAGAUCUAUUAGAUUUUUGAACAUAUAUGUUUAGUAAAUAUUGAUUCAAUAGCUAGUAAAGUGCAUAGUGUUUUUGUUGCUAAACAAAUAUUAAGAAAAGUAAAAAGCAGUUGUAGAGUAGAGUCUAAGGUUACUUAAUUUCUUAAACAGUUCACUUAUGGACUGUAUAUUUGAUCUUGAGUUUUCAUCGUUAUCUAUAUUGUUAUCAUUUUAUUAUUAUUUAAUUAUUAUAUUAAAAUAAGUUUAUUAUCUAGUAGUAUAAAUUCUUGACAUUUCCCAACUCUGGACAGUAGAUGGAAAGUAUUUAUUCAUAUUUCUUUAAUCGCUUCCCGACAUUUUUCUGCGUGUCCAAUUCUGACUGUGAUUUAACGUAUUAAUAAUCCUUAUUUAAAAAAAAAAAUAACUCUAAGUUUAAUCGUUUCCACUGGUAAGUCUAUGAUGACAAUAAUAAGAUUUACAAACAAAUAAACUUAUAAUUUAAAUGGUUAAGUCAAUUGAAUUUACAAAGUUAACUUUAAACGUACGUUACCUUGUGCAUUUUUUCUGAAUUAACUUAACUUAACAUCCAGCUUUAUCAAUCGUCAAAAACCGAAUAAUUUUCGAUUUCUUGAUAUUUUAUUGGGAUACGCGUAAAACUGUAAUAAUAUUAAUUAAUUUUACAUAAUAGUGCGUAGAUUGUUUUGACGUUGACGAUUUAAAAAUCACUAUAUUGUUAUAUAUCACUAUAUAUACCACAACAGAUGUAUUUCUAUUUUCUGAUACGCGUUUACGAUGAUGACAUUUCAGUCAGAUUUUCAUCCCACAUAUCUGGCAAAUGGACGGUGUUUAGAGUUUAAAUAAUAAUGUAGUAAUAUUUGACUACUAACUACGAACUGAAAGGUUUUAAAAUGACAUCAAUAUCUCAUUUUACCUGUUACCCGUGAUAUUAUAAUAUGUUAUCAUUAUAUUUCCGAACUUUAAACGAGUUUCCGAAACUAUCCCUAUAUUAUACACGAACACGAUGUCUGGAACUGUCCCAGCAAUGAAUAGUAAAUAAUAUAAUAUUAUUAAAAUACAUGAAACUUUUAAACUAUGCGAUAUAAAUAUAUGGAAGUAUCAUAGUGAACAUUAUUUGCUGUACAAUUUUGUGCGAAUAUUGUUCGAAGUUGAACGAAGUUUAUGUCAUCGUCAUAUUGUGUACAUGCAUAUAUUAUUGUAGUAUACAUGUACAGGUAAUGUAGAUUUUCUAAAUAAUAAACGUACAUCAUUAUCGGUAAAAGGACAAGUCUAGAAACUUUUUUUUUUUUCAAAGUUAGCUAUCAUUUAUAUUGUUGAAAUGAUUGUACCUAUGCAUUCGUAAUGCUUUAAAAAUGUAUAUAUUAAGAUGCGUUCGCGUUUCACAUAAAAACUCACACAAAAUAUAAGAUAUAUGUUCGUUUUAAAUAUUUUUUUAAGCUGGUGUUUACAACAUACUAUUGUGCCAUAUUUUAAAAAACAUUAAAAUAAAAUCGAAAAUAUCAAAUGCCUAAUAGCUAAAAAAUAUAAUUGCAUCUUUAAAAGCCUUUUAUAACUAAUUGGUGAAAAUUCCUGGGCUCUAUAUUAUUUUGACCAAAUUAUAAUAAAAAAUACGAACAUACUUCACAAGAUGGGUGGGCUACUGUUGUAGGGGAUAAAAUUAGAAAGUUGGGUGUAGAGGGGAGUUUAAUAUAUAUCUGUAUGCAGCAAUUAAUCAUUGCUAACGAAAAACGAUUUUGAUCGGAAUUCGGUUAUACAUGUUUUGAAAGACCGGAAUAUUUCCUAUUUCCAAUUUCCAUCAAAAAUGUUUAUAAAAAAAAAAACUACUUAAACUUAACUUUUUCUUAUUAUUCACUAAGUGCAACUACUACUAGUACAGUUAUUACUACUAAAUUUUCACCAUUCAAGUUAUAACAAAAUAAAUUAACUUAUGUUACAAUUUAGUUAGAGUUAACAGGUCAUUAUUUAAUCAAUUGCCUUUUAACUUAAAUUAGUUAAUUAAUAAAACAUCUAAGUUUUAACGUGUGAACUAAUUUUAAUAAAUUUUUCAAGUAAGAGGCUCGUUGCCAGUGCAUUUUUUGUGUCAAAAAUUUAUCUUCUGGAAAUUAUUAUCAUGCCUCGUAGAACAGCCCAAUUCCGUUGAUUGUUUUUUUGUAAAAAUAAAAAUAAAAUUUUUUAGACCGCAUUGGAUGUUUUUCAAUAUUUUCAACUCAAACUUAAUAAUUCAUCUAUAAAAAAAGAUCAAUUUUUAACUUUUUGUCAAAAUCUUUUAUUCUAUUAUUUUAAAUUCAAUAAAAAAUCAGAGCUAAAUGCAUUCUGUAGUAUAUAUAGUUAUUUAUUAAUUUUCCAUGUAGAACCAUAAAAAUUGCUAUAUCUUCCCUUUGUUAUAAAUGGGUAACAGGUAGUACAUUAAUGGAAAGGGCUAAUUUUUAAGAGAACGUGAUAUCUUCAUGCACUGUCUUCAUCAUAAAAACGUACGAUAUAUCAAAUUUAAAUCAACAGGACAACUUUGUGCUGUUCAUUUUAAUAUUAGGGUGAAUUGAUCUAUUUUCAAACUUAAAUAUAAGACCAUUAGCAGCACAACGUAGGUACUGUUUUUUCAAUGUUUCAAGCAUUCAAUUUUAUAGUCAUAUUCUCUCUAAUAAUAAUGCAAAUAUCGACAAAAUAAUGCUAAAAUUGUACAGAUAAUAUUAAUAUCUUUAGUUUGAUAGUUUAUUAUUUAGUAAAUUAUUUAAACUACAGAUUUACUUAAAAAUUAAAACUAACAGCACUGUAUUGCCCCAGUUGAACGCAAGAUUCCUAUGUCGUAAGUUUGUAUAUGGAAACAACAUAUACAGGUGUCAUAGCCUCUUAAGGCAGGAAUUAAAAUGUUAAAAAAAAAUAUUUAAAUUUUACAUAAUUAGAGGAAUUUGAGAAAUCUUACACCGGGCCGCUUAAUUUGACUAGACUGCACUGGAAUAAUAUUGUUUACCAACUUGCCACAGCAUCGGAAUAAUCUAUAUAUUUUUUAUUCUGGCAUAAGUAUAGUUAUUACGCUUUGUUCCACUUGAAUAAUAAUAAAAAAAUAAAAAUAUAUCAAUUCAUUUAUAUCAGAUUUAUUGUAUUCCGGCGAUAAAAAUAUUAUGAAAUAAAACUAUAAUAGGCACCUAACACGUAGUGAUAAUAAAAUAUCUGUACAUUAUUUUAUUAUUUUAUUAUAUUUCACUAAAAAAAUUCUCUGAUGGUAUAAAGACAAUUGAUGAGAUACGUUAUUUCAAACUGACGUGUUUGAAAACAGAUUUUUAUAUCGGAAAAAUAAAAUCUAACUGGAAAUUGAAUUUAUUUAAUUUUCCAGUCCAUUUCUCAAACGGUUUUGGCUUUGAGAAACGCCAACGUCAUUUUUUUUUUAUUACGUUACAAAUCGAUUUAUAAAGCAAAAUACGUAUAAACACUUUUGUCGAAUAUAUAAUAUUACAUAAUAAUACGAUUUUUUAUGCAGUUUUUUUUUUUACCGGCAAUACAAGUAUAUAAAAUAUGGAUAUUAUAAGCCUGCCCGUAUCCUUCAAAUUAAACUGUACAUAAUAUAAGAGAAACGCCCACCGUUAAAUCUGUUUGAAUAUUAAAUUUUUUUUAAAUUUGAAUUUUGUCGUAAUAACAGAUAAUUAAUUAUUAUGAUAUUGUAAAUUAUAUACUUUAAGUAUUAUUAAUAUGAAUAACAACUCAAACAUAUUAAUUAAUCCUUUAUUGACAACGGUAAAAGUCUGAAUGAAGUUAUACAUAAAUAUUGUCUGCGUGACAAAAAAUGAUGGACACUCCCCGCCAAUCGUAAUAUGAUAUGAUAUUAUUAUGUAAAUACUUAUAAGUUUUAAUUAAUAUAACAUAAAUGUAUAAUGCUUGUCGUACCGUAAAUACUUAAUAUACAACAUCUAAUUCCUUAAAGAAAUAAUUGUUUUAGUAUAGUACUUAAUUUGCUAUAUUUAGUAUCACAUAUACGUUAGUAUUAUUUUUAUUGAAUAUAAUUUAAAAAAAAUAAUUGACAAAAAAAAAUUACAUUAUUUAUAAUCACUUUUAGAGCAUCGCUGAUGUGGUUUCCCAGCUCUAAUUGGUCUGGGAGUUUUAUCUAUCAUUAAAGGAUUGGGACUGUCAAUUGGUUUCCUGGCGGGAAUAAGUGAAAUAUCAUUGCUUAAAGGUGUUAAAGAUUUGUCGAUCAGUAAUUGAUCAUUAAGUCUUUACCAAAUAUUUCAUCAUUAAAUUCUACGUCAUACAUAUUGUUACCAAUACAUUUGAUGAUUUUACCCUUAUGCCAUUUAUUAUUAUUAUUCCUUUAAACUCUAGCUAGAACAUUAUCACCUACAUUAAAUGAUAUUAUUCUAUUUUCUCAAUUGUUUAUUUGCGAUAUUUGUCUGUUAAAAUGCAUCAAAUUGUAAACGAGUUGAUUGACUGUUAGCUGAGCUGGCGUUUCUUGUGUUGUUGAAUGAGGUGUUUUACGAUGCAUAAAAAAAAAUAUUAUUUACUUACGAUUGUGCUGUCGAACAUUUUUUAAAGAAGUUUUUAAUUAUUUUGACUGCUGAUUCAGCACCAUAGUUCGAUUCCGGGUGAAAUAGUGCGUCUGUUAUUUGUCUUAUACCUACAUUUUUAUAAUACGAUUGAAAUUCCAAACCUAUAAAACAUUUUGCGUCAUCUGAUGUAAUAUCAAAUCGUGCUAUUAUUUGCGAAAAUUUGUUUAUGACAAUUUCUGCUGUCAUAUUAUUUACUAUUUAUUUCUAAACAUUUUGUGGUCGCGUCAACUAUGAUAAAAAAAUAUUUAUUUUGAAAUAAUCCGAGAAAAUCACACUGGACCAGGAUCCACGGUUUUUCUGUCCUUUUCCAAGAAGAUAUUAUAGAUUUUGGUAGAUUUUGCCUAACAUUAAGGCAAUUGUCACAAUUAUGCGUAAUAUUUUCUAUUUCCUUAUUCAUUCCUGGCCACCAAAAAUAUAAUCUGGCUAUACUUUUCAUACUAGAAGCCUUCAUAUGACAAGAAUGGAGUUAUUUUAAUAUAUUAUUAUGGAAUUUAGAUAGUAUAUAAAUUUAAUAACCUCAUAAUUUACAUUUUUGUUCUACUGAAAUUUGAGUUUUUCGUAAAUUAUACGAUUUUGGUUCUUAAUUAUUUGCAAAAUUACAGUUUCAUUUUCCUGCUCUAACUGCGUUUAAACUUUUGCAAUAAUUGUGUAUCUACAUGUUUCAAUUUUUUUUUUUUUGGACCAAUCCAGUGUUUAUGAAUUUUUCAUGAAAAUAAUUUAGACUAAUGCAUUCUUAAUUUUGAUUUUCGAUCGUUAAUUUAGAAAUGUGUAUUCUUGAUAAAAAAAAUAUCAUCUAUGUUGUUAUUAGAUUUUACAUAUUUUUUUUUGAAAUCAAAUGAUAACAAAACAUAGGCCCAUCUACCAGUAUCUAUCUCGAAAUUUACAUUAUUAUUUUCUACAAUUAAAUCUAAUUUCACAGCUCUAUUUUCAGAGUUCUGAUCAAUUAUAGAAAAAAAAAGUUCUGGAAAGAUCGAAGUUAACUGUAUCAUCAUCAUCAUCAUCAUUUUUUGACAACAAUUUAUUUUGUGUUUUAUUGUUUUUCUUUUCUUUUUUACUUUUUUUACAUACAGUGGAUAAAUUAACUUUUUCACCGAAAUUGUUGCAUAAUCUUUUUACCUGCAGUCUUUUUGAACGUGAUUGGAACGGCCACAAACCCCACACUUUGCCUUUGAUUUCUUGGACACAUUGAAAUUCUGAUUGAAUUGACCGUAACCGUUGGUACUUUAGAUCUGCGCCAUCUUUUUUUCUCCAGCCACGUUUGUCAUUUAUUGCUGCUUCUUUAGUUGAUUCAAUUUCCAUUAAAUUUGAAUACGUAACACCACACUUUGACGCGUAUUCUUCUAAGAGACGAUAUUUUAUUGAUCCUGAACCAAUACCGAUAACAAUAUGUCUCAGAUUACCGUUGUUGGUUUUGCCGAAAACCCACAUUUUGAAGUUAAUUUUUUGACACGUACACCCCUUGGCAUAUCGAUUAAUCUUGUCUUCUUUUGGCCUGAUAAAAUAUAUGUCUAGUCGCAAAGUACGACUUUACAGGUUUAAAAUAUUUGUUCAAAUUUUUUAUAAGACUAGCAUACUCAACAUCAUCCGGUAUGCUAGGAACACAUAAACUAAAGAGCACUUUAUGUAUUUCUUCACUAAUUGACGAUAAUAAUAUAGCUCGUUUUUGAAUAUUAUUUUCGAUUGAAUAUGUUAAAAAGUUUGUCAAUUUUAUCUUGAAAAUUGUAAUAUCCGUAAAUGCUUCAAAAAUUCUUGGUGACUCAAUAAUUUGAUUUUUAAAAUAAUUUUUAUUUUCGGAUUAUUUAGAGAACUACUUGGAAAAUCGAAAAAUAUCUUUGUUACUUAUUAACUUUUCAAAAUAUUUGUAUAGACAGAUUUAGAGAAAGAUUUUUUUUGUAAAAACGAAAAUCAAGAUUCUUGGUAUAAUAUUUGUACACUGACCGAAAAAAGCACACAUCAUUGUAAAUCAAUAAAUUAUUCACUACGCUUAGAAUUGAAAAAAAAAAUACAUUGGAUUUGCCGUAUUUGGAAAUAGGCGAAAAAAAUACUGAAAAUAACAACGAAUUCACUUCGGGUAUAAAAAUUAUGCAUUUUUUUUUUUUACUCGUGCAUAGUAAUAUAUAUAUAAAUCACUACUUCACCGUAUGUUCUCCAAAACGGUGAAACGAAAAAAAAAAGAGUUUAUUUAAAAAAAUAAACGUGUCGGGUCAAUGUGGAAUCACCCGGUAUUUUUUAUAUUUUCAUACAAGAGUAUAUAUAUAGCGAGUACCUAUAUGUAUUUAUUUGAUCCUGAACGGUUGUUCAUCCGCGACUUUUGUAAAUACGAAUAGGCAUUUUCCACGCGUGUCCCGGAAAUGUGACCGACCUCCGGUCGUCAGAGACAGGUGCGUAAAACGAAUCGAUAGGGCGGCCAUCAAUCAGACCGGGGGUUAGACGGAUUUUUUUUGCAAUUCGAGAUUUAUUUCGCCGGAAACAGCAGUGUACCUAGUAGUUGGUGAUUUUUUUUGUUUGUUCACCUAUAAUACAUUCCAUCGAAGUUAUUUAAAUAUAUUACGUACAAACGGUGAAUACAUAAUAUUAUUAUGGCAACAGAUUUGGGAAAAUUAAUUUGCAACUGGACAUGAUGGGAAACCGUUAUGUUAGAAUACAUAUUAUGAAUAUAAUUGAAGCCACAAACGAACAAGAAAUUCGACGGCCCACGUGAACCGAUCACAAUCUCUUAUCAUAAAGUAAACCGGUUUCGGUUUUCAGGCAGUUAUAUUAAACCGAUUCGAAUUCGUUUUAGUUUUAAUUUUAGUUUUAGCGGUUUAGUAUUUUUCGGCCGCUCUUUUCUGGUCCAAAGUUACCGAAACCGAUUUAAAUGUAUUCUUCUUAGUUAUCAAUGUAUGCGAAUAAUUAUGCUAUUUGAUCCAUUAUCAUUGUUUUCAUUUGUUAGUUAAGUCCGCAAUAAAUAGGUGCUUAUGCAGUUUUCUAUUGUCUAUCCACUGCUUGUUUUUCAAUUAGUUUCUAUAGUUGUAAAUAAAAAUAACUCAUAACCAUGUUUACGGGUCUGAUACAGAUCCGGCCAUGGCCAGACAUGCGAAACUAGACAUUUUUAUAGAAUUUUGAGAAAAUGUUAUAUCAUAAAAUAUGACAUAGUAAAAAAUAAAAAUCGUAAAUUAUGUAUACGCACGUAGCGCCAACUAGUCAAUUUUUUCGAAUUCAGUCCGAUAUAUAUAGAAAAUAGAUAUUAUAGUCCAAAAGUCGAUAGGGAACUAUCUUAAAUCUUAAAUAUUAUCUUAAAUCGUAUUCACACUAUGCAACGUUAUUUGUUCAACAUUUUUUACAUAGUUAAUUAUUAAAUAUUUUGAAAUUAAUAUGUAUUAAUUAUUUUUAUUUUAAGAAGUUUGAUCGCUUAACAUACAAUUUUUCUUGUUGUUUUGUGAAUAAAUUCUAGAAACGAAAAGAGUGCUCACCGGGGGCGUAAAUGUGAAAAUUGACAGUAUUUAUUGGUACCGUAAUAUAACAUUAUAUUAUUAUCCCAUGUAUAGAUACGCAUUUAUGUGCAUUUGAUAAAUUGCUGUAAUAUUCAGUUGAGCAAACCGCAUAUAGGUACCUAGUACCUAUAAUAUCUAAUAUACCUCUUGCAAUCACGUUUCCGAUUCAUUAAGCAUAAUAUAAUAUAUUCUCUCGAUUAUAGAUAUUACUGCGGUGUACUUUUAUUUGUGAAAAAUCUACGUUUGACAUUAUUAUACGAAUAUGAUUUUGUUUAUAUCAUUUAGAUUAUAUUAUGAUGAUAAUGAUUAUAAUAUUUUGGUAAUAAUGGCCCAUCGUGUAAAACGUAUAUUUUAUGACAGUACCUAAGCCUCUCUUACGGGAGGGGGAAUAUAUUUGCACCCAUCCUUAAAAUAGAAAAUGUCUUAAAAAUUCAUGUCACAGUCUAACAUAACCUAACGGGAUUUUUAUAUUUGUAAAAUAUUAGAUAGAACACUUUAGUAAGUACAUAAAAUAGAAAUUGUUGUAUAAUAUAAUGUAAUGCAUGUUAUAAAAUAAUUUCAUAAUAAAUUGUAAUGUAACACAAAGUUUAACCUCCGAUUUUUCAUACAAGAAAUUCGUUCAAUAAUUUCAUCCACUGGUAUACUUAUUUCUUGGCAUUGGUAAAAGUGCAAGCCCACAUAAACGAUGCUGGCCCAUUUUUGAACGUAGUCAUAACCUAACCUAAUCUAACCUAACCAUGUUUUUAGUCUACAGCAGUAGAUAGGUACCACCAAAAUUUAUAAACCAUUUCCAAUUAUGUAGAUAUAUAAUAAUUAUUAUAUUAGAUUAUAUAUUAUCAUAUGUUUUUAUUAUCUAUGGUCAAACAACGUCGAACUAUGAUAACACUAUAUAUUUUGACCCGGUUCAACCAUAAAUAAUAAAAAUUAUUUAAAAUCUUGAGCUUCAUCAUGUUAUCAAUUAUCAUAUUAUUAAUGACUUUAUUAAAAAGAAUUCAAAAUAAUUGUAAAAACACUAAAAAAUAUAUAACAAUGCACACAUAUAGUCACAUAUAAUUAUACGACCCACGGGGGCGAUGAAUCGAUCCCCCCACAGGUGCGCCACUGUUUUAUGAUAACUUGCCAGGGUGUUUGGGUUAUAUAGACCAUGAAAAUAAACGUUACAAAUACAAUAUGUAGACAAAAGUAAAACUCUCAUUUGACAAGCAAACUGUAACUAUUUCGUAAUCCUUUAAUGCAUUUUGUAUACAAUAUUUUAUCGUCGAAAAAUGCUGAAAAAUAUAUACGGAAUUAAUGGGACGUAGAAAUAAAUAAAGAUAACGAGAAAAAAACGAUAGCCAAAUUUUUUAUACUCGAGUCGUUCGGAUAUCCGAGCAACUGAUAGGCAACAAGUUUCUGAAACUUUCGUUUCUGUUUAUAUGGUACGAUAUAAAUUGAAAACUUUAACAAACGCACGUGAAAAUAUCGAUCGCUCCUGUAUUCGUAUAAUGCCACAUAUUAUAAUACCCAUACUUACAUAUAAACGUCUUACGAUAUUAUAAUUCUCGUUCAAAGCCGAAAUUGGUGAUUAUUUCUUUAAGUGAAACAGCGAACAUAGAUUAGGUACAAUCUAAAAUAAAAAAGAUUUUUUCGACCGGCUAUUAACGGAUGUUUUGGUAGAAAAAGGGGUUAACGAAAAAACAUAAUUUAUCUGUCCAAUCGACGAUCGUUGUUAGAUAAACAAAAAAUGCGCAGAGACAAAGACGUGCAAAAUGAAACGUUAAUUGAAACCGAUGAAACAAAAAUUAUAUUAACGAUAACUUUUAUCAGGAAAUUCGGAGCUGACGGGCUGUAUCAACAAUAUUAUGAUAAAUUGUCAAAAAAGCGUUUCGUUAAAUACGACCGUCGCGUGUCGUGUCACGGGAACGCUAUCAUAUUAUAGCUAUCAUAAAAGGUUACGAUAAAACAAUAAUGCAAAGUAUGUUAUUGUUUAAUUUUUUUUUUUUUUUUAAACACAUGCCAUUUUCAUAAAUUAUAAGUUUAAAAAAUAUAUUACGUAUAUUCUGACAGUUUCGGUUUUUAUUAAUAAUAAUGAUAAUUCUCCACUAAUUAGUUCGUCUAUGCUUAAAAUAAUAAUAAUAUUAUCAUUUUUGAUAGUAAAAUGUAUACAAACUAAUACUUUAAUAAUAUUAUCAAGCGAAAUGUCUUUGAGAAGAUUAUGUACCCCUCCUAAGACCUUUCAUAUUAUAAAAUAUUAUAUUAUAUAGUUAUGUCAACUACCACAGAGUACAGCAUGAAACGGGAAAGAGGUGAGCUUUUCUAAACCCGAAAUUUCCCUUUAGCUGUAUAUUAUAAUUUGUAAUAAUAAUAUAAUUAUAAUCUAAACGGACGGAAAAAAAUCGCAAGGAUAUUAUAUUAUGUUUUUAUCGGCAAUUAAUAAAUAUGCAUAUUAUAAUAACGAUUGUUUAGGUCAUUUCGUCGUUCGUUCGUCACGAUUUUAAUUAGUACCGGUGUAAUCGGGAUUAUUUACUCCCAUGAAAUUUUACCGAAAAGUAAAAUUUCUCUAGAGAUAAUUUACCGAAGGAGGUGAAAUUUCACCCGGUAAAUAAUGCUAAUAAGAAGUGGAACAUAAAUAAUAUUGUCGUAUUAUGAGCAUGAGUGCGUGCACGGGGGAGAUAAGAGAGGCAGCUAUCUUCCUUACAAGAUUUUUCACCAAAAUAUAUAUAUUUUUUUUUAAAUACGUCAGUUAUGAAUUUUGUAAAAUAUUUAACUCUAACACCUCUUUAAUAAUGUGGAUUAACGUAAAAAGGUGAAUCUUGAGUGAUUUAUCCCCCUGAAAACUCAGCCAAGAUCUCACCUCCAAAUUAAGUCCUCAUUAAAUAAAUAUAAAUAAAAUCAAUAUUAUGAGGCUUAUAUCUUUAUAUAUAAAUUUGUGUAAAGUUUAUUGACUUUUAUGAUAGAUUCCUACUCUGCCAAGAAGAAAUGUGCAUGUUUAUGAUCAAAGAUAUAUUUGUGAUGAUGUUUUGUCGUUAAUUUGAUAACAAUUCAUCAAAUUAAAGUACUGUUCGUAUCAAAAAAAUAAUUAUAAUAACAUAAUAUACUAUAUUCAGUACACAGUCGGUCAUUAAAAUCGACAUUGAGGUUUUUUUUUUUAUUUAUACGUAGAAUAUUACAUUAUACUGGCAUUUUCUGCUAUCCAUAGCACCGGUAAGGGCUAGUUAUAAUAGUAUGUGUAAAGUUUAUACGAGAGAGCAGUGUCAGAUGGAAAUCACUGUAAAUGUUAAAUGUCUACCAGAAUAGUAUGAUAGUAUACUCAUAGAUUUCAAAAAGGCCGUGUAAUUGAUAAAGCCUCAAACUUGACUUAUUUAAUAUUUAUAGGCACUCUCUCGAAUAACGGUUCAGAUAACUUAUUUUUCAUUUAUAUUCGGAUGAAACACAAUAACGGUGAUAAGAAACUUGGUAAAAUCGUGGUCGCUAAUUUCGGUCGUUCUAUGGCUUUUACUGCAUGAUAAUAAUAAUACGUGUGGUUACCGGUCACCCUCCGAAAUAUUUCAUACUUAACACACUAUUCGCGAUGCCCAAUUCGGAUUAAAACUACAGGUAAACUUUUAGCGUAGGUACUUAAUACCUACCGCGAUUACGGUUUACACAAUAGAGAGACAUAAUAUAGGUCCACAAUGCUACCCCUACGGUAAAUCAUAAUAUUUUGUACGGUGGCGGCGGCGCUAAACAUAAUAUUUCAUGUAAUGAAUAUAAAAACAGUCUAUAUAUAUAUUUCGGUACUGCCGUUUGUUUUUCUCGUGAUGUGGUUUAAAAGAAUUUUAUUUUAUUUUAUUUUUUUGUUUAUUGUACGUUGAAUUUGAGAAAAAACCAUUAUGGUCCGUAAAUCAUAACUUUGAUAAAAGUAACGUACCUACCUGUACAACAAUACUCACAUAUAAAUCAAGAUAAUCAAGUUUUUUAAUAAAUUUUCAAGAAAAAAUCCAUAGGUAAACUUACGACUCGUACAAAUAAAUCGUAAAAAGAUAAAAUAUUCUUUGUAUUCUCGUCGAUAAUAUUUGAAAAACUCAUAUCACGCCGUGAAGCCCUGCGUUGGUGUUCAUACAAUCUAUAAAAUAGAGAGAUGUUUUUAACUCCAUAAUACUCCUGAUACGGCUGACAUUAAAUAUACCGAAUUUACCGAAUUCAAUUUUUUUGCCGUUUUAUGUCCUUUAGUAAAUGAUAAAUUCGACGAUAAUAAUAAAACGGUAAUUACGUAAUGAAAUACUAGAACAAAAUAAACUUAAGAAAUUUAUCAUUUGGCCUAAUUUAAAAUUCAAUAUAAUCGUUAAAUUGCUAACUCAGGAUUUUUAAGUUUGGACAGGUGUUGUACCCUACCACUCACUCCAAAUACAUAUCACUCUAUUUCCAGUUCGGUGCCACCGUCGUUUUGAUUAUUAUACCGAAAAAUUGUUCGUUUACGCUUUUUAUAGGUAGGUAGAUACGUACCUAUCUACAAAGUUUACCGGAGAAAAGUUAUAAUAUUUAUCGGUGUACAAAACCCACUCUAAAUUAUUCUAAAACACAUUUUCAUUUUAUGCUUUAAUAGCCGCAAAAAAUAACAAAAUGUUCCGAAAUCCCGUUGUAAAACUUUCGUAAACCGAUUAAAAAGUUGUCUUGUAAUAUAUAUGUAUAGAAAAGAUAACAUGUCUGCCAUCGUUUUAAACAUAAUAAUAAUAUUUCUUGUUUUUUCAAGUAUCACUUUGUGCAUAUUGUAUGAUUUUAUAUAUUAUUAUACCUGUAUCUAAUAUGUUUUCUUCUUCGACGAUUUCAAAACGGUUUGGCACAACUCACGUCGUCGUUGAAAUUUUUAAAAGGUUUUUUUUUUUCAUUCAAAGUAUCGUGCGUUUUCAGGCGGGACUACCUCGAAUCGGAAAAUUAUAAUGCAAGUAACCUUUGAGUUAAACGAUUUGUCACUCCAGCAGGAUAUAUGGUAUUUAUGAAGGCGAAAUAAUAAUCGUCAUGAUUUUAUUUUUCCUCCAUAGGUAUUGAAUUUACCGUUCUGUUUCGGAUAACCGAGAGAAAAUAAAAUAACAAUCGAAAGCGUCAACAAUUUUCAGCCGAAUAUUUGUGUAAUAUUUAUGUUAAAAUAACGUGCCUUGAAAAAUUCCAGCGUAAAACUGGCUGUAGAUAUUACUUGUUUUGACGGUUUUGGCCUAUGAUAUGGUAGUUGCGUCAGAGAAGCGUGGGAUCUUCUUUUAAGGAAGUUGUGUGUGUGUGUACAAAUGGACACUUUUUUUAAGUAUAACCGAUAGCAGUAAGGAAUGUGUUUAACACAAUACUUCACUCACUGCUGCCAUUGUUUAUUAAAAUAUAAGUUAUGAAUUAGUUUAUCGAAUGUACAAUCAAUGCCUUGCCUUUGGGAGAAGGCUAAAACCGUAAGUGAUAUAAAUCAACCUCAGGAAAAUAUGGGAAACUAAACGGGUUGUCUAUAAGCUUGUCCAGGACCUUGUAGAAGAGUAUAAACCUGGCUCGUUUCCACCUAUUCGGAAAGACGGACUCACUCAGUUGUAGAUCUUCAGGAGGACUUCAGGCGAUCUCAUAAAAAUCACCGAGAAGACCUCAUUUGGGACACUGUCGGGUGCGGUAGCCUUGUUUUUAAGCAUUAAAGCAACUGCUAACCUGAACUCGUCGACGGUGAGAACGGAAUACCCUCGUUCGUUAGGUUUUGCUGCUUUAGUUUUGAGAAGGAUGGUAAGUGGUUCGCGUAUUUCGAGAAGAACGUCUGGCCAGUGCACUACUGAUCUGACCGGGAAAAACAAAUCUGCUAUUUCGUUUUCACCUCUCCUUUUAGUGAUUCCGGGCGACUGUCUAUUAAAUCACUUGGAGACUACUCUAUAAGAGAUGCCUCAGGGGUCUUUUUAACUGCCGAGGAUAGUUCGGCCGAACAUCGUCUUUAGAAGGUUCGGAUUUGAGCGCAAAGAGACUUGUGAGGCUCUCUUAAACAAGUGGACACUAGAUAAAGCCCAUUAAACAUCUUGCAGUAGAGUACAAUUUUGCUUACUGUAAAUCCAUUAUAAAAUAAACUGAUUAAAUUAGUAGAUUAAUAGAUUAAUUAGUAACAAAAUAUUAUAUUUUAAAUACUCUCACUGGUAGGAUGAAGAGUAACUGGAAAUGUUUAGUUUAUCUAUUCAUGGAGGUUUUUUAACGGAGGGAGCACGUAGUAUAUAUUAACUAAAAAAGUAACCUGCAAAUUUGGCCUAUAUACCUAUAUUUGGCCUAAUACUUUUCCUAUAUAGAUAGUUUAAACUAAUGGUGGAUUUUUUUUCGUGUUUUCUUUAAGUAUUACGAACUCUUGAUAAUUUGCACGCAGUGGUGUACACAUAAUUUUUGUAUACUGAGGGGAGGGGAGAUCAGUUUCAAAUAAAUUAUUAUGAAAGGAAAAUUUCUAAACCUAGGUACCUGCACGUUAAAAUAAUAAAUAAUAAAACAUUUAUUUAUACUGCAUUUUAUUUCAAAAUUCUACAAAUAAUAAUAAUACAAAAGUUUUAAUUUUGUAUUAUGACCACGGCCGGUCGGUAAAAUUGUAUUCUUGACUCUUGUUAUAAUUAUAUUUUAUGUAUACCUAUAUAUUAAAUUAAUAUAAUAUGAUUAAUCAGUCAUUAGUCAUUAGUAAAUUCAUUUUAAUCAUUGCCAUUUUUUUUUUACAUUUCAAUGUAACGCCCUUAUAAAGAACACUAUUUUUUACAUUUUACAUUCCCCUCCUUGUAUACGCCCCUGUUUGCACGUUCUCGUUAGUAAUCGCGGGUGACGUGUGUAAUUACAAACUUGUAUUUCGUGAUUGUUUAUAUAUUAAACGAUCAAUAUAUGAUCAAAUGGUAUUCGAUCGAAACGAUACCUAAUAAUAAUAAUUAAUAAUAUUAUUAUUGUAUUAACGCGUGGAAUUUACCAUACACAAAUUCCAACAAGUCGACAUAACAUAAAUUCUCCGACUUUAUACUGUUCAGUUUCUAAAACGCUAACAAUUCAGCCUUUCGGUUCGACCUCAAUUGGUGAAUAUGAAAAACAACGAAUCAUGUAACACACUUUCGAAUACUCGUCACAUAGCUCUGAUUUUUAUUAAUUUUAUAAUCACGAAUGGACCAAAAUAUGUAUGCAUAUUUUUAAAUUAAAUAUACGAAAAUAUAUUAAAAUUAUUAAAUUAAUAUUAAUAAAAAAUUAGUUAAAAAUUAAUAUUUGUAUGUAGUGCACCCUUAUUAUUUUCGAUUCACAGAACAAUAUCGACUCUAAAUAGAAAGCGUUUUGACGAGUCAAAAGUUGAAAAAUUAAAGGAACAACAACCAAAAAUUUAUCCAUCUAACUUUUUUGAUUUUUAAGAAUCGGGCCAACAAUCUUAUUAUCAAUAUCGAUCAUGGAUUAUGAUGAUUCAUUUCGUAAAAACCAUUCUUCUAUAGGUAAUAAACUCAAAAUUGAUUUGAAAUAAAUAAAUUGGGUUUCAUGAGUUGCUUAUAGGGUAAGGCUUCAUAAUAACAUUAAGAAUGCGAAUAUGAACUUAAGAAAGGUCAAUCGUUACACUGUGCAAAGUUUUAUGACUGAAUAUAAUAUACAAACUAAAUUGUAUAAUCACGUAUCAAAUCAUUUUCAUUAUUGUAUGUAUAUUAUAUAUACUAUUUAUAAAAAUGUGAUAUAAUUAUACGAUAUGACUACUUAUACAUAUGUAUACGAUGUAUUAAAAUAAGGUAUAGACUAUUUAUAACCGGGGGUAGGGGAUUCUGUCUAUAAAUUAUUUAGAAUAUCAAUGACUUUAGUAUUGAAAAGAAGAAUUUAACUACUGUAUAUUAAUUUUAUAUUGGUUACGAAAUAGGGGCAGAUGUUUAAAUAACCCUUGAUAGAAUAUUUAUAAACAAAACCAACCCUACUAUAAUAAUAUUUCAAAAUAUCCCAUCUCUAUUUUUAGAUUUUGUGAGCAAAGAAGCCUAUGGUUUUACAAAGAUGUUUAUUUUUUUUUCUGUGGACAACUUUUCUACCAGAGGACUUGCUCUGAUUUGUACGUAUAUAAACUUUUCUGGAAGGAAAUUGGUGUGGGAAGGUAUCUUAAAGAGAUCGUUUUUCCAUUUUCUCCAGAGUUUUCUCAGCAAAUGUGAAAUAGUGGGAAAACUGUGAAAAUCGGUACAACAUUAAACAAAUAUUAUUAAAGAAAAUAUAUAAAGCCUACUUAAUUAUUGUACUAUAAUAUGACAUAUAUAUUGUUGACAAAGUAUCACUAUUAACUGUACUCCGCUUAGAGUCGUUUUUUCGUAAGCACUGGUUUAACAUUACCCGCCCCCAUUAUCCUACAGCUUAUCCUAUAUAUUUUUUUAAUUACCUUCGUAUUGCUCAAAAUUCUCACGCAAAUUAUAUAAAUAUACAUUUGUAUAUAACUGUUUACCUAAAUCUAAUAUUAUAUACGAAUACAAUAAUACAUACUACACAAAUGUGCUGGUAUUUGAAAACGAAUAUUUCAAAAAUAAACUGCAGAACCUAAGUGUUGUUACGUUGUAUACUUGUAUAUUAUAUGUAAUAUGUAUACAACUAUCAUUAUAAAAUAUAAAUACAAAUAAAAAUACGAUGAUAUUUUUUAAAACUACGCUGUUUUUACAAGAAUUUAUUUACCCCUUUUUAUUAAAACCGGGAAUAGUUUGUAAAAUACACUUAGAUUUCAAAGAAAUUCAUUCAAAAACACGGUCGGGGUCCAAAAAUGUAAUUAAGAAGAUAUUUUGUACUAUAAUACACAAUGUGUAUUCAUAAUAAUAAUAAAUUAAUGUUUUGAAUUGAAAUUAAAUUUUAUAACCAAAUUCUCAAAAUUCCCUUGGAUAUAACAUUAUUAUAUCAUAUAAUUAUCUAAUUAAUCGUAGUGCGUAGUGUAUCUAGAAUCAAAAUCCGAGAAAAAAAUUUUAACAAUAAAUAUCAAAAUAAAGUACCUACAUUUUUAUUUUAUAUACUUUAUAUUUAAUGUGGCUUUAACCUGUAUACAAUUUUUAGAUUCCGAGCCCAAUCAUGAAAAAUGAUUAUUGUGUAAUUAAAAUGUGUUUAUUUUUUUUACUCGCAGAAUAUUAUUUUUCAGUUAGUAUAUCUAUUAGUAAUAUUGAUUCAAAUAUUGUUCUCAUAGAACCAUAAUAAAAGAUGCGAAUUUCCCCCCUUACGUGACGACAUUUUAUUUUAAAUAAAUUUCUAGAUUUCUGACAUUUUUUCUAAAAGUUCAAAAAAAAAAUAGACAACAAAUAAUGAUGAUAUUAUAUCUACUUUAAUUUUAUCAAUUUCUGUAGGGUUUAAGGGAAAAACAACGCUUAUUUAUUACAAUUGAUAGCAUCGAUUUUUUUUUUACAAUGAUUUAUCGUUGUUUUAGAAUACUAACUAUAUUACUGACCUUCAUCAUAUACCUCCCUAAUUUCGCAAACCUAAAACAGUACUUAAUCUACUAAUAUAAGUGUUAAAUUUUGGCUACAUUAUUUUUCUUUCAUGUAAAUAAAUCUGAACAUAAAUUCGAAAUUAUAACAAAAAGUUUUUAGGAUAAGUAACAGAUAACAUACGAAAAUGUUCAAAUAAAUCGUCAAUAAUGUUUUUGGGAGAUAAACAUAUCGAAUGGCGGCGUCUGAAGAAAACGAAAAUGACAACAUAAAACCUGAACGUUAUCGGAAUUAAUUGUAUUAUUACUUUUAUUUCGUUUUCGACGUAAUAAUAUUAUUUUAAUGUAAGACUAUUGACUGUUGAAUAUGAUAUUAUGAAUUUUUCGCGUUUAAAACACCAUUACAGUAUAUUAUUAUUAUAUAUUUUGUAAUUUUCAUCGGCAUAAAGAAAUAACUAAAACAUCACCAACGUUGUGGCUAAGUACAGUCUGAAAAAUAAGAGAAUGUAUAAUAUUAUUCUUUAAAAAAGAAGGUUGUAUGUUUUUUCGAACGCUUUUCUUUUUGCCAUUGACAUUUCAAACAAUAUAUAUUUUUCAACAUCAUCAUAACGCUAUUGAAUCGUAUUGCAUAAUAAUAUUUCACGUCUUUAUUAUUAUUAUUUUCUUUUUUACACAAUUUCAAUGCUACAUCAACUAUUAUAUAUUUUUAUUUAUAUAAGUCGUGUUUUUUAUUUAUUCUUGCAAAUCUGCUUUUGGCUAUUGUAAUUGAAAGAGCUUCUUUUUUUUUUUUUGAAUGCGUGAAAACUCGGUAAAAAAAAGUGGUAAUACUGUGUUUUAUCUAGAUUAAUUAUGAUCUGAAUUGGAGUAUUAUUUUUAUCAUUUCUCUUACUGAGAAAUAAGUUAUCCGAGAUAAAUUGAGGCGCUUAGAACACAAGGGUUAUAAGUGACAUUAUUUUAAUUUCAAAAAAAUCAAGUUUAAAGUUUUUUGUAUUUAAUACAAUUAUUAUAGUUCAUUGUCAUAUUACCACUGUUCUUGUGUUCGAACGAUAAAAAUAAGUUUUGAACACUUGGCAGUAUAGAUACAUAAGUGUGUUAACAACUGUUGUGAAUCCUUGUACCUAUUUACUUCUCAUAUGUUUCGGCAUUUUCAUUUGUAGACUAUUUUAGUGAGAUCUAGUAUUUAUUACUGGAUUGCAACAUAUGUGGAAUAAUUUUCUUACAUUUCUUUACCACAUAAUUAAAUGGAAUAUUUUUAGUUUAGCCGUGCUCUUAACUCAGAUUUUUUCAAAAUGUCACUUAUAUCGCUUGUUUUCUAUGCGCCUCAAUAUCAAUUAGGAGAACGUGUUUAUCCAUAUUUAAGGGGUUGAGUGUAGGCAAUUUUCUUGAAACUUGUAAAAAUACUAAUUAUAAAUAAGAAAUUAAAUUUAAAAUACAUUUAUAAAUAGUCACUGUUAUUAUCACAAGUAUAUCUGGCAUUCCAUACCAAAAUACAAGGUUAUCGGCUAUAAUUUUAACGAACAGUGGAUUUUUUAUUUGUUUUAAACUGAAACUUCUAAUUUUAUAAAAUCUUUCCAUCAAUUGUUGAGAGCGUUACCAUUGUUAAUAUUUUAAAUUUGAGGGAAACAUGAAGAUGGAAAUUUUUAAAAUUGAUAUGAUUUUUUUUAAAAGAAUUUGAUACUUACUCAAAACAGAUAUUUUAAUCAAAAUUACAGAGGGGUCGGCAGAUAACUCCGUGAUUUGACGAGGAAUGCCUCAUAUGUAUUAAAUAAUUGAGAAAUUAACGAAAAUAACAAUGGAACAAACUUUUUGGAAGGGCAAAAACUACUCCGGUUAUAGAUUGAAUGAAAAACCAAAUUUUCAUAAUAAAAAAAAAUAAAAUAGAAAAUAAAACCCACGUUAGGUCACGUUGGUUUAUUUUUUAUAUAUAAGGUGCAAACUCAAAAUUAUCAGAUUUCAGAGCAAUAAUAAUUUUUUUUUUUUAUAAUUUGUGGUAUUCAAAAAUGAAGAAUAAAAAUUUUUCUUUUGCUGUGCUGAAGAUUCGGUUCCGUAAUUAGGUCUACAGCCAGGGUGUUUUUGUCCACGUGGAACAGCUUUUAUAGCAUAAUUACGAAUGGUAGUAUGCAUUCUUAAGUCAUCUAUAUUAAUUAUUCAUUCAAAUCGUAAAUGUUAUACUUAUUAGAAAUAAAAAAUACAAUUUUUAUACAAUUGAUGAUAUGGUUUAUAAAUUAAUUAUCAAUUUCAUAAAUACUUCUCAACGGCGAGAGAGGCAAAGAGAGUACUUGAGUAGGUAGAAAGGGGAGUAAAAGAGGUGAUUAGAGGACCAAAAUGUAAUACAUUUCUGAGGAGGUCAAGAGGUUGCUUCCCAACGGGUACCCAUUAAUUGAACUCAAACAUUUCGUACCCGGUAAGGUCGAAAAGGUUUGCAACGGAAGGUUCCUGGUUGGCACUGAUUCGGAGCAAAUUAGGGUUAUACACAGACACUAAACUGUACAGACAUGUAAAUUGCACACGAGUGAAGUCGUGGACAAAGUCACUGAUAAUACAGCAAUAUUUGUAUACUUUAAAUUUGUUGACUAUAAUAUAAAAAAAAAAAAUAUUUAUAUAGAUAAAAAAAUUACCGCCCAAUUAACUUAAUCUAAAUAAUUAAAUUGUUACGUAUCAUAUAUUUCCGUUUUUAAAAUCAUUAACCUUUCAUCGUGUUUGUCUUAAGUUAUUUUAAAAUGUAUCUUUAAACAACACUUGCAGAUUGAAAGUCUAGAAAAAAUCUGUUCAAAAUUCCGUCGAAAUUAAAUAUUAUUAUUCAAGGAAACAAGCGCGUUUGAAAAAAAAAAUGUCUUUGCAAACGAUAUUAUUUAUAUCGUGCUUAUCGUUUAAUGUGACACUCUGUAAAAUCCGCUGUCGUUGGAUUUUUCGAACGAUUUAAAAAUAUCCUAAUUUUUGAUUUACAACGACGAGGGUUUCGAAACGCCGCCAACAAUCGGAAGAAUAGCCGAAGAAUAUAACUUUCUAAUAUUUUCUUGAACCUUUAUUAAUAUAAGUAUAUAUACUUAUGAUAAUAAUAUUCACAAUAUAUAAUAAACUGCUGUGGCGUAGUAUAAUGUAAUAUUGAUUUUUUUUUUUGUAAAGAACGGCUCGUUUAUGUUUACAGUGGAAAAAAAACACCUGUACGAAAAUAACGGGAAAAAACCCCGUGUCUAUAUUACGCAAUAUACGGGUGGUGACGAAAAUAAUAUUAGGUAUAUAUUUUAUAACAAAUCGUCAGUCUCCGGCUCUCCCACCAUCGUUUUGCCAUUCGUACCGGCGAACACGUCACCGUAAUAAAGUGUACUCUAUAUUAUGCACCAGUGCACCACCACCGACGCUUCCAUCCCGAUGAUAAUAUAAUAAUAUACGCCGCAUAUACAAUGCAUUAUAAUAUAAUAUAUAUAUAUUACGAGAAAUAGUAUAAUAUAAUACCUACACUAUUAUAUUAUUUGUCGGCGAAUAUAAAUGGAAACUCGUCGGCAGUUGGCGGCACUGAUUAAUACGCGCGUGUGUCUCCUACCUCCCUCCUUCGGUGCUGCCAGGGAAUUAAUUGGUUCGAAAAUUCUACACCGGUAUACGCGCGGUGUUCCGAUUAUGUGGGAGUAGCGGCUACACACCGCUUAUAUUAUUAUUAUUGUGUAUUAUAUAUUAUUAUAUACCAACGAGUAAAUAUAUAUAUUAUUUAUAAUAACAUGAACAAAGGCCAUUGUUGAAAAAUAUAAUAUAUUUAUGUGUACAUAAUAAGGUCGAAGUGGUCGGUGGGAGGGGUCAGACGAGGGCUGUUUGAACUGAAGUCGGAAACUUAUUUUUUUUUUCCAAAAAAAGCCUAGGUAUGUGACGAAAACUUUUCAUUCGGAAUCUCGAAUCGUAUAUUAUAAUAUAACUAACCUAACCUAAAAACGUUACGUCGCUCGUAUUUAUUUCACUCUGAUGUUCUCUCUGAAAGGUUAAACCAACCGCUACCAUGUUUUGAUUUUCAAACAGAAACCCGUAUUAAAAAUUUAAAAGGUUAGGUUAGGAUAGGUUCUACGAAAAUUACACGAACCUUUUAGUUAAACCGUUUACGAAACAUUCUCGUUUUUCAUUUAAACUGAAACUUCAUCUAUUUAUGGAAUUUAAUAAAGGUGGCGGUAUGAAAAUUAAAACGUCGUAGUUGUUUCAAUUCCAUAAUUACAAAGGUGAACAAAAUCAAGGCGACGUAACAUUUUAGAAUAGAAAGUAUGUACGAGUUCAAAAAGUGUUCAUGUAGGCUAUUUUAUUGGAAAUGUGCCUAGGUUUCCAAGGUUAUGUUUGCCCGAUCGUUUCUUCCCAAAACAUAAGGGUAGUAAAAACGGUGCGGUAAAUUAUUUUAGAGUUGCUUGUUUCUUAAAUUUUCCAAAUAAGAAUAUUCGAAUUAAUACAAGUGCCUUACACGUUAUAACGAUCACCCUGUUUAUAUAUUUUUUGUCUCAUAGGCGUCAUUUUACUAAAAUCCAGGGGGUUGCAAAACAAAUCAGAAAAGUUACCAUCUCUCUGCAAAAUCGAUCGCUACACUCGCAAUUUUAUUCGCUACUUUCAACUUAAUUCCAGUUUCCAAAUACAAUUUUUUUUGAUCAUAAAUAAUUACCUAGUCUUAUUCUAUAAAUAAUUAGUCAAUAUUGUGAUUUAAUAUAUUGAUAUUUAAAGUGCAUUUAUUUUGAAUAAAAUGACUCUCACAGACUAUAUAUGAUCUUUGAUACUCAAUAGCAUAGCGACAAUUUUCGCGACCAUGUGGUAUCACCAUUAAUCUAUUUUGUGGUAUCACUAUCUCCAUUUAAGAUUAAUUAGUAUAUAAACAGAUAAUGGGUUUAUAUUAUGUAAAGUUAAUUGAAUAACAUACAGAAUAUUAUUAUUUAUCACAAACUAUCACUAUAAUUAAAGUUAUACUCUCUUUGAUAAAACUGCGGAUCUAUAAUGUUCUGUUAGCCUCACAUAUUUCGUAUCAUUCCUGGUCUAUUCUUUUAUAUGUCUAUAAUACAUACCGUGAUUACAACUGAUUUUAGAAUACAGUUAGGAAAAACAUAGAUAACAAGUUAAUAUGUCUAUGAGGAAAAACAUAGAUUUCAAAAAUAACGGUUUACUAAUUCACAUACGUAAAAUAAAAGAACUGUAAGUCGAUAAGUAUCACGAGGACGUGAUAAUUAUCAGAUGAUCAUCUGUUAUCGUCAUUACCAUUACUUUAUAAAUAUUUAAAAGUUCAGCAUUAUUUAUAUAUUUGAAUUAUAGAAAAUUCAACGGGGGAAAAAUUAUAGUAUUGCACCUCGAAAUAAUUCAAGUGGAAGCAAGUGCAUCCCCGUGUACCCCCGAUAUUACGCCCAUGUUUUGUCUAUCAUUGUUAUUAUUAUUAUUAUAUAUAUUUAUAUUCUGUUUAAAAUAUUAUAAUAACAUAAUAUUCACGGGUUGGUUUCGAUGAAAUGUAUUUUUAUUUAACCGAUAUAUCGAUGCUAGUGAUUUCUAGAAGAAAAAAUAUGAGUACCUAUUUAUAAAUAUUUGAAAUGUGCUAAGUACCUUACUAUGUAUUUAUAUAUAGUGCAUACACUUUAAAAAUCAGUUAUGAUCAUUUUCGGCCGUCGUCUACUGCAGUGCUCAUUAAUUAUAACAAACAGUAUAAAAAUGUGAAGUAUGUGUUAUCGCUCGGGGCUAAACAAAAGUUAAUUUUUGAUCCUAGUCCUAUUGCUUAUCAAUGUUGUAAAUAAUUUUUCAUCAUAUGGACCUAAUAAAAAAAAAAAAAAAAACAUAUCGAAGAGGCAGGAAUUCCCUGAAACUCUCCCCUCCCCCGUAAAUACGCCAAAAGACAUAUAUAAUAACUAAUUGUCGUUUACGAAUUCGCAAGAUGCGCACGUAUAAAACGCGUAUCGUUUAUACAAGAAAUUUCGGAAUCGUUGUCGGUGAAUUAAUGAAGACACUCGUCGCGUCGACUAGUCGUGUGGGGUCGUUUAUUAUACGGGUCCGAGUCGAGCGCCGCGAACUAAUCGGCACGGAGCGGAAAUCGUGUUCACCGCCGCGGUAGCCAGAGGUAAACCGGGUGGCGUAGAGGAGCAGAGACGGCGGUGGCGAAGGAUUGUUUGUAAAAAGAAAAAAAUAUAUACACGGACCCGUGGCGUGGGCGAUCGGAGUGGCGGCGAGUUGACACAGACAAAUGGCGUAACUUUUUCGCCGGCGCCCGGCCGCUCCCGGGUCGAAACCGACGCCCGGCCACCCCGUCGCGAAUUCGGAGUAUCUACCUUGUUUUUAAGUACCGAACGGACCAGCGGAAAAGAAAGCCGGGAAUUUUCUGCUGGAUAUAUUAUUAUUAUAGAGCGCGGGCGGGAAGAGGCGGGAGCAUGUGGUGUGUCCGGUGGGAAAACAGCCUGUCAUCCGGUCGACAGUGGUCGUGAUGGAUGAACGAAGAUGGCAGCCGUAGUGGCGUCGGCGCGGUGGAGACGACCGGGUUUCGUGUUGCCCGAGGAUUUUCGCGGCGAUGAAUUAUAAUGAGGACGACGGUGACGGUGGCGGCAGAAACAGAGUCGUCUAGGCGGCAGGAUUAAAAUAAUUUCACUAUUUUAUCCCCCUCCCCCUCUGGGUUGGGUCCAUCGGAUAAAACAGUUUACAAACUACAAACUAUAAUGCGGUUUUUCGAUAUCAGUCGUCGGGUCUUCAGUUUUCUGUUUCACACACAUGUACAUAACUUACGCACUCGGAACCAGGGAAUUAAUUAGUUUUUCAAAUAACUACUGCGGUUUCAUAGCAACGUUCAAAAGUUCAGCCGCAACGCUUCGUGGUUUUAACUGAGAAAUAAUAAUUAUAAUUAAAUUAACAUGUCGUACGUAAUAUUUCCAUCGGCUUGUACGGUGUGACGCCUUAUUGUUGAUGUGCAGGACGAAUACAACAUAUUAUAUUGGAGUUCAAAAGCGAUCGAGUUUAACGCAGAAAAGAAUAUCAAUAUUCAUACCCAUGGAAAAUAAACUAAAAAAAAAAAAAAAAUGAAUACUGCUGAUGGAUGUUCCACAGUUUUUAAGGAAAAAGCUGAAAGCAAUGAUAUAUAGUAUAAUUUUGUUUUAAUAUGUAUCCAACCAUAAAUCAUACCUAACGAAAAACGAUUCUGAACAAAUUACUACUCAAAAAUCGACAAAAAUUAUACACACAUUGCCAGUUUUUCUGAUUACUAAAAAAUUCAAGAAAUUAUCUCAUAAAUGUCUAUAAAAAAAAUAAUGCAUACAUGAAAGUUCCUAUACAAUUUCUAAUUGGUGUAGGAUUUCUCGUAAAAAAGUUGUUAACAAACAAAAAAAGACAAACAUGCUUCGCAUGACUGGCCACUGCUGCAGGUGAGAAGUUGGGAAGAUAGGAUAUAGAGAAUUCAAUUUAUAUCUGUACGCAACGAUAAACUGUUGUAAUGAAAUUUGAUUCAGAGGGAAAUUAGGUUACACAUGUUUUGAAAGGCCUUAUUAUUUAAGAUUUUCGUCAAAAUUGAAUACUAAAAUUCUUAUAAAAAAAAAUACUACAUUCAUCUUAUUUUUUCUUCACUACUAAGUAAAAAAUAUAAGAAUCUCCUGUUUAAUUUUCAAGCAUUUCUCUUUAGUCUAAUAAUUGUAUCUUCAGAUCAAUAUCCACCUACCGAAUAAAAAUCGCAAAAAACCACGCAAAAUAAAAAUGUCCGUAAAUAGCUAAUCUAAUCUACCAAAAAUGGCUCAAAUGUCUUAAAAAUGUUACCACGUAUAGGAAUAGGAAUUAUAAGUUUUCUGUUUAAAUUUUAAGUUAUCUACGAAUUUUAUCAACUCAAUUCGAACAAAAAAUCAAAAUUGAAAAUAAUAAUAGCAUUAUUUUCCCAUUUUUUUUUCUACGUUUUUUACUUGGGUAUUUUCGCUAUUAUUAUGAAAACUGUUUGGAAAAUCAAAAGGUCCAAGGUCUAAUCAUAUUAUAAUAAUAUGCUACAUAUUAUCGUGUUGUGAACUUCAUUAGGCACUAAGACUUUGUUCGGGGAAUUGUUGCUAUACAAUGUUAAUAGCGUGUUUUUCAUUUUUCAGAAAAUAUCGUUAAUAAUAAGUUGAUAGGUAUUAAGAAGAAAAACACAUAUAUUGUUUCUCUGUCGAUUUCCUUUUGACCGGCACAUAAAAUAUUAUACAAUACAUUAUUAUUAUUGUAUAUCUUUAAAGAAAUUAUGUGCGUCAUUAAUCAUUACAUAUAUUUAUACUGGGCAUUGUAUGUAUGUUGAACGAAAAAACGCAAAAAAUAAAGACCCGUAUUUUAAAUUCGUCCAAACAAUACGACCUUUUUUAAAAAAAUAUUUUAUAGAAUGUUGGUAGAAAAUAAUAAGGAGGAAAAAACUAUUCGGGCCGAACAACGCGCGCUGAGUCACCGACAAUAGGAAAACCGUUGUGCUUUUCUUUCACGCGAAGAAUAAACGCUCGGCCCAGACACGACAACUCGACGGCUUCAAUGCAGUAACCGCCGACCUCUUCAUGAGGGCUGUUUUUAUAUUAAAUUUUUAUCAUUGUCUCUGUGGACCAGCGAAAUUUCUUGUAAAAUUCGUCACGUGCGCCGCAGCAAUUGACGACGAGUUGUUUGUUAAAGCCCCGUCCGGAAAAUCGACCUAGGUAAACGGAUGCGAUCGGACGAUAUCGCUUUUUUCGAUUCAAUUCGGGUACGUCAGCAUGUGCUCUGUUUAAACAUUACCCGAAUUCAAGUACACAAAAUAAAAAAUACUGUAUUUGGAUCAUAUAGCAACAUCCGUCUGAAUACAAAUAAUUCCCAAACAAAUCGAUGUCCCGCUACUCGAACGAAAGCGAACGAAUACAAUGCACCACGGGAACACGCAUGAACACUGGAAAAUAAUGCAUACGAUAGGUAAAAUAAUGAUAAUAGGUUUAUGAGUCAAGUGGCGUUGUAAAAAUUAAGUAUCCAUGUAGGUUUGGCCUAAAGCGUCUUCUAUGUUGGUAGAGUUGCUUAUAAAAUGCGUCUUUAAAUUUUGUAAAUAAAUAAUUUGAAUGUAAACAUAUUUUGAUUUUGAAAUUGUAUUUAAUUUUGAGUUUAUUUUAAAUAAUAUGUAUAAUACAAAACGUAUGUAAAACUUUUUAGUCUUAUGUCUCUGCAGUCGAAGACAAUAUACCUAGUAAAAUAAAAAAUAAAAUAAUGAUAAUUAUAAUUAUAAUUUAUUACUAAAAUAUGAUUUAUAGUCCGUAAAUUAGACGAUUUAUAAAAUAUACUAUUUCUCCUGGUACCGAUCUGACAUUGGUUUCUCGAUAAAAUGGUUUCUUUGUAAACACUUGAUUAUGUCAAGAUUACACGUACAUUUGUAAAUUUAAUAUUCAGAGAAUUUGAAUAUUUGUUUGGUUAAUAAAUUUAUAUUUUUUUAAAAACGUUGAUAAAAAUGUGUAUACUCAAUCCCUUAAAUACAACAGACAGGUGCAUUCUCUUAAGUAGCAAGAUGCUAUCAUAACAUUCGAUUUCUCUGUCUGUCUCGCGUGUAAUCUAUAGCAACAAAGCCGUUGUACACUUUCACAUUUGUGACCCUCCGGCUGAGAAUGUAGGGUAAAGAAACCCUGUGUUAUUUAUUUUAAAAAGAAUAGAAUUUACACUAUGCUUCGACCGAAUGAUUUCUUUUUUAUAUCUUCAUUUUUUAUCAUGAUACGUAUGUUUUAAUUUUUACUUCAUUUUGCUUCAUUUUAACCACGAAAAACUUAUUGAGAAAUAAAAAUGUAUAAAAGGAAUAAUUCGGUAAAGACAUAAUAAAAAAUAUAAAAUACACACAUCUUAAUAAAACGCAUCUCUUAAUAGGUCCCUUUGCAUUUUGCCAUACUCACUUUAUUCAUUUUACGUUAACAUAAUUUUCAACAAAUUUCACGAUUAAGUGCACGUAAUAAAUACUUGCAAAAAUGACACGAGACCAUUUUUAAACAUAUAGUUACAUUUUUUAAAAGAAUAUUUCAAUUAUUUUAAGUUUAUGAGUUGUCGUUUAAAUUCAUUUAAAAUCGUAUAACCUCUAAAAUAUUGGAAAAAUUGUAUAUUAUUAUGUAAGCUUUACAUAAAGUUAUAUACUUAUAUACAAAAUUGUCUACUGCCGAAAUAUUAUACACUUAGUGUAUACCUACUUCUAAUAUAUACUUAUCCGUGUAAUAAUGUAAUUAUUGUGAUUGAUAGAACGACGAGAGCCGUCGCCGGAGAAAAGUGAUCGACAUUAUCUUAAAUAAUUGUAACUUUUUCGGAACAAAAAGUUUUCAAGAAAUUAUUAAUAUUUAGUAUAUAUGUAGAAUUUUUCUUAACUAGAUUACUGUGCAACAAUCUAAUGAUGAUGUUGUCGUUAGUUAAAUAUUGUGCUACGCCGCCGCCGUAAAAGGAAAUAUUCUCUUUAAUUUAAACUAUAUAUAUUUAUUGAUUUAACAAAAACAAUGCAAAUUAAAUAAAUUCUCUCUGUACAAUAUUAAAUACGUUUAGACUUUAAAUUGUACAAGCGCUGUGAUAUAAUAAAACUUUAAUACAAUAUUACGCGCACAUCCUCAUCGCAAACCCCGUAAAAUUAUUUUAUCUUUAUCUUUAAAUUACUUAUCGAAAACUUUGUUAGGGUUCUAUAUAUUUUGUACCGAAAAUGUAAAUGUAUUAUUUAUAUUGUGAAUAUAGCUGUACCUAAUUUUCAUUGUAUAGAACUUCAACUACAGUGAAAUAUGAACGAAACAAGUAAAUUACGAUUAAAAUAUUUUGUUUAGUGAAAAUUACAUUUUUUGCUUUUCUUAUAAUAAAAUCAUCAUUAUUAUUGGGGUUUAUUCGGCUUUUACAAGACCAUCCCGUUGUCUCACAAAUGAUUCUUUGGCUAUCUCUCUCCAUCGCCAAAAAUCUUCAAAUUUGGUUCGCACAGCCUAAAGCUUCUACAUAUUCUUCUUUUUUUUUUUUUACUACAUCUUCCCAUUUUAUUCUCAAAAUUGUAGUAAAGGUAUUUUCCCUAUUACAGGUCUUUGUUCCAGCAUUGCCUGCAAGAGUAGGUUUUGGCUUCUCUGUGGUGCCUCAGAUUUUUUCUUUUUAGAUUAUCUCCAAAGUAUUAUUUUCUCCAAAUAUUAUACUUACACUAUGUACAUAACUUUCUGUUUUUUCUUCGUCUCUUUAACCGUUAAAAUUAUCUCCCGCAAUAUAUUUUUUUUUAAAUACCAACAAUUUAUUGCAAUACCAUCCAUAAAUCAUAAUUUAAUUAACUAGUUAUGUUAGAAAUUUAUCAGUCGUGCAGAUUUUAUGGCAGUCACUGGUUAAAAGGAUAAUAUUUCAAUUCGUUGAUAGUGAUAAUAAUAUUCAAUAUUCCAUCAAUUACAAUAACAAUUAUAAUUUACAAUUCAGAUAAUAUAUUAUAUACGAGUACUAGUACACACAGAAUUAUGCGUAUUAAGAUGGAUCACCUCCAAAACCAUUCAUUUCCUAAGAAAAUUUUUCAUAGUAGUUGGCGAUUAUUAAUGAUCGCCACCGGUCGAUCGAGUAAGGCCGAAAUGGAGUUCUGUUAUCUCUAAUUAACUAAUCAAGAAAACAGGUGUCACCAGCGCAAACUUAGAACAAAAUAUAAUAUUUAUAAUAAGUGGCUGACGUGCCUAGUUAGUUAUUUAUAUUAUAAUAUCAUCUAAUAUUAUUCCCCCCACCACCCCCCUCAACCGAUGUUUCUACUUAUAAAAUUUAUUUUUCUCGUUUUAGAAAUUAUAUUUCACCGAGUUUACUGGGAUAUUUCAUAUUGUACUUUUCGACAUCAUAUUCUCACAACGUACAGGUGAAAAUGUUUUAGAACUUUGUACAGUUUGUUAAUACAUUUUUUAUAGGUACCUACUCUUCUCUUUUGCAUUAAUUUGUUUGCAAAAAAUAUUAUAACAUCGCAAGAAUACUACCAUAACUAUCAAAGUGUUUAUAAAAAUAUUCAUAUUUAUUUUUUUAUUAUUAUUUUAGAGACUCAUCUUUAAAAAACAAAACAAAAAAUUACUUAAGAGUUUUCGUCGAAAAAGUGAAAAUAUAUUAAUAUAUACGUAUAAAUCUCGAUUUAAUUAUACAUUUUUGUUUCUCUUGCAUUUUUCUCUUUCUCCUUAAAACAUUUUACUCGGCCGUUUUAAUGUUUUAUUUAUAUACUUUUAAACAACUUUUGGCUAAAACUCACGUCUGUAUCUCAUAAAUUUUUCAGUACACUCAAAACCCUGCAGCGCCUACCCCUCUACCCUCUUAGGACACGCCUUAAAACAACAACGCGCAGAGCAAAUAGUUUUCAACAACUCGAGAAUUUAACGACAAUUAUUGUUUUAUUAAACUAAAAUAUAUAAUCGCAGCAUAUUGCAGUCCCAAUAUAGUUUCAUAACAGAUGAUAAUAAUGUAUAACUGUAUGGUAGGUAUGUAAAUCCAUUCGCUAAUUAAGAUUGACUCGAUAAAACUUUAGAAAAAACGAUUUUUAAAAAAUGGCUGGGUAUAUAGAAAUAUUUAUUAAUCCCGCAGAAUGUUAGAAAUGGAUCUGGUUAAAUUUAAAUUUGUUUCUAACCUAAUUCAGCCGUUUAAUCAAAUUAAAUAAUUGUUUAUUCAGUAUUCCUAAACUAUGAAUAAUAAACAAUAAUGUACAACUUAAUAUCAAUCAUACAAAAAAGGCUGCACUGCCAAUGAGUGCACCACUGUUGUAGGAGGAAUGUUAAAAAAUAUAGAGUUUAAUUUAAUUAAUAUCAACGGAAAUUCAUUGCUAAAGAAGAACGAUUCUAAGCAGAGUAUUAUAAGUCGCAUUAGAUUUGGAGCGUAACAAGAGAUCUAUUGGUUUUACUAUCUAUGUGGUUUUUUGUCUGUAAACAACUUUUCUGAAAAAAAAUCUUUCUCUGAUGUACGAAGUAUUGCACAGUGUAAUGAAUUACGCAAACACACAUAAACACACACACGCACAUCAGGUAAUAAUAAUAUAAUUGCCAAAGUGCCGUGGUGGUGUCGGAGUCCUGGAGUAAUGUAUAUUUUGUUCGUCUCCUCUUAUUAUAUCCACCGACUCCUGGUUUUUCUCCUCUACCUCCCGGUCGUUCAUCGUCGUCCGCUUAAGGCUUUUGUCGAGUAGAUUAGCGCGUCAGCCUCGCCGUGUCUCUACGGACCCACAACCGCACGCCGGUCCUUUUCUUCACGACGGCCGACGUAAUAAAUUAUUAAACCGCCCGAGACUUUUGUCUGGUCUACGGUUUAAUGCGGUGUUUAUAAUAAACCGGCGAGCGGCGUACAUAUAAAACCAAUUCUGUAUAGCUACUGUAUACCAACUAGUAGCACAACCUAGACGUGGGAUACAUCAAAUAUCAAUAAUAUUGAUAUUAUUGGACACAUCGGAAAAUUAAUAAUCAAUUAAUAUCAAUCUCGAUUAUCGCCUAAAAUUAUUUUUUUCUCCCGUAUUUAAAAUCGAAAAUUGUACUUUUUAUCUUCUAUCUUAAUAAACUAAUUAAAUUAAUAAUGAAUAAGAAUCGCACUUUAGAUAGUAGAAAAACAAUUCCAAGAACGCGAUUUAAAAUAUAUAUUUUAUUUGAUAAAACAAAAUUAUCACGUUUGUCGAUAAUGAUGAUAAUAUCAGAGAUAAAUUGGUAAUAUCGAAACUGAAGAUGUUUUAAAAAAACUUAUAACAUAAAGAAUACCUCUAUAAUAUAUCUAUAUAAUAUAAAAUUAUAAUUUUCUAAGCCCGAAGUCGAAUAGAUACCACAACAAUGAAAGAUACCGUUGCUAGAUACAAAGUACCAAGACGACCAUUAUCGUUUAUACUAUCCACUCACCAAAAUUCAUCUCCCGGCAUCUACACACAGUAAUUUUUCUGCGAAUUACCUAUAUUCAUUAAUUAAAAUACAUUUUAUUUUUGAAAUUUUUGAUUUCUGUCAUUCAGUCGACGAGAUAUUCCACUUUUAAGUCUAGGUCGAAGGACAGUAUAGUGGAGCAUCAUUUGUGUGACAGCACGGCGUGUGGCGUUCUUAUAAUGCACCACUACUCUAUCUCUUGACCCAAACUUAAAAGUUGAAUAUCUCGUAAACGGAUUGACGGAAAUCAAACAUUCCACCACCAACAUUUAUUUUAAGUAAUACUCCGUCUAUUUAUAGAAUUUUAAAUGUAGGUUACAAUUUGAAAAUAUGACUGGUGGUCUUAUCCCCCCCCAAAAUAAUAUAAAUGUAAAAUUAUAGAGCUGCUUAUUUACUAAACGUUCUAAAAAAACAAAUUCCGAAAAAAUUCCAUACUUUCCGAGAUAAUAAGUACACCCGCACUUAAAUGAAACACCCUGACGUGCAUUUGCAUAUUUUUUUAGUAUUUUAGUAUGUUGACAACUGACACAGUAACAAUAUAUAUAUAUAUAUAUAUAUAUAUAUAUAUGUAUAUACCGUUUUACUGACUAUCGUGGCAAUACUAUUCAGUGCUCAAUGAGAAUAAGAGAAAAUAAUACGGUCAUCACGCAUAGUUAAUUAUUAGGUAUUCGUGGUUUAAACAUUUUCCCCCUCCUAUAAUCAAAGAAAAAUGUAUUAAAACGUGCAUUAUUCGUAUACCAUUUGAAAAAAAAAAAAUGUUUUUUUUUUUUUUUUGUAACUAAUAUUGUAAUAUUUUAAUUCAAAUUUCAUUUCAAUUUUCGAUCAAUUGUAAGUCUAAAAAUAAACUCUUCAGUAAGAUUCACGUGGUCUGUAUACACCAACAGAAUUAUGCGCUCUCUAUAUUUCAACUCUCGCAAGAUUAGUUUAAACACAACUAUUCAAUUAUUGUCGAAUGUAUGAUUUUUAUCAAGUGAUUCGGUUAAUAAUAAAAAUGUUCAAAGAUUAUUUGUAUUUUUAUUUACUGUAUUAAUAUUCGUUCGCGAGUUUGAAAAGUAAAGUUUAUUUUAAAUUUAAAAUAAAAGCGCCUCUAUAAACUUUAGAUUAGAUUCCACCGAAAUCUUAAAAUCUAUAGAAAGUAUAGCAUAUAUAAUAAACAUACACGUAAUAAUAAUGCUGUUGAUCCUUUUUAAACUUUUUCGAAUUUACUUUUAAAUCGAUAACUCGUGCGCGUGGAUAACAACACAUCAUGCAUAUAGAAAUAAUUUAAUAAACAACCUUUUACAUUACUUUAUACUCAAACGUGGUAAAUAAUAAUAGUGCUCGGGCAUGUGUAGUGAAAAUUUUUAAACCGAUCGCGAUGUACCCGUACCUAUACAUGAAAAGGGGUAUUAUUUUUUAUGAUGAACGUGUAUAAUCAAAUAUGUAGGCAUCAUAUAUUGAGUAUGUAUGCUUCGAUAAUCUUUUUGAUCGUACAACUAUGUUGUACACAAAUAUAAAGUAUAUACAGAAUGAUCAACUUACCGCGAACCUACGAUUUUCUCGAAGGAUUUAAAAUUAAUCGUUACGUUCUACGUUUCAUUUAAAAUCCUUUGAGAAAAUCACCAGUUAAUGAAAAGUUAAUCACCAUAUAAAGAUUGUAACGAUCUUUUCGUGUAUUAAUAUUUUCCAAAAAAAUGAAAAAGCGUCUUUUUAUUUAAAUUAACUGUUGCAUACUACUAUAUUAUAUUAUUACACUUAUACUCACCUAUAGAAUAAUUAGGAGUAUUUCGGUUCAGGAUAAGUCAUUGAAAAAAAAAAAACCGAAAUUAAUUUGAUCGAAACAAUUGCACGUGAGUCCACAUUUCAAAUUUAAAAUGUAUAAUUUUUGUGUUUUAAAAAAAAAGCACCCCGAGAGAGAAGUAAAUUAAUUAUCACUCUAAAAACACUCGCUUUGUUCGUUUCCCUAAUUGAUUUAUUUACGUGGAUCAUUGUAUUCAUAUUAUAUGUGAUAUAUGUAUUACAUAAUAUAUUUAUACAUUAUAAUACGAGUUAAUAAUAAUUACGAACCGGGUUACAUUAUAUGUACGUAUAUUAUGCAAAAACGACAUUAGACUCGGUAAAACCGCAGAAUUUAAUGCACGCACAUCACGAUUUCAAAUGCGAAUUUGAGUGCGGUGUUUUUGACUAUCGGGGUGUGUGAUAUUUUAUAAAAUAUAAUUAAAUAAAAACUAUUGUACUACGAAUUUACCUAAACGUUUUUAUAACCUAGGAAAUCACUAUUAUUAAUAUAUAUAUAUAUAUACCUGGUGAAUUAAUUAAGUGGGUACACUUAUUAUCUCUGAAAGUAUUAACUUUUCCGACAUUUUUUUUCUAGACCAUUUAAGAAACAAGCUGCUCUACAAUUUUAUAUUAAUUUUAUUUUCUGUCACCCAUAUUUUUGAGGGUAAAACCACUAACUACUUUUGAUUUUCAAAUAUAACUAUAUUUAAAUAUCCAUAAAUAGAUGCAAUAUUAGUUAAAAUAAAUAUGAACGUUAACAUUUUUGAUUUCUGUCAAGUCGUUAACGAGAUAUUCCACUUUUAAAUUUAGGUAAGUAGUGGAGUAUCAUUUGUGUGGUGGUAUAGCGCGCGGCGUAUUAAUAAUACACCACUACUCUCUUCCAACUUAAACUUAAAAGUGCAAUAUCUCGUCAACGGCUUGACAGAAAUCAAAAAUGUUAAUAUUCAUAUUUAUUUUAACUAAUAUUCCAUAUAUUUAUGGAUAUUUUAUAAUGGUUGCUAUUUGAAAGUCAAAAGUAGGUAGUGGUUUUACCUCCAAAAAUAGGGAGGAAAAUAAUAUAAAUAUAAAAUUAUAGAGCUGCUUGUUUCUUAAAUGUUUUAGAAAAUAAAUCCCGAAAAAAGUUAGAACUUUCCGAGAUAAUAAGUGUACCCAAUUAAAUGGAUCACCUGGUAUAUUUACAUAUAUGUAUAGUUACCAGCGAGUGUCUGUAGGUAUAAUAAAUUAAUGUAUAGUGAAACGUGUAAAUCAGUAUAACCAAUAAACAAAAUAAAGGGCACGCUCCCCACCCCUUCCACCUUUACUCUGGCACUGGUGUGUACUGCUUAGAAGAGGUUAAAAUUCCUGUUCCCAAAAAGUCAGCAAUUUCGAGAUGUCACUGUAUAGAUUGGUAGCUUUAUUAUAAUAUUUUUAAAUUUACUUAUAUAGUCAUAAAAUCAACUUAUUAUUAAACUAGGUAGGUAGUCUGCGCGUGUGCUCUUCAAACAGUAGUUCGCGACCAAAUUUUGGGUCGUGUAAGAUUUAAGAUUGGAUUUUUGUGGCCAAUUAAAGUUUUUUGUGUUAUGGAUUCAAGCUCGAAGUUUGUUUGCUAGUUGUUUAUCUCUUUGAUUAAAAUAAAAGUGUUUGUAAUAUUCUAGAUAUCAAUAAAAAAAUUUGUUUUUAUAUUUUGUGAGACUAAUGGGUCUGCGAAUUGGAACUUUUUACAUUAUUACAAGAUACCGGUUAACGAGUCGACAUAACAAGUAAUCGACUAAUCAGGUGUCGGCGAGUCGGGUCUGAACCUUCUGUAUCAACCAGAAAACGGCAGACAAUAUGUAAUUACACUAAUUUGAUUUAUCGAUAGUAACAAAUUUGGAAUUGAUUUUGCUUUUUUCAUUAGUCGAUCAGUUCAAAAGCUGUUACAGUCGAUUAAUCAAAUUAUUGUAACCACAUGUUUGUCACUAGUUUUCGGUUGAUGUAGAAAGUAUGUUAUUAUAAAUAAAGUAUACAAUAACAUUGAUUUAAAAUAGUAAUUAUUAAUUAUAAUCAACUUAAUAUAAUUUAUUAUCUAUAAUCUUAUAUCUUAAUAACAGACAGUCAUCCACCGCGAUGAACAUCACAUUUGACGGCCAAUGAGUGUAACACAACCAUUCACCAAAAUAUCUUGGUAUUACUCUAGCCAAAUUCUUACAAGCGAUAUAAAACAAAAAUAUCAGCAUAAAAACAAAAUACGAGCUAUAACCUAUUAACACAAUUGAUGGGAACUAGCUUGGAAGCCAUGAUAAAAAACAUUGAAAAUAGCAGAACUUUUACUAGUUUACUCAGCUGCAGAAUAUUGUGCACCGGUAUGGACUAAAAAUUUACAAGUCAAGAAAAUAGACAAACAACUAUACGCAUAAUAAGGGACACACUGAAGCCCACACUGACUACCUGGCUACCUAUCAAAUCAAAUACUUCACCUCCAGCAUUAAACGCAAAGAAUCCCAAAAAAUUAAUGAAAUAAAUGCAAAACAAUCAAAAAUUACUAAUAAACUCUAUUCUAUGAAGCCCCCCAAGAACUUGCUUCAAAUCAAAAAUAUCAUUUUGGAAGGUUGCUCAGAAUUCACAGUUGGAAAAUAAAACUACCAUAGAGAAAUGGCAUUCUUCAUGGGAAAGGGAAACUGUAAUAAACACAAAUCUAAUACAGUUGCCGAAAACUCCGGUUCCUUGUUUCAAACUACCUCGGAGAGAAUGGGCAAUUUAAAAUAGAUUCCGCACAAACCGUGAAUAAUACGCUGCAGAUCUAAAAAAUACGGAAUAUCAAAAACUUAGAAAAAUGUAAAUAUUGUGCUUAAAAACAAGUGAUGAAUAUGACGCAUAUAGCCAAAUAAUGUGAUUAAUAUAAAUUUGAAGGUACACUAAAUGAUCUACAUGAUCUACACAAUCUCACCAAAGAUGCAGUGAAAUGGCUUAAAAAAAAACUUCCACUCCAAUUAUUUUAUCCAAUUAUUUGUUUGUUAAAUGUUGCGAAACCAUAUGAAUAUAUAUUAAUUAUACAAUUAUAAAUAUUGUUUAUAUUAAAAAAUUGAUACAGAAUAACGUAUUUCGAUGUUCAAAUGAUUUUCAAAAAUGUACCACGCUAAAAAUUAUUGAUUUUCCGGACAUUAUGACAAAUUUAAUGAAACCAAGAAAAAAUUAAUAACUAUCAGAUAGAAAGUGGCAUAGAUGCAGGAUAUACUUUAACUUUUAGUUUACAAAGUAACUUUUUCCGAUAAUUUAAACAUUUUUACGGUUGCUUGCUUUUUUUUUCAAUUAAAAAAUAUUCGAUCGAUAUUGAAUAUGAAAAAAAAUCGACCCUGCUCGCAUUUAGGCCGUUUUUGUAGAUGAAAAGGUCCGCAUUUUUUUAGGUAUGAUACGAAUAAUUUGUAGCCUUUUUACUAACCGAAAAAGAGAUUUCCGAGAAAAAAAGAAGCUAGGAUAUAAACUUUAAAAAAUGUCUAUAGAUAUUUCAAAUAAAGUAUCUACGGGCAUCUUCUGAGGUGAACAAAUUGAAACAUUUAACUAACUAAAAAAAGUGUUAACAUGAAAAAAACCCACACAAACACAUCAUAAUAAAACGAAAAGCUUCUUCACUCUACUCAAAAGCUUAAAUAUUAAAAAAAAAAAAAAAAACGAAGGAAUCUUUCAUGUUAUUAUUUCCUUAACAUCUUAAAAAAAUGAAAAAAUCAUAUUUUCGAUGAAAAAACUAGACACAAUUUCCUAACAGAAACUACCCUUGAAUUAGAUAAUUGGAGUAAGAUUUAUGUUUGAACGUAAUAGAAAAAUCUAACAAAAAUGUAACUUAAAUCCUGUAUGUUAUAUUUCAGAAAUAUAAAAUUGCACAAUAGUUCAGUGUCCAUUUGUAUGCGUAAUAUGAAAACGGAAUGCAAUUUAUAAUUAUUAAUAAUUAAUAUGGUAUGAGAGAUAUAUUUUAAAUGGAAGACGGGUUUUAGAUUAGUUAUAAUAUCCAUUGUAUUGGGUUAUCAAAUUUGCAAUAACUAUUAUUGUGAUUAUAAAAUAUAUUGUCGUUAUCAGAAAUUCGAGGGAUUGGAUAUAUGGAGAAGGCGGAGAGUGGGACGGAGAGAAAGUACAAUACAUUAUAUACUUAAAUAUAGACUGUGGAUUAUGGGUAUUUACCUACUAUAUAUACUUCCGUCGCUCGUGCAGUUUACGCUGUUAGAGAGUAUAGAAACUCACCUAAUCCUCUACAAUUCAUAUAAUAAUAUAUUUAUAUAUAUAUAUGUAUGGCGUGUGUGUGUGUGUGUGUGUGUGUGUCUGUAGUUUAUUAUGUUUUCCACUUACGAAGUAAUUGCCUUUUGUCGGUAAAAAAUAAUAAUAAAAUAAAAAAAUUCCAUACCGGGCGUUCGAUACUGAUCCAAGUAUAUUUAUAUAUCUAUACAUUUUAAAAUCAACGUCGUAUUGCGAUUGGUUGUUGUUCAAGGUGCUCAGACCAGAACGUAUUUUGGUCAUUGUAUAGUACGUCGUUAAUUUUUUUAUUUUUUUUUUUUUAGACAAUAUAAUAAUAAUAUAACACUAUUUUGUAUUAUUAUUUUAUAUUAUAUUUAUAUUUUAUUUAUAUUAUUAUUAUAUAGUCUUAUCUGAGAAAUGGAAAUAUCGGUUAGAAACCCAUUACCACGAACACUAUGGGACGUUACACAAAAAAUCCAGAUAUUUCUAGAUAUUGUGUGCAUUUUUUUGUCCGUAAACAAAUUUUCGAUCAGAAUGUUUGCUCAAAUCUUCAACUUAGGGCCGGUAGUUUCGAACAAAAAAAUUUGCCUGAUUAUUAAUGAUACAUUUUGUAGAUUAUUAUUAUUUUUUUUUAUUUUUGUAUUCUUUGAACUUUUAUAAAUUAUGAGGGAAAACAGGAACAUUGAUACGACAAUUUUAUUAUUCAGUAUUGCUCCAUUAUCAAGAAAAUUACAAAGAAAAUAAAAAAAUGAUAUUCUCUAUGCACAAAAUUAGACAAAAAUUUAAACCACACCUUAAGUCAAUGAUCGGAGCAAUAGGUAUCAUUAAGUUAUAGAUUUCUAAAAAAAAUUAAAGCAUACAUUAUAUAAAACCAAUACAUUUUUUCGCUACUCUCAGGAUCUAAAAAAAAAUUGAAUUUUUUAAUACGUUUCUCCGGGCCUUGUUUCAUUGAAAUUAGAAAAUCCAUUAGAACCAAAAGCUUCUAACGUCAUAUACGAAUACGAAAAAACCGCUGCAUCUCUAAAUCAUCCUUUUCUAUAUAAUGUUCUCCUGUUGCGCUUCAUAUACAGGAUGAUUGUGUUAAUUAGAUAUAUAUUUAAGUACUAUCAUUAUGAUUAAUGCAUGCUUAUUUCAUAUUCCUCUUGUUGAUCUGAAUUCUAUAAACGUUCAUAAUAUAAUAAAUUCAAUAUUAAUUAUGUCAUUGUACUAUUUUUGUAUAAAUUGUUAAAAAAAAAAACGAUUCUGAGUUUAGUUUGAUUAAAUAUAUAUCAAAAUAUCGUGACCUUUACUAUUUUCAUCACAGUUUGUGUUUAAAACAUUUAUAAAAAAGAUAAAAUGUUAUGCUCGAUUUUUUUUUACCACCAAGUAACACUGAUAAAUCACGUAUUGGAUUUCCAAAUAAUAUUGUUCACAUAACAUGGAAAAUAAAUUUUUAAAAAAAUAUGAAAUUUAAAAUGCCUAAUAGUUCGAAAAUUGCUGAAAUGUUUUUUUUUUUUUUUAGAACUCAUGAUUGGAUAGAAUUUACUGUACUUAAAGUGAGAUUUCUGGUAGAAAGUCGUUUAUGAAUAGACAAAAAAAAAAAAAAAUUAAAAUUCAAAAAAAGCAUACGUAUUAUACUAAAACCAAUAUGCCCUAACCGAACCUAACCUAACCAAUAUAUUUCGUUUUGCUCAGAAUCUCGAAAAAACAAACAAACAGAACUCAUAUGUAUACGUAAAAUCCUCGGAGGAAAUCGCCGCUGAAUCGUUAUGAUAAAAUGAUCUCUCUGUAUUCGCUCGGCCGGAGUUAUAAUAUAUGUAAUGUGUGUGUUUAUGAGAGUGUGUGUGCACGGGCCGUACGUAACGAGUGUGUUUAUAUGGUGUGUGUAUGUAUGUGUGUGUGUUUAUGUGUGUCUGUGCGCACACGCGUGCGCGUUGGCGAAAUAUAGCGAGACCUCUCGCGGUGCGUUCGGUGGGGUGUGGGCCAAAGAAAUUCGGCAUUAAUCUCUUUAAUGGAGGAGAGCGCCGCGUAAAAUGAUUAAUGCGCCACUGACGAGGGAUCGUCGGGCACGCGACAACGUUUUCUCGCCCAAAAACAUACGCGCAAAAUAAUAUACAAUGAUAAUACGGUUGUUAUCUCCUCAAGUUUAUACAGAAAAUAAUACCCGUGUGUUUAUACCCGCGCGGUUCUUUUGUCUAUCGCGCCGUUUGUAUUCAAACACGAUGUUUUAUUGUAUAAUAAUAUACACACACACGAGUAUAUUAUGCGAGCAAUCUUAUAUUUUUAUAUAACCCGCAGUACGGUUUGCCAAUCGAAAACACACGAAUGGUGUACGAAUAAUGUACGAGGGUUAUAAAUAAAGUAAUCGGACAGCAGGUUGCGUACCGUGCUCAUCUGAAAACGCUAGUGAUUUUCCAUUUCGUCGCGUGGUAGAUGUGAUCAUCUUAUACGAUUUAAUGAUGAAAAUAUCAACGAAAUUCGGGUUUUUGAAAAAACCACCUGAGCCCUCAAAAAAAUACGUUUACGAAAACAUUUUCUAAGGACUAAUACGUGACUCUAAGGAGAUCGAAUUAAUACUGAAAUAGAGGAGAGGUUAUAUAGGACGCGUUCCCGAUCCGUUCCGACUGUCCAACUAGUCAGAAGAUAAACAAAAAUGUGUAUGUGCCGUGUUUCACGAUCACCUGACACUUGAAAUAAAUUUGGCUCUAUUCAUUAUUUUUUUUUUUUUUUUUUUUUUUAAUAAUUAGUACGCCUCUGCGCUACAGUUAAUAUAUUAAUUUGGGUUUUUUAGGUGGCAGAACUUAAAUUAAAAAACUUAAUAUUUAACUAUAUUUUUUUUUUAAAAAAGCCAUUUUGUGAGUUAUUAGCAUGAGCUUACAAUUAUAAUUUUUAAACCAUUUAUUACAUUUUUAUCUAGGUACUUACUUAUAAUUUAUCACUAUUAAACUUUUGCUAAUUAAAAGGGUGGUGCAGGGGUAAGGUCACCCACUUGUUCACAUAACUUUAUAACUGGGCAGAUAUUUCUAGGAAACUAUUUUUAUCUUUUUUUUUAUGAAAUUUUUUUUUGAAAUGUUUGCAAAUUUAAAUAUUUUGGUUUAUAAGCUGUUAUAAUAUUUAAUCAGUAAUCAGAACAUAUCAAAUUACGUGAAUUUUCUUUUUCGUGGGUUAAUGUCACACAAAAAUACAAUUAUGGUCUGUAGAUUGUGAUUAUUACUCUUAAACCAUAAUAAUAUUCAUAUUUGCUUAAACUUCAGAUAAUUGUUGAAAAUAAAAGACGCACGGUUUUUUUUUUAAACAAAAAUUUCAACCACAAAAAAGAUUCAAAAAAUAUAUUUUCCCUCACAUAAAAUUUAAAAAAAAAUUUAUAUAUUAACUGUAGUGCAGAGGUAUAUCAAUUAUUUUAAAAACAAAUAAUUAACAGAACAAAAUUUCUUUCAAGAGUCAGAUCACUAUGGGACACUAUUAUUAUUGUUGUUAUUGGUAGUUGCUAUAUAUUUAUUUGCAGCAUCUGUUUCCAACAUACCGAAUAAUCGGGUACAUCGGACGAAAACAAAUAGGUUUGUUUUUUUUCCGACAAGUCAGACUCAAUUAGAUUAAAUUAUCAGGAUAUUAUCAGGAAAUUUAAUACAUAUUUUAAAAUAUUCCUCGUUUUUACAAUAUUUUAAUAAAUUAUGUUUUUAAUAAGACCUUGGAUUAUUGAAAUAUAAUAUAAUGUCCGGUAAAUCAUCUCAUUCGUCUUCUGAGCUGCUGUAACUUGAAAAAAUAUCGCAUAAAAACUAUAUAGUACAAAAUAUCACUAAUACACAUACGAACUCUAAGAGAUGGUAGGUACAUACUAAUAAAUAAUUUUCGCAGUAGACGAUGAUAUGAAUAGUCGGUAUGAAAUAGGUAAUGAUAUAGCCACACAUAUCAGAUGUAGGGUGUUGCUCGAGCCGGUCGUCUCGGAUCGGAUCAGAAGCGGGUCCUAGCUUACCUUCUGUCCAAACGGAAACCCACCAAUGAUGACAGAUUGCACGUUACACUACCGGUCUCAUUAAUUUAAUAAUACGUCUCAUAUAUUGUAUAAGUUUUAUGCGAGCAUUGACACGGCUACGGGAAUUCACAGGGUGCAGUUUAGUUGCGAGCCUGUGAGUCGUGUUUAGAUUCUUGAAUUGGAAACAUAAUAUGAUUACGGUUUUAUAAACAAAAACUGAAAAAGUUUAAUAAUACUGCUAUUGCUCUUCGUGCGUGAUAUUAUGUUACGUGUUAGCGCUAAUUUCAUUUGCCUCGUGAAUAGGUAUACUUUUGUGACCGUUAUAACGGUCAUAAAGCCGCUUUUGUAAACGGCCAUUUUUCAAAUUAAAUAAUGUGAAAAACAAAGUUAACAAUUAAUAUGACGCACUCAUGUAAUACUUGACUCGACACUUAUGAUAUUUGCGGAUCAACAUUUGGCCACACUGCAGAAGUUGACUAUAAUUUUUCAAAUGAAAUUAUUGAAGAAUUUAAAGUGUUAAAUCCAAAUAUUUAAUGACGUUUAGAGUUGUAAAGUAUGAAGCGUAAUUAAAUUACUUGAAAGCAAUCAGUUUUUUUUUUCUAAGAUUUCAGAGAGAUUUUAUCGGUGUAGGGUGUUUAUGAUAUUUUUGUUUGCUCUUCUGCAAAACAUACCUGGCCAUGCCUGUGAAUUUAGUAUUUUGAGUAAAUAAUAAUAAGUUUUAUUGAAACGAGUAUUUCUAUCUGUGAGUAAAGUAGGGAUACUUUAUUAAAUCCGAAUCGAUGAAAGUUAGACGUAAAAUACGAUAACACGAUUUCACAUGCAUAUUAUAUUAUAUUAUAAUUUGUCACCAUGUGAGUCAAAAUCAUGAAUUAAGUUGGAACAACACGAUUAUUUUCAUUGGAUACUAGGUUAAGUUAUAUUAUUAAAAAAAUAUUUAUUUUUUAACUCAUAAAGAGUAUUUAGAUUAAAUAUAAGUUCUUUAUUUUCAAAUCAAAUAUAUUCGAGUAUAAUACUGAAAACAACAUUUUAGUUUAUAUUAAGUAAAUAUAGUUGUAUCAAAAAUACAUUGUAGUUUAUACACGACUAACACUAUAUACUUUCAGUUUUAACUAUUAAAUUUCGUGAGUAGAUUUAAUUAGGUUGACUACAAUUAGACAGUCAACUAAAUAUGGUUAGUAGAUUUAGGUUUUCUUUCCUGAAUUCUUGUAGUUAGACAAUUUGAAAAAUAUAUAACAUAAAUUAAAUAUUACGAACUACGGUCAGAAAUAAUUUAAAAAACUACCAAUUUGAGUUUCACAAAUAUGUUUUUAAAAUAUGUAUUGCUAUAAAACGUUACUUUUUCUUACCUAUACAAAUUGUACGUAUCGAAUAAAUUAUUCUUUGUAACAAAUAAAAAACGUACGUAAAAAAAAAAUCAAUAAUUGCUAUAAAACAUAAUUAUAUAUUUAAAAUUGCAUUGAUUUAUCAUUUUGCGCUUAAAGAAUCUAUUUGUGGAGGAGGGGAAUGAUACGACCUGGUCCAACGCCCAAAAUCCAAUAAUGGAUUUUUUUUUUUUUUCCCGGAGCAUUCAGUAGAUAACAUGUUAUUUUAAAUCGACGAUGAUCUGAAAUAUUAUUGCAAUUCUCCACUGUGGCAGACGGAUCUACGAGAAUUAAAAACGUGGCAUUUCUUAUGUCCCGUGGGUUUAAUGGUUUUCACACCGUUUUCGUGACAAGAAACUGGGAAUUCGAUUUGUGUAAAACACCACACGCCAGCGUCCAUGUUAAAUUACCCGCAAUCUACAAAGUUGUUAGGUGGAAACUUUUUCGAGCAUUUUUACCAGAAGUUCAAUGAUGUGUUUUCCGAGACGCAGAAAAAAAAAACAAAAAAACACAUAAUUGUAAAACUAAUAGCUCCGUAGCUCGUAGUCCAUAAAACGGUUCGGAACAUAAAAUAAAAAUAAAUGAGUGAUUAUAUCGAUUGCCCGCGUUCCAGUAGGUUUCUUAUUUCUCGGGGCGUGACGGAGAUAACGGAGAGGUCAACGUGUAUACCCAAAAUGUUUACCUUAAAAAAAAAAAAUCUACAAUAAUUAAAUAUGUAAAAUCCGUUUUAUUUAUAUUGAAAAUUUUCUUAUAGUUUACAUUUUGUCACUGUACAAAGUAAAUUACUAAAUUGCUCUAGACUUUAUAUAUUUUGUUUUGUUUUUCUUUCAAUUCCCUACCUAUUCUUAAUACGACCUGCCGCGUUAGAAUUAGAAAAAAAAAAAUAAAAUAAAAAGGACUAAGAGACGUAAAAUAAAAAGGAAAUGAAAACGAUUGUCCCUUUUGCAAUGAUUAAACACGACCUGUAAAAUUAAUUAUAUUAAUUUGUAUAACUAUACAAAUUUACACAACAUUUUUUAUUCAAAUAAAAAAAAAAAAAAAACGACAGGAAUGUUUCAAAUAGAUAUAAUAACUCUAAAUGCCAGAGUAUUUUUGAAAUUGCACUAUAUAAAAUGGAUAGUGUUAAUAUCUAGAUAAGUAUUUCAGAUCUUUAAUAUUACUUUGCAGUGAAUUACAACAUAAUCACUAUAUCGAAAUUAACAUAAUCCGUUUAUUGUGUAAAUAUUCUCGUUCUUCUGACAGUGUUUUUGUCAUUAUUAGGUAAAAUAUAGAGAAAAUGAAAAAAAAUGAUCCCGGCAAUAUGCACUAAUAGACAGGAGAUGGUAAAAUCCUACAAAUUAGAUUAUCUCGUACAUGGGAAUAAUGUAAACUCCUGGAAGAUAGUUCAAUUUCCUACACUAGACAGUAUAAUAGAAUGCUUGGAAAAAAAAUGUUAAUCAUAUCAUUAUUGAUAUUUUUUUUAAAAAUAAUAUCAGUCUUAUUAGUAAUAAUACAUUAAUGCAUAGUAACUAAUAAUAAAUUAAAAAUAAAUUUCCUAUAAAAGUAUGAUAACUGUAUUUACCAUAUAUAGUAUAUAAAAAGCGAUUUGUAACAUAUAUUGAACAAUUUGAAACUUAAAAAGAUCCGAUUAGAUUAUUCGUGUAGGAGUUUACACGAAUACAAAUAGUCCAGAUACCAGAAACCAACCCCGAUGUUAAAGGUUGGUGCCUUUGAUUCAAAAAAAUAUUUACAGAGGCGAAAAUAUAAUUACGUUUAGUUUUCUACCGUAGCUUCCACUGCACAGUGCGUUAUAUUAAUAUAUUUUGCACUAAUGAUGUAUUUUAAAUGCAUUUAUUUUUCUUCACAAUACAUCUAUAUUGCCAUGUGUUAUUGGAUGCGAAUAAUAAUAAAUACCGAUAAUACUAUGAUAUAUGCAUGCACGUUAAUUAACGUCGAUAUUAUAAUUACCGCGUAGGUGAAUAAAUAUCACAUUUCCCCUAUACAGGGACGGGUGUGGUAAAUAUAUAAAAUAUAUAUGAUUUUAAAUACACGCUUAUAAAUUAUUCUCGAUUGUGUCGAGAGCCCGAAAAGUUAACGCAUAAAAAAAAAAAUACCUGUACUCAUACAGUAGAUUUAUAGAAACCGUUUUCUUCGACUUUCAAUCGAAUAAAAUGAUAUUUACACUAUUAUUAUGUACAAUAACUGAAAUAAAUUACUUUUUCGGCUACGCGAUAUGUAUAUACUUGAUUUAUUUCACGUCCAAAUUGAAAUGUGAUGAAUUUUUCGCGAUGACGUCGCGUAAAACGUUAAAAUUAUUAUUUGCCGGAUCAAAUUAUUAUGUACACUGCAGCUACUAUACUGGCUAUACAAAUCCGUUUCCGUCUUAAAUAUACGAGUCGGUGUAUUAUGAUUUUAUGAACGUAAAUUAUAGUGGCGAAAUGUGCAUAAUAAUAAGAAAGUAUAGUGUACACAUUUUUGCACGUUUCCGGAACAUGUCGAGAACGUAUUCAAGAAAUAUUUUUAUUAUCGCACAAAAGAAAAACUACGACUUUCUGCGAUUUAUACUAACGUGACGAGGAGACAGAUUCAAAAGUCAUUUUAUUCCAAAAAUAUUUUAAUAUUAUUUUUGUGCGGGAGCGUACUUCUACUAAAAAUUUCUAUUUUAUCAAUUUCCACUCAAUUAUUAAUGAAUUCAAUUUAACAAAAGAAAAACUUAAUGUAUUGUACCUCAGGGGUGAACUGUUGAGAAUGCCGAUAUAUUUUUCAAAUAAACUAUCAUCGAAAAAAUAUAUUGGAUCUUAUUUGGGGUGAUUCAUGAACAAAUUUAAGCAUUUACAAAUCAAAGUGUUAUAAUUCCGAAAUGAUUUCUAACCAAAUUAUCGUAAGGUGAAAAAUCUACAACUUUUAGAUAUCACUUGAACAAAUAGAAGAUUUUUUACAAACCGAAAAUAUUUUUUCUGAGAAAUACAAAUAACAGUAAGUUAACCUCUCAGAAUUAUAAAAUUAACUGAAAAUCCUAUAAUCAAAUAGAAGUAAAUAUUCAGCUCUCGAUGAAAUAAUAUAGAAGAUCAAAUAAGUCUACAGAUUAAUAGAUUAAAUAUUAGUUCAAACGACAGUGAAGAGAUUAAUGUUCUUGUGUCUAGGAAAUCUUGCAGUUUUAAACAUGACGUAUAACGAUUUGUAGUAAAAUAUUCUCGGGUAACAAUUACUUAAGGUUAUGAGUAGAUAUUAAAUUGGUUUAUUUCAUUAUGUUUUAUAUAACUGUAAUACCGACUAAAAUAAAUUGUAGUAUUGUAUUCAAUUUAAUUUCCAAACGUCUUAUUUUAUUUUCAAAUUGUAAUUGUACUGUAGUAAACGAAUAUUUACAAUGUCAAGGUAAAUAAUAUAUUUUAACUGUAUACAAUGUUUUCAAUUUGUUGUUAACUUUUUUUUUUUAAUCAUACAAAAUGGGCCGUUUAAAGCCUUAAAUAGAUGUUUGCCGUAGUAAUAGUAGUUUUAAAUUCUAAAAUAUUAUAAAUUAUUCCAUCAAAUUUUUUAUUUUCAUAAAAUUUAAAUAUUACAUGCGAUUUUCACGAAAUGUUUUAUGAAAUAUUUUUAAAAAUACAAUUUUAUACUCCUAUAAUUUCAUAAUGUGCUAAUAGAGAAAAAUGGUUUGGAUUUUCGUUUUGUUUCUCUUAGGAAAAAAACCUAGGGCCUACGAGCAUAUAUUUAAAAUCGUAUUUCCUUGCCUGCAAACGAAUUCAUCGAUUGGAAAAAGUAAUGAAGUCAUCAUUACGCGUUCACAGGUGUCGGAUAUUGUUUUAUUUCAAAAUAUCUUGCGAUUGUUGUUAUCGUGAUCGAUUUUCUCGAAACAAUGGAGAGAAGGUAAACAUUAAUAAUUUUUGUCGCGACACAGGUGUACUAAUACUACCUUUACAGUAAUUGAGUCGGUCAUUUCAAAAUACGACAUCAUAAGUCACUGUUUUUAAUUUUAUUUUUUAUAAAAAUAACAUUUUGUCACAUUUGAUCCUUAUCGUAUUAUAUACUUACUUAUAGUCACGUAAAAGCGCAUAAUAUUUUGUCAAAAACGUAUAUUAGAAUUUUAUUAAAAAACGGUAUAUCGAAAAUAAGACCUACAUCACUAAAGUAACUGCAAAACCAUCAUCGAUGUAAUUCAAUUAUUUUUUGAAGCUAUUUAAAAAUUGAAAUAUAAUAUUAAAUGUUGGUUUUUAAAAUUAUCGAUUAUACCUAUACCUUGGUUGGUAUAGUUUAAACCUGUAGAUAGAAGAAAUAAAAGUAAAUAUUUCUCCGACCAAUAGAAUGCAUGUGUUACGCAAGAAUAUUUAUUCUGAUUACUUUUAAAAAUAAAUUUUCCGAAUUUUAAUAUCAGUAGUUUAGACAGUAAUACAAUAAUGAAGAAUAAUAAACAUAAUCCUCUCAAAUCUAAAAAAAUUAAAAAAAUUAAAAUCCCACAAAAAUUCGACCCUUUUUUGUUUUUUUUUUUUUAACUCUCGCCUUUUCACGACCAGAUGUACACUUUUCACCCUCGACGUUGACGUAUCGCUUAUGAAUUUUACUGUAUUUUUUUUUUUUGAAAUAUUCUGUUUUAAAAGCAUUCAAAAUAUAAUGCGUUUUUUAAAAUUAAAUUUUUAUAUAUAUUUCAUCAACUCGUUCAAAGAAAAACGCUUUUUAAUAUAUUAACAUAAUAUUUAAUAUAGUAAUGUUUAUGACUAAAAUAUUACAAUUUAUGCCCAAUACUACAAAAUGAAAACUAAAGGUCUGUUAAGACAAGUUUCACUGUAUACUGAUAUUACUUAAUAAUCGAAUGAACAUACAUUUCUCUAUAGGCGUUUCAUAAUUAUUUUAUUAACAUUCGAACGGAUCAUUUACCUAGCAUCGCUGUAAAUUUAAUGUUAAUCUUAUUAGCCUCAGGAAGAAGUGCUUAAAUCAUUAUUUAGUGGUUUUUAUUUAUGUAUAUAAUAAUAUGCAUACAUAGUUUUGUCUAACGCUAUAUUUUCGCCCUUUAUUCUUCGGUCUGAACUGUAUACAAGUGUGUAUUUUCAAAAAUAACGUGUUCGGUACUUACUUUGUUUAUUAUUAUUUACAAGUGUACACCAGGGUCGCGGAGAGAAAAUUGGGCCCCGGGGAUAGUGACAUACAGACCCUCCUUUUUGUCCCAUACUCUACAAGUAUGUUCGAUGUUUCCAAUUAAAAAUUAAAACAUAACAUUAUUUAAAACUAUAUUUUUAUUUAUCUAAGAGUCACGACAAAAUAAAAGACAAACAAAAUAUAAAAUAUAUCAGAAUGUACAGUACCGUUCUCUGACGUUAUUGUUUUUUUAUCAACCCGAUAUUAUUUUGCUUUUUCGGUUCACAUACCGUCCCCCAUGAAAAUCCUGGACCCGGGGUGAUUCACCCUCAACAAUCGUUUCUCGUCGGUUCCGGUGUAUAUAUGUUCAACAUUUAAUUUGCUCGUGUUGAAAACUAUACGAAAUUGACUUAAGCCUUUCAUUCGUUGGAUCAAAGAUGCGCUCGAGUUAGGCGUGAUAAAAAACCGUGCGAAAUUUAAAUUAUUUCUACAAAAAUAGUUACUUUUUUAUAUUUCAUACACGUAUGGCAUGGCUCUCUCUCUCUCUCUCUAUAUAUAUAUAUAUAUAUGUAAAGAUAGUUUUAGUAAGAAUUUCUUGGUUUCUCUUUUAUUUAUAAAAGCCGUAUAAAAAAUAAUAUAAUAUAUUGUUUUUCCCGGGGGUAUAAAUACUAAAUAAUAUUAUAAUCCUCAAUUAUAUACGGUUAUGAAUAAACAUCUUAAGUUUCUAUAUUUUCAGCCCGUGAAUAAUGUGAUAUUUUUACUGUGUAUUUCACUCGAAUUUAUACUAACUAUAUACAAAUAUUAUCAUUGUUUAUUAUGUAUAUAUUUUUUUUUUAUACGAUUUAAUAUCUAUUAUAUAUUAUAAUGUAAUCAUAAUACAGAAAUAUAUUUGAUCGGUAUACAAUACAAUAAAUAAGAAGUUCCAACAAUUUAUUGCCACGAAUAAAUAAUGACAACCACCACCCUGCUGAUAUUCAAUUCUGAUUAACUAACUAAAGGAGUAUAAAUUAAAAUUAUAUAAAAAAAAAAAACCCCAAUAUAAAUAUAUUAAACGUUCAAAAAAACAUUAUUAAGAAGAUAUAUAUACUUAAAGAAUAACGUAUCGAGUAUUCGGCAUAAUAGUAAUAUGCAUAAUGAUUUUUUAAGCACGUUAACCCCAUUUCUAUAGUUAAUUUAUACAUACAUUCAAAUUCUGUUUUAUUUAAAACUAAUAUGUUUAAUGAAAGGCGAAUUUUGAAUAUUUAGAUUUUUCACAAUAUUUAAGGAGUAGCAACUUUGUUUUUUUUUAAAUGAGAACCUAUAUGUUUUAAUUCAAAUAGUCAAUCAGAUCGAUUUCUGAAAAUAUUAACGUAUUUCAAUCAGUAUUUGCUUGAUUUAAAACUAGAAUUGCCUAUACACGACUAUAAUAAAAUGUUCGGUAUCCAAUCCCCUUAAAAGCCUAUUACUUUUAAUAUUAAAAAGCGCAAUAUCUCAGAAACAUGUUGUCAAAAUUUCGAUUGAAAUAGGUCAACAUUUUCAAAGAAUUAUCUGAUUGAAAAUUUUAAUUAAUACGUGUUUGGGUUCUCAUUAGAAAAAUGAACUUUAGUAUGGCCACAAGCUGUUCAUUGUUGUUAAAAUGUUAAAAAUGUUAAAAACGUUGUUAAAAUCUAAGUAGGUAUGUAAAAUUAUCGUAUUUCACUAAAAUUCAAAAUUCCAAUAAAUCAGUAUUUGAAGUUAUGCCUAAUAAUUUAAUCAUACAAAUCGAAGUUGCGUGAUUGAAAACAUCUUCUUGUACGUUAACAGUUUCCAAAGUAUACGUAUACAUAAUUUUUACUACAUAUUUUGGUUUUAAAAUCGACAUCACUGUAUUAUAAUAUGUAGACGCAGAGCAGUUAUGGAAUGUAAACCAGUAAAGAAAAUACUUCGAUGUCGACCGAGGAAUAUAUAACUAGACGUAGUAGAAGAGGAUUUUAAAGUUUUGGGAGUGUAAGUACGGACGACAAAUUGUCCAAGAUCGGAAGCAAUGGGAGGAUGCGGUAGUAAUGGUGUAUGUUAUGGUGAUGAUGUACAAAAGAGUCUGCAGAGCCUGACAUUUUUCAAACGGACGAAUGAUAACAGUAUUAAUAGUUAUAAAUUGAGUAUAGAAAAUUUCACAUCUUGUUUGAUGUUAAUUGUUAAUCGAAUUUAAUUAAAAUGAAAUAUUAUUGCAAUUUAAAUAAAAAAAUGUCCAAUGCUAUUAAUAUUCGCCGUUAUUGAAUAUUGACGUAACAAUGAAAAAUGGAAAACGGUCGUAUAGGCCCCCGGGAAAAUCGACGGAAAUCGCGGGUCUCCCGUGCGUAUAUACAGGGCCCGCUAUUGUUGGCGGUCCGGAGCGCAUGUAACGUCCGCCCGUCAUAAUGAUAAUAACGUCGGCGGCGGUGCGCGGUAAUAAUAAUAAAAUGACGAUAACGCGAUUUCGGCGAAUCGUCGGUCGUGUUUUUCGGACCGAUAAAAACCCGGGACCGCGAUCGAAAACCAGGGUUUACAUUUAGUAUAUUGUAUAAUGUCGGCCGGCAUAUCGGGGUGUUUUUAUCGGAAUCAACGUGGCCGUGGUACUAUUAAAUCCGUAUAUUAUACCGGAAUCAUAAUCGGUGUGGAAUUUAACGGGAAUUUUCGUACACAACGAUAUUAUUAUAUUAACGUGUCGUUAGCGAUUUUCGAAAAUCCCGCGCUCAUACCGUGGGGUCACGGCGUCCCGCGGAGAUCCGACAAACGCGGGAACGAAGAAUGCGUAGGUUUUUUUUUUUUUUUUUUUUUUUUUGGUCUGUAUACAAAUAUUCUACCAGAAAUUCAAAUCGAAUAAUACCGGGAGGAUUCUUUUCGUUGAAUUUCACAUUCAAUCGGUGAGCAAGAGAAUCAUUUUUGUUUUUUCUAUUCUCAACAAUUUAGAAAAACCGAGAAAAAGCUUAAUUUUCGGUUUUUAUUUUGUAGGUUGGACCAUUUAACACUCGGUUCAUUACAAAUUGUACUUAGUGAUAAAUGAAAAAACCAAAAAAAUAACCACAAUGUAGCAUUUUAACAAGCGUUUUAGUAUAAAACUUUGAAGAAAACCGUAAAUAUUACUGCAUUUAAAAACAUGUAAGUAUAAUCGAACUUCGCUCAGAAUUGUACGUCGUUUGACCGUUCAUUACGGUUUAUCGUUACAAAAAGAUAUAAAUUAAAAUAUAUUCUUAGCUACAUCUAAAACAUUAUAUAUCCUGCUUUCACAACUUCGCACCUAAAAGAAAGGCACAUCCAUCAGCACUAUCAGCUUUUUUUUUAAAUAAAUAUUUUUUUUUCCGUAAUAAUAACCAGAGCUAUAUCAUGCUUCUUAUAAAAUAUAAUUUUUGUCUUGUACAAAGUCAAGUAAUAUUAAAGUAGUUAUUUUAUACAUUUGCAUUUGAAACUCCAAUGUUGGUGUUAAGAUAAAAUUUAUAUCAAAUUAAUAUGACUUAUGUUUUCUAUAAUAAAUAUUGCUCUAAUAGAAAAAAGACAAGAGAUCUUUUUUGUUUAAUUCUUAAUUUAAUUAAUUUAGUGAUCAAGAAAAUCAUUUUUUUUUUUUUUUUUUUUAAUAAUUUAGUAAAACCGAAAAAUACGUGGAAAAUUCUGGAAAAUUUACGAAAAUAAUUCUUUAAUUGUUUUAAAUUUUGUUUAUUCAAUGUAAGUUAUUUAAUAAUAUUCUUAGAGAUUUGAUAUUUUUAAAGAAAACCUAUAUUUGUUUUUUCUAGAUUGGAUAAAAUGUUAAAAAUAUUUUAGCCAUUUUUGAGCUAUUUAUAGAAAUUAUAAUUUUACUAGAUUCUUAUUUGAUAGAUACUCCGUGGAUAAAAGUGGUAGACUCAACGGGGAUACUUCAAAAUUUGACAUGUUCAUUAUUUUCAUUAAUUUGAUUGGGAAGGUACAGAAUACAGACGAGAAUUCAAUGUAUAUCUGUAAGCAACGAUAAACGAUUGCUAACGAAAAAAGAUUCUAAGCGAAGUUCAAUUGAUAGUGAUAGUGAUAGUGAUAGUAUUGUUAACAAUAUAUAUGUUAUAUUAUAGUAAAAUAAUUAAAUAGGCUUUGUUUUCUUUAAUAAUAUUUGUUUAAUGUUUUACCGAUAUCCCCGGUUACCCCGUGUUUUUUCCCAGUUUUUCACAUUUUCUGAGAAUAUUCCAAAAAAAAUCGAAAAAUGAUAUUUUUAAAGUACCUCCCCAGUGAAAUUUCCUUUUAGAAAAAUUGUUAUCAUUAAAAGUUGGGGAGCAAAAUUUCUGGUAUAAAAGUUAUCCACAGAAAACUAAAUAAACAUUUUUGUAAAACUAUAAACUUCUUUGCUCCACUCAGAAUCUAAAAUUGUAUCUAAUUUAGUAAUUUUUUUUUUUUUUAAAGAGAGUUUUAAUAUCAAAGCCUUUUAAACGUGUAUCGCCAAACUUUGCUAUGGAUAGUUUUUCGUUAGGGAUUGCAUAUCGUUUGUUACAGGUAUAAAUUAAAUAACUAUGUUAUGUAUCUCACUUUCCUAAGGUUAGGUUAGAUUAGCCCACCUGCGACAGUAGCCGCUCCAUUCCGUAGUAUCAGCUCUUUUUUUUUUUUACACUUAUUUCAAGUGCACCUCUCAAAUUUUGAUUUUCAUAAAGCAAUAUUCUUUCUUUUCAAUUCGAAUCCAAAGAGAGAAUAUUUAUACAAAAAAUCUAUAUGCAUAAAGCAUUUAAGUUACAACUACACAAGAAGUACGAGUAAAAAUGUUUAAACCCGAGUGUUAAAAAUAAAAUUUAAACAAUUCUGAAAGUAUGUAAAAAACUAAAACAUAAAUCGUAUUUCUUUUGAAAAAAGUACAAAAUCUUCAGAAAUAAAUAAAAACCGCUGUGUGCAUAUAGAAUUUUUUUUCUUAUUUACCCAUUUUCCACGAAAUCUGUGACAUUUUGACAUCGAUACGUCAAGAGAUACGCCGGAUCUGAUGUAAUAAUUUUCGGUCCGGACGUAUGGGUGCAAUCAUCGACGAUCGUUAUCCCCGUUUCAUCCGCGUUAUGUUUAUUGCCAGCGGCGCACCGUUCCACUGGAAGAUAAAUCGACGUAAUAAAAUAAUAGGUAAACUAAUUUGUUGUUGGUCGGUUCGUUGCCGGAACGGUGAAAUAAUGUUAAUUUACGGAUAACGAAUGGUUUUCUUUUUUCGUCCUGUGAAACAUGGCCACCCUCAUUAUAUCGAGUUGUCUGUGAUCGGAUCAAGACGUUCGUUCGUAGGCCUUAUGCACAGUUUAUGUCGUACUUUGACUGUGUCAUAAUUUACCAUACUGGUACAUUUUACUAUUUAUUCAUUAAUUUAUUUCUAAUGAGAACACUAAUAUACAAUCACAAUAAUAAUACAUUUCUCAGCGCAGUUUAGCUAAAAUUCAAUAAUAAAUUGUUUCUAUAAAAAUAAGUACACUAUUUUUUGCCAAUUUUUUUGUUCACCGUCUAGUUCUAAUAGGCACUAGGCACAGUGCCUAAUGGUUCUGGAGGUGUCGUCUGAUUCUACGACGAAACACUGAUUUCUGUUGCGACAGGCGAUAUUAAUAAUAUUAAUAUGAUACAUAUGGAGAUACCUCUCAAUUUCGGUAUUUUUGAUUUUGGUAUAAUGUCUGCCGCCAUCUAGCGAACGAAAUCUAGCAGUUAAAAUGUUUACUGUUAAACGCCACUAGAUGUCGCGGAUAAUAUCAAAGAAAAAAUAACUAUUAGUAUUUUGUUUGUUUCAGUUUUGUUUAGACGUCAAAUUAAUUAUUUGUUUUAUACUUUACCGGCAUGUUGAUAAUUAUUAUUGCACUGGUAUUACAAUAAAAAUAAAUUCAAUUUGUCAUGAGCUUUAGGCGAAUGAUGAUGGCUGACGUACAUUUUUUAUCCACUCAUCCGUUUUCAUGUUGGUUUUUGUGGUGUGGUCCUUUUUGUGUUUCGACACUGUACCUAUAUCAAAUAAUAUGAUAAUAAUUAAAAAAAAAUUUUUUUACUUAUUUUCCAUUUAAAAAAAAAAAAAAAAUAAAGCAUACAAAGUAUAAAUAAUGCAUCCCUAAUUGAAAAAUAGUAGAAUUUAAUUUAUUUUGUUCGCAAUAACGUUGUUUACUGAAAAAAGUUAUUAAAAACAUUAUACCUACUACGAUUAAUUUUUUUUCAAGAGAAAAUCAAAAUAUCGCAGUUUCCGUAUUUUUUUUUUUUAUGAAAAUUGUAUUUUAUAACUUUGAAUAUUGUAAAUUAUUAAAGUAUUUAAGUUCUUGGUUUCCCAUUCGAUCGAAUGGGUUUAAAUAAAACCCAAUCAAUCAUGCGUUGUAGUGGCUAUCUGUUUUUUAUGAUGAAUACUUGCGUGAAAACCCAUUAUUUAUUAUUAUUUGGUUUGUCAAUGAUUUUACGACGCCAGUAGAUGACGUAUGACAGAUUCAUUCAAUCGGCCAAAUGUUAAAAUAUUAUUGAUACAUUUACAGAAUAUAACAUGCCAUAAUAUCCGUUAAGGUUCUCCGGCUCAGUGGGGUACCCUGAGGGACCCAAUCUCCAACAUUUUUUCUCCCAUUCCUUAUUGGCAGUUUUACAAUGCAAAAAACAUAUCUGUAUUAAUAAAAGAAAGAAAUGUUUAUUUGUAGUUUGUCUGUGUACGAUACACAGCCGAAUCAAUCGUACCACAAAACAAGAUUUCCGAAAUUCGAUUUCAGUGAAAAAUUCAGGCUAUUUGGUACUAGACACGUUGAGAUGUAAAAAAAAAUAAUACUGUGUACGCCACUGCUCCGACUUCUCGAUGGCUUACAGAUUACCGUAAAAUAUAUAAUAAUAUUAAAAAUAAAAAUAGCAGACUUAUACACCGUCGUAGAAGUAUCUCGGAAAGACACUUAGAUAAAAAUCGUAAAAGCUAUGGAUAAUGUUUAUUAUAAGGAGUAAAUGGUAUCUUGAAUACGUAUUUAAGAUGCAAUUGUAUUAUGUGUUUUCUAUUGUGAUACAAAACUGUGAAGUAUCGAGCGUAGACGUAUUGCACUACUAAAAUCAUUAAUCACUAAAACUACUCUAACCUAAAACCUACCACAUGCCUGAAAAAUGUAAUUAUUCGUAUUUUUAUUUUUAAUCUUUCGAGUGCAUACUUUUUCAAUGCAUAAAAUAUAAGUAUUCGGUUUCUUGUUUUAAAGUACAUUUUAUAUAAUAAUCUAGUAUCUUGUAAACGGAUACGAAAAAUCAAUGCAUCAAGCAUGUCGAGUAUAGAGAUAUUAAACUUGAAGUAUCUUGCCCAUCUCCGCGUGUACAUUAUAAUAUGGUAUCUUGGUGAUGGUGAACGUAGCACUUGGUAUAAUUAGUAUGAUCAUAAUAUAUUAAUAUAAUAUGUACCUGUACUUAAACAAUAUUGUCAAAUCGUACAUAUUUUCGAAAGCUGAUAUUUUUUUUCAUUUCUUUUUUCAUCGUCAUCCUUUUUAUAUUAUUUCGUUUGUAAUGUUUUUCAUUAUUAUCAUUAUUAUUUUUUGUUUUAAUCAUACCCAUAGCAAAAAAAAAAAAACCGAAAAUUAGCAAAAAGCACGAUGUGUGUGUGUUACAGUUGUGAUGGUGAGAUAAAUCUGUAGAGUAGGACGCUGCCACAGUCACAUAUCGCCACUAGAAAAUGAAUUAUGGCGUAUCCGAGGCUUCGUCAUUACAGGUCCCGAUCAUCAUUCACCAUUUUUCUCCAUUUUUUUUUUUUUUUGUGAUUGUAUAUUAUUAUUUUAUUUAUUUGUUUAUUUAUUUAUAUUUUCAUCUCUAUAUUUAUAUAUAUUUAUAUAGACAUUAACAUUUUCAGAAGGAAAAUGACACUAUUUUUGAUUUUUUGAUUUUCACUGUUAAUCAAUUUAUUUUUUACCAAUUAAAAGGACGUACGUGGUAACCGAUUAGCUGUGACGUGCACCCGCGACCACUGUGAUUUAGUAUUCAUAUGAAAAUAUAUUUGGUGCUAAAUUGGUUAUUUCCAUAUUAAGCGGCCGUUACAAUAGGACUUUCUGUCUAUGCCUUUUUAACGGACUUUAAUAUAGUAAAAACGUGUUCACAUAAAACAAACUAAAUGCCCCUUAAAUUUAGAGGGUUUUGAGGGUUUAGAGGUGAAAUUUCUACGAUGAAAUUUUUGGAUGAAUACAUUUAAAAAAAAAAACCAUGACGUUGUUUAUCGAAAUAUUAACUAUUUAAAAAGUUAAAAUUUUGUAUCUUGUAUAACGAUAGUUUAAUAUUUAAAUAAUCGUUACACGUUGAUUAGUUUAUCUUUAAAACUUUUUUCAUCUACAAGUUGUAUAUUAGGUGUUUUAUCUUUACAACCGAUUUUAAAGAUCCUUUCGUCUGCCUGACGUAUACAUAUUUUUGCUAUAUCACUCUUGACGCCCCCUAACUGCUAUAUUAUUAUUGGUAUCUAGAAAAAUAAUAAUCAAAUAUGAUAAUUCUGUAUGCCCGUACAUACUCUUUACAAAAUAAAUAUACCAGGAAAUAUAUUUCCGAUAUUUCGACUUAUCCACGUUAUUUUUCAUCUAAUCUGGCCAUCUCAUAUGCAGAUGUCCCGAAAAUUUCAUUUUUCUUAGAAUACUAAAUUUUGCAAAGCAUGUUUACUAGAGCUCUUUUUUCCUUAACACGAGGGAUUCGAGGUAUUUAAAAAUUUACAUAGCAGAAUGUUUUUAAUAAUUUUCAUUUUUGGUAACAUUUUCAAUCAAAUCAGUUACUGUGGUUAGGGCUCUUCAUAUACAUAUCCAAGGAGGAAAAUAAAUUAUACGUUUAGCCUUUGGUAAAAUCGAAAUUAUCUUAUAUGAUAACUUUAUCGUGACUUCAUGAUUAUAUGACCAUUCCCGAUGCAUCAUUUUUAUCAUUAUACAGGUCGUGUGAUAACUUUGGUAAAAUCUAUUAAAAAAAAAAAAAAAGUUCUACGUUGCUACCUGCUCUGAUCUUCUCCGAAUUAAUUUUUACUAAACGUGGACGCACACCGUUAUUAUUUUAAAAGCUGACAACUCUUGUGAAUUUUCGCCCACGUGCGAAAUACAAAGCAUGCUAUUUAAAAUACCCCAUUAAAACCACGCUUUCGUAUUAAUAACCCGUCACCAAGUUUUCAAAAAAAAAAAAAAAAAUACAUCCCGAAAGCUAAAAAUAAUUCGUCCACUUCACGAUAACAAAACCGUAAUCGUCAAAUGAGAGUAACAUAUUUGUAUAAUAUAAUAACAUAUUAAACGAUCAAUACGAUCGUUUUGAAUUUCUUAUGUUUUCCGACGAAUAAAAAUGUAAACGAAUGGGCCCAUACGGUUCAAAUCGCAUUGAUAUUUUCGCAACUCACAUAGGUAUUGAAAACGCGGUUAUAAAUAAUUAAUGCAAAUUACGAUACUUGCAGGAGAGUUCAGACAAUAGUAUGUAAAAUGCCGCGGAAACAGAACCCAGUAAAAAAAGACAUUUACCGGAAUAAGGUCGAUGAUCAUAUGGGAGGUGGUGGUAAAAAAAAAGUAAAAAAUGCGUAGAAGCUUCAGGAACUGUGGACAAAUAAUUCGGAUGAUAUUUGGCGAUUGAUAUAGAGCUGGGGGACUAGUUAAAAGACGGUCCUAAAGGCGGAAUAUGCCCAAAUAAUACAGUUACGGUACGGCAUUUCAAUAGUAUAAUAUUAUAUUAUUAUGGCUUUCGCAAUUUUCCGAUCGAAUAACUAAGAAUUCACGCCCUACUAGACCCUUCCUACAUAACAUAAUAUACUUGCCAGCAUACAGAUGCUGAUGCGAACAUCCGAAUAUGGUAAAAUAUAAUUUAGACAACGACGACGUGGUAACUUUGCGGGACGCACACGUCUUCGAGAUCAAAGGCGCGUUUUAAUCGCAUUGUCUCGGGAAUAAUUAACCGGCUCGCGCGGAAGGCAACGUGCAAUUCGAAGAGAUAUUGUUAUGCAAUAUAAUAAUAAUAUUAUCAGCUAGGCAUACCAUAACAUUUGAGUACGAACUACAAUAUUAUAAAUUCUCUCUGGUUGGCCCGAACGAUGACAAUAAUAAUAUAAUAGUCAAGGGUGUGAGUAGAUUAUUAUUUUAACAGGAGAAGAUUUUAAGUGAAUUCGAUUUUGGUCUGUUUUUAUACUUUCUAUUACCUACAAAAGGUCGUUUAAUGAUGUAUUUUUUGCAAAAUGUUUUCAUCAUUUCUUUCUUUUUCCGUUUUUAUCACAAACAUAUUAUUUAUUAGGUAUACAUUAUUAAAUUCGGCAAAUUUGAAAUGCUCUUAAAAAAAAAAAUUUUGAUUUGCGUUAAUGCCACGCAAAUCAAAAAUUCUUUUUUUUUUUUUAUAUAAGCCACUUGAAGUUAUCGGCAACUAGUAUCAUCCCGUCACACAUAUCCAAUUCUCCGAUUCCCCUGUCAGUUGGUCUUAAUUUCCAGUCCAACCCUUAUUUUAUUCUACGAUUUCAUCACGUCUCUCCUCACCAUUUAUUUCCAUCUCAAACUAGUACUUUAUAGUACUUGAUCCGGAACAAUCUGAACGUUGUAUGACUGUACGGAUUAAUCAGCAUAUGGCAAUUCGGAUAACAAAGACUAACCCGUAUUAUAGUUUUUGAAAAAUAUUGUUACGAAAUUUAAUUUAAAACUAAACGAUUAUAAAAGUCGUUCAGAAAUUCUAUUUUUUAACACACAUAAAUUUAUUUUAAAUUAUUUUCAUUAAAAUAGUCCUGUAUAGCUGUUAAACAUUUAUUUGGAUUUUAAUUAUUUCAUCUGAUCAUCUCCUUCUACUUCCAAAAUACCAAUUUAAAUUAUAACUGAAUUUCAAAUUCAGAUUUCAGAUACAAUCUGCCAAAUGUGAUAAAAUUAAUUUUCCUGUGUUUAUUCAACAUUUUUUUUAAAAUUCUUAAUGCAGAUUGACCAAAUUUCUGCAAUAUCUCAAUCGAAAUACCCUGGAAGGGUAUCUUUCUUUCUGGGUUCUCUUAAAUUACCUUGCAUAACAACACAGAUCUGACUCCGUCGGGUUGUUCAGUUCACCGUUAUUUUCUACUCUUGUGAUAUACCAUCGAUGGGAAGGAGGAGAUGGUAGAGGUAAAUUCCAUAGAAUACAUUUUUAGGAUUAAAAUAAUGAAUAAAAAUAAAAUUUAUUAAGCAGAAAAAUUAAAUAACGCUCGUUAAGAUAUUAAUCUUACACCCAUCAAAGAAUUCGUUUGGUAAUGUAAAUUACCGAAAAUCCUGAAAAUUCAUUGGGGUUGUGUUUGUACCUUAACGGAACAGGCGAUCCGGAAAACCGACUAUUUUUAAGUCCCAAUUAAUGUGCGCCUCGGGGCAUUCUGUCAGGUUGUAUUUCAAUCGAUCGAGAAAUUUCUAUUUCAGUUCUUAUACCCUUUAAUGCUCUCUCCCAACUCAGAUAUUCAGAAUCCUACAGACCGCCGUAGACCCUCCUGAGACCGUUCCAGGAUUUUGAAUAGGAACGUCCUAUUGAAAUCAUAGAUUCCGAGAAGACCUAAUAGCAUUUAAUUCCUGGGGUGUUUUAUGUGGUGUGGUGUAAAAUAAAAAAAUGUUACCUACAUCGGGUGCAGAUUUCCACAUCCCUGAGCGGGUACACGUCCGAUUGGUUUUCAAUUUCCGCGUUUGCAUGCCAAUUUUAUAAUAUACGUCUCUUAUUCCAUAUAGAGCAGAAUAUUUACUUAAAUUAUAAUUAUAAAACCUGCACAUAGUUGCAUCACAUUUUAUAAAGAUUAUACACAUUUUAUUGUAAAAAUCAUUAUUUUUUGUUUUCAUGCACGGGUCAUACUCGACAGAUCCUAUAAAUAUAUAUUUUAUGUUGUUAUUUACAAAUAUGUAUAUCGAGUAUCAUUUUUUACAUUUUUUAUUAUUAUUUUUUUUUUAAUGAAUUUGUCAUUGCACCGAUAACAUAAAAUUAUAAUCUAAUGUUCACAUAUGCCAAAAACAAAGCUAUUGGAAGUAUUUUGUGGAUAUUAUUUCUUUUGUGUUUGAUAUGUCAUGAAUACAUGGAAGUGUUUUGUGUUUUGAUAUUGAAAAGCGUUUUUCUCAUUAAUAUUUUAUUAUGAGCAAGUUAAGAAAAUUAUAGAUUAUUUUUGAUAAAAAUGGUGUUUACAUUAAUAAAUUAUUUUUAAUUUUUGUUCGAUUUCGUACUAUUAAAAAAAAAAUUACAUUUUUAUCCCUCUUCACUGAUAAUAACGGUUUCCAAUAACAAAAUUCAAGGUAACUCGUAUUUGUUUGUAAUUUGCAUGCAGCACCAAUUAUUAUUAUUAUUUUUCAUUUCACAAUAUUUUCUAGGAGUGAAUUUAUUUUUUAACUUUUGCGUGCAUGACCAGCUUUGCCGUAUAUUGUUAACGUUUAUUACUACGUAAAUCUUCGUUUCAUAUUAAACCUAUUUAAACAAUUGUAAAGAUUUUUAUUCGACGUGCUUAGUUAUAAUGUUUUAUUAUUUUCAGACGUCCAGCGUAAGUAUAUUUUAGAUUUGUACGGUCUUUGGGAACAUUCGUUGUGGUGUUUGGCGCGCUUUGUCCGGCGGCGGUCACAUGCCGGAGACAAACCGCGGAGCCAUAGAAAUAACGCAGAGCACCGACGACGGUGACGGUCUUAUGGUGAACAUCAGGACCGCGUGUGAAAAUCAGGGAAUCAAUUUCAUUUCAUUUCUUCAUGGCACUGGAUUUCGUAUGACAAAAAUAUCUAUAAUCCUAAUGCCAUAUCCAAAUACGAUGUUAUUGUUGGCUGGUUUAAAUUUCGCAUUAUGAUUUUAUGAUCUCUGUUUGGCCUAUGUAAAAUAUCGCGUUAUUCAAAUAUCGUGUCAUCAUGAGAGUUGUAGUUAAAUUGCUUUGUCUCAGGGACUUCUAUCACAUCAAAUCAUCCGUUUCUCGAACCCAUGUAUGCAUUUUAGUCGAAAAUCAAACAGUGAUUUAUUAUUCAAAACCAUACCGGGAAGGUUUGGUAAGAAACGAGGAAGAAAACAUAAACAUUUAUUUCACAAUUGUUGGGUGUGAACUAAACACUUAAACUUUAUUUAAAUUUUUUUAAAAAUCUGUUCGACUUCGUAAACACCGCAUUAAUCCAUUAAGUCACUAAUUACUACGUUGUUGUUGUAAUAAUUAGAUAACAGUUUAAAAUAUUGCUAUUGAUAACAGCGUAUUCGGACACGGUGCUGAAUUUAGAGGUUUUGAAAUACGACACCGGUUUCGGUUUAAAACAAAAUUUUAUGUACUAACGUUCCAUCGGGUUUUGGACGUAGAUUAAAAAUCAAAUGCUAGGGUUUAAUCUAACCCAAACAAUAUAAUUAAGUAUAAUUACAACCUAUAACUAGAAAUUUCAUUUGUAUAUAUACAUUUUAAGACAGUACAAAGAAAAUGUCUUUAUGCUGUAUAAUUUCGUCAAAAUAUUUUUUUAUUUUAUGAUAUUUCAAUUGUUCCAUACAAAUUUAUAAUAAUAUAAAAACAAAAUAAAAUAAAAAAUAAUUAAUGAAAAUGUAUUUUUACAGUAAAUCAAUAUAAACUGGACAUGAUUUUUGUCAGGCUUCAGUUUACAGGUAUAAAUCGUAUUGGGGGUCCUGGUUUCGAGUUUAACUAGGUUGCAUAUAAACAUACAGCACUGUGAUUCAUUUCUAGUCACUUGUUAUACUUCACCCGAUAUACAUAUCAAUAUUGUAAUUCUCCUUACGAUUGGUUGGAUAUUCUAUCUAAUAUUCUUGCGAAGAGGAUAGUUUUUUUAAGUAUAAGCCUAAACCUCAUAUUUAUUUCUUGAGCAUUAUGUUAUCGAUAAAAUAGCGCGUUAUCAAUUGUUUUAUAUUCGGAACUCCAGCAAGCUCCGUUCACAUUACAGCCUAUGUCGGAAUUUUAAUCGAAAAUAAGCCCCGAAUUGUGAGGUGAAAUCACACUACGCCUGGUACGCCAGGGGAAAAAAUAAAGGAAAUGUUAACCUCAAUUGUCUGAAUUAAAUCCAGUAUUGUUGAAUAAACACUCAAUAAACAGAUGCAUCACAUGCUACUCAAUUAGAAACACGGUAUAGUAUCAUAAUAUGCAACCUAGUUGGUUUCGAGAAUGAGUCGGAUUUCGGGUUCAACCCAGUAGCAGUUUUUUGUUAUUGUGGCAUUCAAAACCGGUUUGAUUCCCUGACAAAACAACUUGAAACUUGUAUCGCUAUGGUUGUGGACUGGGACAUGGCUGCAGUCACCGCCACCACCGGACGAAGCGCGGGCCGUGCACGGACGGAGUGGGGGCCGUGGGGGAAAUUGUUAAGAAAUCGGCCCUUUUGGCCAAUUGUAGCGUAGUUAGCUGAUUGGCCCCGAAAUGUUUUUGUACUAGCAGGACGAUGACGGCCAUAUGUUUCGUGUGCAACUUGCCGAUCCUGAGCCACCAAGUGGGUCUUGUGUGGCAGGGUGGCAAUGGCUGGGACGAUAUACUCCGCGAACAGAUGGAAGAGACGACACUCAAGCAGCGGCUGGGAGGCCGCCGCGACUCAGCCGCACAGAUCACCACCGAGUCACCGCCCACGGAGACGGCCGAAACAUCACCACCCGUCAGUCGGCGGCGGCGACGCAGUUCACUAGCUCAUCUCACUGACCUGCUGCGUGAGUGGGGCGGUGGUAGUGCUGGAGCCGGAGGUAGUGGUGCAGGUGGCAAGGCAAGUGGCCGGCCAAAGGGCAUCACUAGGCGUGAGACGCUGGCCGACAUCGCCAAGACGCUGCCAUUCGGCCGGUCCAACACAAUCAUUGGAAAGAGGCGCGAGUCGUCUGUCGAUUCGGGCUUUAAGUCGACGUCCGGCCGGGCAUUUGGUGGCGGAAGUGGUAGUGGCCGUCGGGACUCCAAGACCGACUUCCGAUCCGAUAUCGCCAAACUGCUCAACACCCGGCGGGACUCGAUUAUCACGCCCAGCAUCUCGCAACCAUCGAGGCGCAGGGGAUCUGCUGAGUAAUAUAUUUGAAUUUAUUUUUGAAAAAAAGACAAGCUACACUGU
Molecule: long non-coding RNA, 156956 nt
Filed under: Cinara cedri
Lineage: Eukaryota; Metazoa; Arthropoda; Insecta; Hemiptera; Aphididae
Source: RNAcentral